RNAcentral lists this long non-coding RNA (108052 nucleotides) under Malus domestica (apple). RNAcentral's name for it is "long non-coding RNA (MDOM_LNC002157)". Lineage: Eukaryota; Viridiplantae; Streptophyta; Magnoliopsida; Rosales; Rosaceae. The record is from RNAcentral.
AAAGUGAUAGAAUUUAGCUUACAUGAGUUGCUACUUUUUUUGUGGGAUCCACUAUUUAUGCUACCCAAGAAAGGAACUUGCUAACCCCAAUGACAGAUCUAGCUCCAUUUUUCAGCUCAUUGGGGAUGAAAUUUCUUGCUAAGGCUUGAAACAUGGUAACCUCAUGGAUGAUAAAGCCCCAUUGGAGACGCCCUAACUCAAGGAACUAAAAACGUCGCUGCCUCAUCGCUUCCAUACGUCGACGUAGGCUCAUUGCUUCCAAAUGUCGCUGCCUCGUCUCUUCCAAACGUCGACCUCGCUGCCUCAUCUCUUUCCGCUGCCUCAUCUCUUCCAAAUGUCGCUGCCUCAUCUCUUCCUGCUGCCUCAUCUCUUCCAAAUGUCGCUGCCUCAUCUCUUCCACAUAGCUUGACUCCUCAGGAACAGUCAAAAUUUCAGCAUCAACGAAGGUGUUGAUUGAAUUCUGAACUAGAGCUUUGUAGAGAUGGCCGAUGAAGGUCCUGCUAGUGUCUUCGCCUCAAAAAUUCAAGAAGACAUCAUAUUUCCAAUCAGGAACAGAUGAAGAAGAAGAAGCCAUCAACAAGCACAAGAUCGACAGCGUAAUGUGAGUCUCGUGUAGCCCCUUAACAAACUCAAGACUGCAGGUCAACGACCCCCUUCAUUGGUUCUCACUAGAAAAAUGGGAUGCAUCUUCAAUGGGGGAGCUUUGAAGUUGCCGGAAAGAAUGGUCGUUUGGCUAAAGUCCAAUAACAAAUACAAAUGAAAGAAAGUAACAUUCAUAUUUUAUUAAGCCUUUUUAUUUAAAAUAGUCUGAUUGUCAUAACUCUUCACUUUGGUUCAUGAGAUUUAAAAUCGACAAAAGUGGUCUUUGAGAUUGUCCACCGUCAAUUAUUUUUAUCAUUAUGUGAAAAAACUUGGUUAAAAUUAAGGGCAUUUUUGUCAAAUGAACCCCUCCCUUAACUGAUGGUUUCUUCAAUUUGAUGGAGAUUUUUCACAAAUUAUGAUGCAUAUUGGGGUAGUCCAAAGCUCCUUUAUGUGUGUAGCUUCUGCUUAUGUCAUGAUCUUUCCACUUCUACCAAUUAUCGUUUCAAAUGAUUUUGUUUUUACUAUUUAUUUUAUUGUCACGCCCCGAUCUCGAUCUACAUCCAGGAUUGCCACUGACGUCACCAAGUAACCAUAUACUCAACAGAUCCCGCCCCCGGGAUAAGUACGAAGCAUAACUCAAGAAUCGAAUCGCAUAAUAAUUUUUCGUAUACUUUAUGGCUGCAUCUAACCUCCUCGUUAGACUGCCUACGUACCCUCAAUAGGGAUCAAGCCAUUCGUAGUUCACCAUUCGUCAAACUCUAAUCUUUUUGUAAAAUACUUCUAGCAGAAAUCAUAAAGUACCACGACACAUCAGCCACACUGUCACGCCCCAGACUUGGGGUCAGUGAAAAAAAUAACCCCGCACCCGUUGCGCGAGUAAAAGUAAAAUAAAUAAAUAAAAGAAAAUUGACACGGGUUGGAAAAAUAAACUCCUCUUAUUAAAAUAACUCCAAAAUCCUUACAAGAUGUACAAAAAUAUAAUAAAUUAAAAUCCUUAAACUUCUCAAUCACAACCUCAGCUCUUCUAACACAUGUCUUGCCAAAUGACAUCUGUAAAAUAAUAAGUGAGGGGUGAGCAACAACCACAGUCGCUCAGUGAGUAGAAUAAGUAAUAUGUCAGUCAAGCAAUGCCUUUUUACACACACACACUAGAAAAUAGGAUAAUAAUAUCAAAGCUUUAACCACGUAAUUUCAUAUCACAUCAUCCCUUUACGUGUUCAUUACAUCCUUCAUAAAUUGUAACUCACCACGUGAUCCCUACUGGCCUUUCCGCCCUAAUGUCCUCAUGUGCAGUUUACAUUUAUCCCUCGGAUUAAGGCAACACUAAAGUUCUCAUGCUCCAUGAACAUAUCCAAACAAUCCACAUAUUACCAUAUUAAUGAUUCCAAAGGUAUUUCAACAAAUCCAACAUGCUUGACUUAAAAUAGAUAGAGAUUAUAAAUAGAUAAAACUCAUGAUAGUUCAUGGUUUUCAUUUAUCAGAAAAUAAGAAUAUUUUGAAACACAUUACAUAAACCACUCAUCUCGAAAAUCCAAGAUUUGGCAAAACAACCCAACUAACAUCUCCGCACACCUCAAACUAGCUUUCCCUUUUUCUUUUCUUUCUAAGCUCUCACUCUAACGUAUAUAUGAAUAUAUACGCACAACACACACACACACACACACAUAUAUAUAUAUACACACACACUUAAUGCAUGCUCUACAUGUUUCCUUCUUUUUAUGCUCCAAAAACAAUGGAGCAAAGCUCCUAUUUAUAGUGAAAUAGAACGGCUCCAAGACUUGAGGUCCAAGGAAUAUAUACAAUAAAAUAUAUGAAGUCCCUAUUUAUAGUACCGAACGGCUCCAAAACUUUGUGACUCAUAAAGGCACGUGUCAAUUGGCAUGGAAUCAUAACAUGAGGAGAUGACACCUAACUAGGUGAUUAAGCUAAUGAUUAAAUGGUGGCAAUAAGAUGUGUCAACUGGAUGCAAGACUUGAAUUGUGGAGCUACACGUCCAACCCAGCAUGGUGCUCACAAGCACCUUAAAAAGGAUAGGAGAUAAGGCCGCAUGGUAAGCUUCACACGUCCACCUUAUAAACUUAUGACUAAGCAUAAGCAUGGUUCUAGGGCUUAACUAAGAAAAAUAUUCCAAAACUUAACUUCAAGUCUAAUAAAAUAAAUAAUAACUUAAACAUAGGGCUUUCACCAAUAUAAAAUAUGGGUUCUCACACAUACACCGAACAAUAAUUAUCACCUUUUCAUGCACGCAGGUAUGCCAAUCCCACGCAUAUGCUUUCCAAUUCAUCCAUCAUAUAAAUCACUAUGAUUCACAUAAUACCGCAAUUCAUAGUAUGCUACAUCUCGAAGAACAGUCAAUGAAGCACAAUGUUAUUCUAUAGUCACAUAAAUCAACGAGUCUAUCAUAAUAAUAACAAUCAUAUCCAAUGUUGUUCCACAACCACUCCAAUUAAUCCAUCCCAUGAAUCACAGAUGCACAAUAUUAACAUUUAACUAUGUUAAUCAAUCAUCAAGAUCACAUAUCAAUUCACAAAAUUUAAUAAAGGAUUUCAACAUAAUUCCUUGCAUGGAUUCCAAGUAAUACAAGGUAAAUCCAAUUUAUAAACACAAUGUCUAUUGUGAGCAAUUUCCUACUCACUCGAAUCUAGGGUCGAACUAACCUUAUGGAAAUGAGCAAGAGUAGGGAUUUCGGACCACUCAACGGAAUCCAGCCCAAAAUAUAAUUGCCAAUCGGAAUGUACCAAGUAUAAUCCUCCUCACUUCUAGAAUGCAUAUGGUCUCCCAACGCGGAUAUACCAAGCAGGACCAUCCAUGUACCACUGCUACAUGGUGCAGUUAGAUCAACAUACAAACCACUUACCCUUAUCUCAUACGCUAUGAUUUACAUCGUAAUCACCUGCAUUAUCAACUUCUCAUGACCACUAACUAUCUUAUCAUACAAGCAUAAAAGUUCUACAUAAUACUUCUCAUAAGAUUCUGAGUUCAUAUCAUCAUAACAUUUAUCAUACUUAUCAUUCACAUUAUUAAGAAGAUAAAUAAGCACAUAUAUAUCACAAUAUGACGUUCCAUACACGUAAACCGAUGUAUAUAUUAUCUGGGAUAACUCACUAACCAAUAUAGGCCCACUAAGCCCUACAUAGACUCUAGUAAUACUGAAUUUAAUAGUUUAGAUCAAUUCAUAGCAUAUUGACCAAAAGUAAGCAGUAAUUAGAUUAAUACAUAUAAGGUUUCCCAAAACCCCUACCUGGAAUUCGAUUAAUUUUGUUCCUUUGAAGAACCUAAUAGGAACAUAAAAUUACCAUCAAAAGUAUAAAUACGAGUAACACACCUUAAUAACCAAACUAAGUGUUUAAACACAAAAUUAAUAUUAUCUAAAGAAAGUACACUGAUUCUGGAAUCUACCACUCAAAUAGUAGUAAAGAAGAUUAGAAAGGAAUCUGGAAAAGAAAAGAGGUGUGGCAAAAACAGUUACUCUGCUUCUCCACAAAAUCUGCAGAAAACAGCACAAUUGGACCAAGUUUAGACUCCCUUUGGAACAUUCAAAACUAAACCAAAUCGUGUAAUAUUAUAUGGGUUUUGAAGCUUGUGUUUUGUACUUUAAAAGCAUACAAAGUUUGUAGAAAACGGAACUCUAAAUUGGAAGUUAUGCCAAAAAGAAAAAUGAAGUCUUGAAACUGGAAACCCAAUUUUCUACUACUGUUUGGCAGCUUGCGACCCAAGUUUAAAUGAGGUUUUGAUCAACCAAAACUCAAUGGAACUGAGUGAAAACAAUUGGGUUACGAUCAUGAACAAAUGUACUUUCAACACACUAAAAUAUUUCUUCAAAGGAGCACAUAAAGACCUAGAAAUUAAAAGUCGAAGAAGACUACUUGAAACUUGAGUUUUCUUUGCCAAGAAAUCAAUUUUCUGCAACUUACGUAACAGCCUAUCUCCAAUUCAUAUAACAAAUCCCAAAAUAAUUCCAGGUAGUCCAGAAGUCUUGUAUACAACAUCCAAAACUAACAUGACUCAAAAUUAACAAGAAAUUGACCUUUUGAACCAAACCCUUGAUCAAGAAAUUUGAUCUACACACCCAAUCCGAAUUACCCAACUCUAAUUUACUCUUCAAAUCUCUGAAUUCUUCCUUCACAAUCACGUUCUCCAACUCCUCUCUCUUUGAUUUUUGUCUGAAGAAAGAAGGAUUCUUCCAAAAGCUAUGGAAGAGCCACCUCCUCCCCGUUUCUUUUUCUUCCCUCGCAAAGCUAGGAAGAACGUGAAAGAACGUUCUCCCCCCCCCUUUUUUUCUCUUCCGCCCCUCUCUUUUCCUUCCUUUCCCUGCUGCCCUCUAGUCCCUUCCCUUUUGUCUGAUUGGUCCACACUAAAUCUUACAUGAUUGGGCCUCUUUCCCACAAAGUGGGAAUUUAUUUAAUUAAAAACUAUAGUUUAGUAAAUGAUUUCAAAUGUCCAUAACUAUACCGUUAUAAUCCGGACCCGCAAACAAUUUUCGCCUAUGCGUUCGUGAUCUCGGAAUCUAUUCAACAAUAUAAAUUGUGACCUCGAAAGGUCCACGUGUCACAUUCCGUCCCGAAAUUUUAUUUAUCGUUGAUGUGAAAUGACAAAAUUGUCCCUAAAGAUUUCUAAGGUGUGUGUGACUUAUACAUUCGAUUGAUAUUGUCCUUCCUAAGUUUGUGGAAAAUUUAAUUUGGAACUUAGGUUAUGUUUUCAAUUGUGUGGUCAGGGUUUAAUGUGGACCACUCACACAACCUUUCCUCUCUCUCUCUCUCUCUUCCCUCUCAGUUCUCUCUCUCUUUCGAAUGGUACGGACAAAGGACCAAGUCCCUCAAUUUUUCACAGAUCGAAGGUUCUAAGGUAAAAAUCGAACUCAUCUUGGGCCCCUGAGUUUAAAUAUACUAUUUUUGGAACUGGAAACCUUCGAAAUCACGUAGAAACCCUAACCCCGAAAAUGUGCACUGUUCAUGCACACGUAAAAUUAGGGGUGGUUCGGUAUGGGAUCCCAUACCGAAACCCUUGUCCCGAUUCCCAAACCAAAAAUUUCGGGAAUCCCAAUUUCAAUACCGAUCCCAAACCAAAUUUUCGGGAAUCCCGAAAUAGUUUCGGGAUUUCGGGACAAAUCGGGAAUCCCGAAAUGAUUUUGGGCUUUUGGGCUUUUGGACUAAAAUAUUAUGUUUUUGGGCUAAAAUUGAACCUUUUAACACUUUUGGGUUGCAAUAUGCUAAGAAGCCCGUUGCAAUAUGUGCCAAUUGCAAGUUAUGUCAAUUUAAAUGUAGAUGCUACAAUUGCAAGACUUUGCCAAUCUGGAUUCAAAUGUAGAUGCUACAAUUGCAAGACUCUGUCGAUUUAAAUCAUUCAUACAGAAAUAUGUGCAACUAUUGAAGCCUUCAUUUUCUAUGGACUCUAUUGAUCUAAAUAUAUAUUUAAAAAUUAAAUAAUAUAUAUUUUUUUUUCGGUUCGGUUUGGGAAUACCGAAAUCCCAAAAACUUGAGACCGAUUCCCGUACCGAAAUUUCAGGAUCGGUUCGGUAUUGGGUACCGAAAUUUUCGGGAAUUUCGGUUUGGUUUCGGGAAUUUUUCGGUUUGGUUUGGGAUUUUUGGGAUUUUUUUCCAGCCCUACGUAAAAUAUUGCAUUUCAGGGAAUUUCAAGCUCAUAGUGAGCUUAAGGAGGUUCUCACAAGCUUGGGGGUACUUCGUUGGUGGAAAUUGGACGUUAGAGGACUGAGAACGAAGCUUUUCAAAUUUGGCCGGAUUAUCGAGUUUCCUCAGGUAAAAUCUAGGGGAUUUUAGACCUUGAAACUUGUGUAUCAUGAUUCUACAUGUUUAGGGCUUCAUUUUGGUAUAAAUUGCGUGAAAAUUGGUUGAGAAACGAAGGAGAACAAGAAGUUUAAAAUUUUGCCCAGUUUUCGGCACCGGUGAUGAUCGCCGGAGUUGGAGGAAGGAGACGAGAGAAUAUUCCGUCAAGUCUGACAGAAUAUUCUCACGCCGUUAGUCAGUUUUAAUGGAAUCCGUUAGGAUUUAACGGAAUAUUCCGAAGAAUAUUCCUAAUGGCGUCACAGUCUCAGCCCUGUGUGCCAGGCACGUGCCGCGCGUGGGUGGCACGUCUGGCCGUGCCUUGGCCGGCACGUGAGGGCGCGUGGGAAGUCCAAAAUUAAUUCUAAAAAUAUGGGGAUGUUCGUGGAGUUGUGUAGAUCACUGUGGUAUAUUCAGAUACCCAAAUUAAACAUCGUAUGAGAAGUUAUUUCGAAUUGUUGGUUAUGUGCUUUAAAAUAACGUUUUUAUAGUUGUUUCGCAUAUAGGUGAGACCUAUCCCGAGGACGAGCGCAUUCAAGGGCGUCACGGGGGUUACGACCCGUCGACAUAUCAGUGAGUGGGCAGUUAUUUUCUGUAUUUACCUAUAUACUAUUGAUUUUCCCAGAAAUUGAAUAUAAAUGAAAGUAUGUUUUAAAUGCCAUGCAUGCAUAUUAUGAAAUAUUUGAGUUAGUAAUUGAUGCAUAUAUAUAUGUGAAAUUGUGUUGUGGACGCACAUGUGAGUUUUAUGUUAUUCAUGUGAAUUAUUGAUGAUGUGAAUUGUCUUGAGAGCUCAUAACAUGCACCCCUGGUGUUAGUGCUUAUAUUAUUCACCCCGCACCACACGCUCACCUUGGAUCCAAGUAGGUGCAUGUCGUACAGAUCACAGUGGUGAUUCCGACAUGUCGUACAGACCAUUAGAGGUGGUUCCGACCUGUAGGUGACUUUAGAUUGUUAUACAGCUGUUGAUGAGAGAAGCACUAGAGCGUAUUCUUACACCAUUCUUGUCGUACAAACUACUUCAGGUAGUUUCGACUUAUGUGCAGAGUAGUACCGUACAGGUCACAAUUAGUGAUUUCGGCUGGAUUGGAUAUUGAGCUAUCGAAUUAACCGUACAGGACAAACUGCAGGGUCUCCGAUUGAUUCCUUAUUUCACCUGUUAUAUUGUUGCAUCUUUAUGUUGUUGUGAAGCAUAGCAUGGCAUAUACAUAGUGGCAUGUUGAUAGCAUAACUUGAGAUAUGUUUUAAAAUGAAUAUAUAUGUUUAUAUAUGCUAUUUUUCUGGGAAUGUAUACAGGUUUUACAGCGAGGGGUUAGAAAUGUUAUUAAAUGAAAUGUUUUCGAAAAACUUUGUUUUACUGACCCACUCAAUCUUGUUUUGCGCCCCUCCAGGUUCUAGUUAGCAGCGUUGGUGGUUCACAAGGAUUCCCACGACAUUCUGACAGACUACUCAAAUGUAGGACUCAUCUGCGGGUGUUGUAAUUUAGUAAUGGUCCUACUUGACUGCACCUAGUACUUAUGUUCUGAAUAUGCGUGUUUCACACUUAAACUCACUCUAGCAUGUUAGUUGGAUUAUUAUGGCUAGUACUUGGUUUUUAUUCCUUCGUAUAUCUUUUAUCCUUUAUGCUUCUGCGUCGCACUUAUGGUUACGUCACACUCACGUGACGGCCAGCACGCCCUGAUUCUAGGUUCGGGGUGUGUCAGUUUGGUAUCAGAGCCUAGGUUGCAGUCCUGUAUAAAUUGUGAAUGCUCUAAUGAUCUUUUGAUGUUUUCUGUCAGAACUAUGCUGCCUCGUAGGGAACCACGUCGUGCUUCUGAGCCUAAUUUCCCUGACAUAACUCAAUUAGGAGAAGCGAUGGCCUAUGCCUUUCAGAAUGCAAUUCGUCUUCCUCAGAGAACGCCCUGGAGACUAUGUAUAAUAUGAAGUUAGACCGAUUCAUGGGUAAUGGGUCAUGAAGGGGCAGAAAAGUGGUUAGACCAUAUAUUGAGAAGACUUUUCAGGUGAUGCAGAGUCAAGGAAAUCUUUCUUCUAAUAGAUGGGUCAAGACCACUACUUGGUUUUUAGGACGAGAGCCUGUAGCUUGGUGGGUAAAUCAAACUCAGUUUAUAUCACCUGAAGCGGCAACAGAUUGGGAAGUAUUCAAAGAGAAUUUUAAGAAAAUAUUUGUUCCCCCAGAGUACAUUGAUCGUAAGAAGCAGGAGUUCACUUAAUUGAAGCAAAAGAAUAUGUCGGCGCAUGAGUAUUAUCGGAAGUUUACGGACUUAUCCCGCUAUGAUCCUGAUACAGCUGGUAACCAGGUAGAGAUGCUUCGCCGUUUUAAGCUGGGAACUAAGAAGAAAUGGCGGACUUUUGCUAGUGCAAUUGCUUGCACCAAUUACCAUGAGUUUUCUGAGAUUCUGAUUCGGAUGGAGGAUUCCGAAAACCUUCCUAGUAACAGUGAUGAAGAUGAAGAUAAGAAGGAUAAGCAGAAGACAGAUGACAGAGGUAAAGGUAUCUCCACUCAGGGACCCCGUAAGACUCAGAGUUUCAAGAAAAGUGGAGUGAGCUCGAGUUCUUCCAGUGGAGGAUUUAGUGUCACAGACCCGAGGAGGGGUGGAAGAUUUACUGGUGGACCCAGGUUUCAGAGACAGAGAGACUUUGGUGGUACCAGUGGUUCAGGUGCUCCGUUGUGCCGCCGUUGUAAUUUCAGACAUCAUGGAGAGUGUAGGAGAAGUGGCGGUGGUUGCUUCACUUGUGGAUAGUUUGGACAUAGAGCUUCACAGUGUCCCUAGAGUCAGCAGAGGCCUCAGCAGUCUACUAUGCCACCUCCAGCGCCGAUUCAGCAGAACUUUGGACCAGGUAGUUAUGGUCAGACGGGUCGUGGUGGUGCUUACCAUUAUCAGGGUGAUGCUGCUCCCUAUGCUUCUAGGCAGUAUCAGUAUUCCCAGGAUUCUUAUUCUCAGAUUGGGUAAUCCCAAGAUCCUGGAGGUUAUACUUCAUAUCCUACUAUUCCCAAGAUCCUUAUUCUCAGACUGGGUAUUUCCAAAAUGAUGGGGGGGGUGCCUAUUUGUGACCAAAACUAGACCCGGCAGUUUUUGACACGACACGAAAAUAAUGGGUUUCAGGUCAACAUGAUAACUUAUCGGGUGACGGGUUCUUAACGGGUAUACGUGCAGGUAACACGUCGGUAACCCGUUUCGACCCGUUAAGAAAAAAAUUAUUUUGAUAAUUUUAAAGUUUAAUUACUAAAAGAUUUAUUAUAAAAUACAAUAGCCAUAUUAAUAAAUACAAUAUAUUCUAAGGAAAACUAAUGAAAAGAACUUGAAAACUUUGAGUUUUAAAGAUAAGGACAAAAUAAAAGGUAAAAUGAAUAGUACCAGAAUUGACUUUUUAGUGUAAAAAUGUGAUUUUUCGUUAAAAUAAACAGUACUGGGAGCUUUUUCAUUCGCAAUACGAGAGCAAACUACAUGUUAGGAAUAAUACAGUCAGCCCCGCAUAGGGAGGGUUUUGCCAUACAAAUAUUGAAACCCGGUACAACAGACAAAACUCAUUAGAGCCGACAGCAAAUUAGCAAUAGGAUCUGCUUCACAUUAAACACUAGUGUCGCAGCAACACUCAACAAAGAUGCACCUCAAAAGGGAAAUGGCAAUUCCGCUCAAUUUUCCCCCACCGCCCCGUUGGAGGGCCAAAGUACUUGCUCGUCAUCAAGGACGCCAUGAAUUUGCUGAUCCACUAGUGAAAUAUCGGCCACUCCUCUUUAUAUAUCGAUACAAACUCAGAACUUUAUUUCUCCACCAGCUAAAGGAAAGAUCCACACACCAGAUCCAAAAUAGAUCUUCUGCCUUCGCCCAAAGCAAAAAAGAACGCUUGCAUUGGAUGUCUUGGAAGAAAGAUCCAGCUAUAAAACUGGAGAGCAGUCCUGAACAAGCCAGGGGAUGAUCAAAACCCUGCAAAAACGCAAGGACAAACAAUUCUCCACAUGGAUCGAAGGGGCAAGGCCGAGUUUAUUUUUCCAAAUUGAUUCUAGAGGAAACAUGGAGAAAACCCCCUGAAAUCAGAAUAGGAAGGUGGCUGUUUGGUGUUCUACGGUGGUUGGUUUUUAUCCUAAAUAGUUUAGAGUUAUCUUUCUAACGUCUCUCCGAAAAACUGAGAGUUAAGUGGAUAAAACUCCAAACUAGCGGGUUGGUCUUAGAAGAGCCUACACACAGACACAGAGUCAUGGAAUACUUACAAAUUCACUGCGACACUGAAUGUCAAUCUGUAAAUGCUUACGCAGCAAAAAAACAUGAUCGGAUUCGGAUUCAUCAUAUUGGAGAGAUAAUUAUGGGAGUCAACAAAAUAUUGGGAGACAGCUUCUACAUUCUAGGGGUUGCAAACAAACUUCAGUUGCAGGGUUUUUUGUGCCAAGCAGCCUGCCCUGAAUUAUUGGUUUAACUUAAUGUAAAUGUUGGAGCAGAACUUGAGUCAAUAUCUACAAUUUUAGAUGAAAGAAUUGCUUAAAUCAACCAAAUUUCUCACAUCUGCAACACGGUAAAGCAAAUGCAUUUCUGCUAUCUAUAAUCCUAGUUCAGAUCUUAUUGGGCAAUACUAUUUUCAUUGACAUCAUCAAGAUUCAAACUAAGAAGUUACAUCAAUAUGAAGAGAUAUUUGAUCUUGGCAAUAACAAAAAUCACGCGUCCGCAUAAACAAAAAGGGUCAGAACUAAACCUGCAAGAAAGCAUGAGGUAAACCUCAGACAUUCUUUAACUUCUUCAUCUUUGAUGGAGGACCAUCUGCCUUUCUUUUCUCAGUUUUCGCUUGCAAACAAGUCGUUCCUGCGAAGCCUUAUUUUCUUCGCCAGUUGCAUCUUCUUCUUCUGCUCUAGCCGCUCUUGCAGCUUUGACUCCAAAGGAAGCUUGUCGACAGGUACCACCGCCUUUUCCUUGCUAUCUGGAAGGGGCUCACUGCCCUCAUUUGCAGCAGCAGUUUCCAUCAAUGUGAGAGGAGGCCUUAACAACUAUUGACGCUGACCUUUUCACAACGGGCAUAUGAAGUCGAACUCCGCUGAAAGAUUUCGGAUGCAGAUUAUUGGGUUUCAUGUGCAUCCAUGAAACUAAAAGCCAGAGACACAAAAUAAAAUUAUCAUACGAAUAUGAGGCGAAAAAUAUACGGAAAAAGCUGAUAUACAAACCAAAUUAACUAUUAUUACUUUAGUCUAAAGAAGCUUUUCAAUUGCACUGUACAAAUGAAUAGUCUUUGGAGCCGAAUUUCACUUUAUUUACGAGGUUGCCACUGACUCUUUCUGCCGCUGAUCUUCAUGCCGUGUGUUGAUGAUCGUGGAAAGGCAAGGGUGCAAUGGUCAGUUUGGUCUGUAGGGUUUCGAACGGGUUGGGUGGGUUAGAGACUUUCAUUUCCUUUCUUUCUAAGCUGUAGUGGGACUCGGUGAGAGCAUACCGUCGGGAGAGAGAGACCGAGCGAGCAGAGAGAGAAGAGAAACACUGAGGGAGAGAGAUAGGGAUUUGGUGAGAGGAAUGAAUGCGACUUGUAGGCAGACAAAGUCACUGGGGGUGUACGAUUCGAAGGAGAGAAAGAAAAGGGAUUGAGUGGUGAUGCUUGAUUUGGGAAGAGAAAGAGAGAGAGAGAGAGAGAGAGAGAGGGAGAGCACGAUUUUGGGGUUAGGCGACGGCGGGAGAGAAGGCGAGGGUUGUUGCAUCUGUGUCACUCAAAGUGGGUUGCGAGAGAGUGAGAGUGCUGCGUUCUAGGGUUUGAGAGUUGGUUUCGAGAAAGUGAGGAGGCCAGAGUUGGGGUAAGGCUUGGGCUGGGUUUAUGGAAUGGGGGAGGAGGGUGUGGAAUGUCAUGGAGAGGAAGGGAGAGGGAGGUCUGCCAAAAAACGUGGGUUGCAGAGCUACAACGAGGGAGAUGGGCGUGGAUUGGCAGGGAGGGGAAGGGAGAGGGAGGAGUGAGGCUUGCCAAAAAGAGUGUUGGAUUGAUUUUUCCUCCUUAAAUCAAGUGUUGGUGUCGGGAUUGAGGAGUGGGUCCAAAAUGGGUAUGGUUGUGACGGAAAGAGGGAUGGCAGAGACAGAGGUGAUGGAGUUGGGCGUGGGAAUUCCACAAAUCAAGGGCUGCUGUAAAUGGGUGUUAAUAUCAGCAAUGAGCAUGAUUCGGAUAUGAGUUCUCUCAACCUUUUAAUUAAUUUUUUUUAUAAAAGAUCUGUAAAUGUUUCAUUUCCAUUUGAAAACUUGGGAAUUCUAGGUACCGUAUAUUGUUUAUGGAAGAAUCUCAGUCUCAAACCCCUCAAACGAUCUCUCGAUCUCUUAAUUUUAGGUACCAUAUAUUGUUUAUGGAAGAAUCUCAGUCUCAAACCCCUCAAACGAUCUCUCGAUCUCUUCUCCCCGCCUAUGGUGAACUCCCUCCUCCCGACCCUGAGAGGUACCUCCGUUGCCUUUACCUUCUGUAAUUUUUGGGGUUCGUGAAAUUAUUGAGUUGAAUGUAGGUUUUUUUGUUUGUUUGAAAAUUUGUAUUUUAAUUGUUGCUCACUCUUUUUUUUUUCUUGCAGUAAAAAGACUUUGCAUGAGCCACAAGGUUAGUGAAAUUAUAGAGUUGAAAUUGUUAGUGUUUUUCUUUUGUUUUUUGUGAAUUAUAAGCUUUGUGAAAUUAUUAAGUUGAAUGUAGGUUUUUUUUGUUUGAAAAUUUGUGCGUUAAUUAUGCUCACUCUUUGUUUUUUCUUUGCGGUAAAAGACUUCGAAUGAACCACAAGGUUACUGAAAUGAUAAAGUUGAAAUUGUUAGUGUUUUUUAUUUUUAUUUUUUGUGAAUUAUAAGCUUUGUGAAGUUAUUGAUUUGAAGAAUGUUGUAUUGGAACUUGGAAUGAAAAUUUUGAUUUGAAUUAUUAGAUAAGCAUGGAGUAUGUAGGAAUUCAACCCACGGCUAGCCAAAAACCACCUCGCCGGGCUGAGUCUGGUGCACCGGGAAGUGGUUCUGAAUGACCUUCUGAUGACCUUGCCCUCACAAGUAUUAUUUGUUCUAAUUGAAAUUUCUAAUAAGCAAAAGUAGGGAAGUUAUAGCUUAUUGCUUUGUGGAAGUUAAGUCUAUUUGGGCAUUCUAUAUUGCCACUGUAACAUGCUUAAGCUAUUUUGUUGGUUGUAAUAUCAUGUGUAUCAUGAAGAUUCUAAGGAAACGCAGAUGGGAGGAGCUCAAAACGCUUUGGUUGUUGGUCUAUUUGCACCAAGGGCACCGUGCGUGGUUUCUUGCUUACAAGUGUAUUAAUGGUUGUUUUCGCAUUUAUUUAAUAUACCUAUGUUGCACAUGUUUCAACUUAUGCCUCUUCCCAUGUAUAUUUGUGCCUAUUGAUUCGGUGACUCGAGCAUUGCAGUUCGCAAGGAUGAUGAGUCUACACGCAGCCCCGAAGGCCGAGUCAACUCACCAAUGACUGUACGAGUUCGCAAAUCUGUGAAGGUACAUAUUAAAUUUACCUAAUUUUUGGAUUUUGAUUUAGUUCAAAGUUGCAGUGGGAUUGAAAAUUGGGACUUUGUGGUACUCUCUCCCUCUCUCUCUCUCUCUCUCUCUCUCCUAUGUGUAUGAAUUGAGUUCUGAAGUGCCUGUGCAGAUGGGCGUGUUUACUAACUAAGCUUUCAAGGGGAGCCCAUCAACGGUUUGCUUGCUGGGGGAAUAUGGAAAUUACCAGUGUAUGAUUUGGUUAUCUUUUAUUUUUUAUUUAAAAUUAUCCAUAUAUAAUGUGGGUAUAUUUAUAAUAAAGAAUUGUGAUAAGCUAGUAUGCCAUAUGACUUUGAAAGCAUUGAUUUUGUGUUUAGUUUGGAUUUUUGCAUUGUGAAUGUUGAAUUUGUGUUUAUUUUGGAUUUUUGUGUUUGAAUUUGUAGCAUGAUCUUUCACUGCAUCAUCCAAAUUUUGCAUUUGUAAAUUGUGAAAGACAAACGAAGUAUGAGGAAAUUAUAGGAGAUUGUGUUGGCUUUGGCCAUUAAGGGUAUUAGCAGGUUGUUCCCCCAUACAGGUGAAUAGUCGUUUUUCAGUGUCUGUUCUAUUUGGAUGAGAAAGUGAUUGAAAAAAGAGGAUUUUUUUUUUUAUUUGUUGGUUGAUUUGUGUGUGGACUUUUUUUUUUUUUUUUUUUUUGAGUAUAGAUGUGAAACCAGCAAUGCAAGAGCAGGAUCUGAUUAGUCAUGCCUGAAAAGGGGUUUGUUUCUUAAAUCACAUUCAUUAGAUUAUUAAUAUGCUUUGAAGGUUCUUCAAUAUGCUUUUCUAAUUUCUCCUUUCCAGCGUUCUCUUUUUGGUUUUUGGAGUAUGUUUGUGAUUUAUAUUUGAUUAUAUAAAUGCAGCAAUUAAUUUGCAUCCUUGUGACAACGCAUAUGUGAAAGUGCAUUCGAUUCCAAUAUGGGUAUGUGUGACACGAUGUGCCUGCUGUUGCUGGUAGGCUUGCUGUUGUUUCUCGCACUGUUAACUUUUUGUGUGUGUUGAUUUGAUUAACAAUUCAAGCAUAUCUUUUGUGUUAUUUAUUUUUUUUUUUUUGUGUUUAAUUUUAUUUGAAUUUCUUAAUUUGUUCAAAGGAUGCUUGGUUAGCAGCCAGUUUUACUUAUUGGUUUUUUUAUUUGGAUUUAUAGCACUGAGGGUAUAGGUGAACGGUGAAGCGGUUUGUAUGGGCUCAUGCAUCUUAAACAUGUAGUGAGAAGUGAGGAUUUUGUUUAAGUGUUUUACAUAAUCUAAAGGAAUAUGUAGAUACUAUGAUUUGGACUUGCGUUCUUAAGUCAUGAUAAAGCAGUCCAAGUAAUUUUAACAUAGAUAUCAUUUUUUAUCUAAUGCAUGAGUAUAUGAAAUGCUAGACGAUAAUAAAUUGGGCAACACCAUGUGAUUUAAAAUUCAAAGAGAUACAAUGAACUGUGUUUGAUAUUUUGUUUGUCUUGGUUCAUUUAAAUUUGGCCUUUUCAGUUGGAUUCAUGGGUUUUGUGUAAGAUAUCAUGUUUCCGUAAGACCGCCAGCGGACAGAGACAGAGCGACAGAGAGAGAGGGAAAGGGAAGAGUGGGGAUCUCACAGCCAUGGAUUACGUCGCCAGUAAAUUUGUAAUUUUCGUUAUUGUUAUUUGUUAAUUAAUCCAUUUUUUUUUUGUUUGAAGGUCAAUUAAUUUAUCAGUUAAUAGUGUUGCUGUUAAUGAUUUAGUUUAAUUAAUCAGUUAAUAAUACUGCUGCUAAUGAUUUAGUUUUAGUAUAAUGAUGCUGUUAAUGAUUUGGUUUUGAGUUUAAAUCUGAUUAGCAAAAAUCGGAGGGUUUAAGGUUAUGCACUUGUUUUGCAUGUGACUGCCAGAGAAAUUCAAGCUUCUGCCAAGGUAAUUAUCGAUAAUUGGAUUGUUUAAUGCGAUCAACGUGGUAGUGAAAUGUUGAAUUUUAUGGCUACAAGUUUCUAAUUGGAAUGCUAAUGCUGCAAUUCAUGAUGAUCAAUAUUUUCUGACUUGAACAUUUACUGCAAAUGUAUUGUUGCUUUGUGAUGAAUGAGUUAUCUUUUGCAUAUAAGUCUUUUUAUUUCUCGAUACUAAGUCUAAAUAGAGAUUUCAGAGCAAAAUUGAGUUCAACAUAGCUUUGAUGGAUGGAUAGAUGUAUGCUUAGUUUGUAAGAAAAGAGAAAACGAAAACCAUACCAAACAACUCGCAUUUAAAGCUCUUUUUCUUUUUCUCUUUUUACAUAAAUCUUUCUUUGUUAGAUUGCUAGGGGGCUGCACUAUGUGAGGGAUUACUAUAGAUACUAGCCUUACGUGACUGCCUUGAUUUAUGCAUGAUGGAACUAAAUUACUUUAGAAUAGAUAAUUUUUUUGGUCUUCUUUCUUUUGUUGGAAUGUUGUCACUGUAAUCCGUUAAUUUUGGAUUGUUUAGUGUCAUGGGUUCUGUAGAAUUAGACUCCAGUUGUGUCAUGGGUUGUGUCAUCCCACAAACAAUUAUGCCAUGUGUGGGAUGCUGGAUGAUUGCUAAAACAUCAGACUUAUCAAAAUGCAAAUAGGAAAUAACACCUAUGUAAGUAUACUCUGGUUUUGGCCCUGCAUUCUUAGUUGUGUGAGAUAUGCAUGGUUGAUAUCAACUAAUAAUGCAUAUUGCAAUUAUAUUCCCUUAAUUGAUGGGGUCUUCAUAACCUUUAUGAAUUGAGUAUAGGAUUUAGAUGCAUAGUGUUGCGAUGGGAACAUGAAGACUGCAUUUGGGAGUGUGCAUUAAGUGUAUUUGAUGCAUCAAUAUUUUUUUAACUUAAAAUAACCCCAAAGGUUUGGCCUUUCUGUAUUCUCAUAUAGCAUUCAACCAACAACAUGCCAUAAGGUCUCCAUUCUCUUUUCUCAUUUUUGUCAGGUCUUUUGAAACAAAAGCGUUCAAACAUACAACGUGAAAUUGCAUGAUUAGAAGAAAACAAAGAUACCCAAAAAAAAAAAACUACACAAACUAAACCAAAUAUUAAGUCUUCCAGACACCCAAAUUCAAAACCAAUAAGUAAUGAUAACUACAUUAUUUUCUUUCCCAAUACACAACAAAUUAGCACAAAAACUCUAUAUAUAUGUAUAUAUAACGCUUCCAUAUGCUUAUUUCUCUUUCUUAGACGAAAUUAUCCAUAUGUCAAACCAUAGUGGAUAAUUUCACUUUAAUAACACUUCCGUAUGCUGAUUUCACCUCAUUAUUUUUUGCAUUCCAAUUGGUCUUUGUUUCGUUCUCAGACAGUUAUCGGCAUAGAUGAAGUAAAAUUCCGUUCUUGGCUCUCUUUUUCUUUGCUGUAGCAUCUUUUGUUUGUUGAUGUAAAUUUGGGUUAUGUUGGAUUUUUCAAUUUGAUUUUCCAAUAUAUGUUUUUGGUGACCAACUGUAGUAAAAUGCUGCUUAAAUAUUCAUCACGUUAAGGUUUUCAUGGUUAUUCGAGAAUAUCAUAUUUAAGUCACUAGAAUUCUUUAUACAGGACUGACUAGGCUCCUAUUUUAAAUGACAGGUCAAUCCCAAUUUUAUGCAUUUAAGUGGAUCACCCUCCUCUUAACCCAGGAGUUCAAUUUCGCUGACAGCCUUCACACUUGGGAUACACUUUCAAGUGAUCUGAGGGUCCUCAGGUAGUAUUAUAUCCUUUUGGACUGUAUAGACUGAAGAGUCUGUUUUCAAUGCAUGAAAUGAAAAAAUUUGGCUUUUGGUUUUCGCCUCCUGAAUUAUCUGAGCUAUUGAUUACAUUAAUGUAUGUAGUACAUGGUAUUUUUAAGCCCGAGGAGGACUAAAUUAGUAAUUUAUACAAAUUUUCUUAUGAGAAGACUUUCUACAUCUUUUCUUAGUCUUCUUAGUGUAUGAUUGAACUUUAUACUCCUUUCAUUCAUUAAUUUAUGAAUUGGGUUGUUUUUCUUUUGGGAUUUCAGUAUUUAGGUCUUUAGUGACUGCACAAUUUCAUGGUUUUUUACUAUUUCAGAAGUAAUUGAUAGAGUUAGAUGUGAUUCUACUAAAGUUGGAAAUCGUUGUGUCCUUAGAGCAAGCAAGUCUGCAGAUAUCCAUUUUGUUUUGAUUCGGGCACCUUCAACCAGACUGUAUAGGACAUAAAAAAAUGAUUUGAUUGCGCUGUUAUUUAUUUCUUUUUUUUUGAAUUUUUAUGGAGGUAUCAUUUUCUCAACAAAAUAGAAAUCACAUAAAUAAAUAAACCACUCAAGCAAUUAAUCUUCAAUAAGAACUUAAUAUCUUCUCAGGUUGGACAAACCAGCAGGUGUACUUCUUCACAAAAUUUACUUGCCCAUCUCUUAGAUGGAUAUAAAGAACAUCAAUUGUGUGUCUCUUACAUUUUUUGGUUUAGCUUUAAGUUAUGAUUUCUGAUACCGUAAUGAGUUUUUUCUCAUAAUGCAUAUGAAGACCUUUGAUUAUGUUGGUUCUAUGUUUGAACUUUGAAGCCAGAAAAACUCAUAUGUUGCUUUUGCAGUUUGAUUAGUAGUUGUUAAUUAGAAUUGGCUAAUUCUUUUACUAAGAAUUUGUUUUUACUCACUCUGUUGGUUCUUCAUAUAAGUACAUAAAAAGUGCAUCAAAGACUAAUUAAAAUUAGUUAGCUUAUGGGUGUGUUAACAUGUUUAAGUAGUAGUACUUAAACUCAAAAGAUGCUGGAGUGUUUCUUUCAUUAAUAAUUUGUAUUGAACUCAGCAUUUCAUAAGAGUCGAACCUGAGAGCUUUGUGGAAAGGAAUAAAACUAGAUCGUACCAUUUUAUGUAUGUUUGAUUACAUUGCUUACAAUUAGUAAUAAUUACAUUUUAUGGACAUUGUAGCUUUCAUGGAGUCCUCUGCUCAAACAUGUGUGAAGUUGAAUGACAAUAGACUACAUAUAUCAAAUAAUGUGGCUCACAGAAUUAAGUAGGAGAUUUAGGAUGGUCAGUUAGUUGUUACAUCCAUUUUAAUUUUCAAAUUAAUUUAGUAAUUGUUUGUGAAAACUCACAUUUCUGAUUUUUUUAAUUCAUUGGACUAUUAAACUGUGUCUUUUCACUUUGCUUUGUUUUACAUAUGUAUUCAACUGACAAUGCAAUAACUUUUUUACAGUAUCACUAACAACUCCCUUUCAUGAAACCAAGGAUGUAAAUAGAAUUAGUAUUUAUGAUGUAAUAUGUAUAUUUUUAGGAGUAUUACUUAAUUGAAUUUGGCACUGCAAAAAAGCAAUGUUGCUGCAAUUGUUAUUUACAUCCAUGCCAUUGGUUUAUAAGAAUGGGCUUUGUGUGUUUGGGCUCCUUGAGUUUGUUUGGUUGCUAUGAAUUGUUUGUGGCGGAUGAAUUUACCAUUUUGAUAUGAUCCUUUAUAUAUAAAAAUUUAUGAAAUUGCUUUGUGUUUAGUUUUUUAUUAUCUAUUUUUGGUUGCUAUCAAUUUACUUGAGUCACGGACAGAGAGCAGGGUUGACCUGCUGAGAUGGCAUAGAGAAGACCAUGGUUGACCUGCACGGAUGGCAGAGAGAAGAGGAGAGAGGGAAGAGUCGUGUGGUUUGGAAACAAGGGGUGGGAUGAGCAAAUCAAGGGUUAGGGGUGCCUGAAAGCUUGAUUGUGUUUUUGUCGGAAACGGGUGCACAGAGAGAUGGCUAGGCAGGGAGGGAGGGCGAGGGUAGGGUUGUUUUCAGUAAUUUUGUUCCAGCUGGAAGUCAUUUCCACAAGAAUUGAUGAAGGUCAUUUCCACAACAAUUGAUGAGGUGUUCUCCCCAGUUGGCAGUUUCAUUUGGUUCAAAAGAUAAGUCUCAGUUUCGAACCAAUUUUUUCUUCUUUGGCUGCUUAUGGUUUGAUCCUAAUUGAACAUGCAUUUUUUUCCUUUUGGUUUGUUCAUUGUUCAGUUGUGGUUCAGUUCUCCACCUUUUGGUUGGAGUACAAAAAAUGCUUUUAAAUUAUUAAAUUAGGAGAGCUAAGAAGAUAUUUUGUGCUAAUUGCUAUUUGAUAACUUUGGUUUUCUCUUUUGGCACCACCUUGCUCUCCAUUUCCCGUUUUCCUCUUGCUCUGCUGGUUUUUCAGUGUUACAACCUCUUUGCAAAAACCACACUGUAUGUGUUUUGCAUGUUUUUGUUCAUGCUUCUAUUGUUUGUUGUUGUGGUGGUGACCAUGUGAAUGGAAUUCUUAGUUAUCUAUUCCUCUAGAAUACGUGAUGCAUUUGAUUUUUGUUCAUUGACAGAUGAUGCCACAUGCCUGACAUUUUUAUGCCAUCACUCUUGGUUCUUUUGUGAUUGUUAUUGUUUGUUUUAAAAUGUGUAUGAUGUGUGUGAUGCACACAUUAGAGCAGAUGUUUCUACAUGUGGUUUUAAAUUGAGCAGAGGCCAUAAUUUUUUUUAUGGCGAUCUAACGGAGGACAUGACACAGGACAGAACACAAUGGCGUUCUAAGAUUCAUAUAGCCGAUCCCACUCAGUGACUUGGAUUUUCCAAGUCUCCAACCGAGAAGUUGUCCUCGCUCGGGAAAUUAAGGGAACACUACCUCAACCUACAUGCUCCACUCACAAAGCUCCAACAUACAAGCUUCAACAAAAGAAAAUUCAAAGAACUUAGUGAAGAAGGCUUUGGUGAUUUAACACAAUACGUUGAAAUUAAGGAAAACUUAUUUAUUGAUAUCCCCGAUAAAUUACAAAUAUGUACAUAUACUUGAGUCAAAAUAAACAAACAAGAGGGAGCCUUCACAAAGGUUGCUUAGGAGAAGUCUCGGCAGUCGGUAGAGCCCCAGAAAAAGAAGGCACCGGAUGGGGAUCAUUCGGAGCCUCAGUAUUGGACAGAACCCUAGAAGGAGGAGGCAUCAGAGGUUGAUCAUUUGGAGCUUCAUUACGCGGUACAGCCCCAGAAGACGAAGGCAAUAAAUGCCUUUGGAACAAACCCACAAAUCUCUGAUGAUCAAGUAAAACCUGACCAUCAAAUUCCUUCAUCUGGUCAAGCUUCCUCUUCAUGUUUGUAGCAUAGUCAUGUGCGAGCCGGUGCAACUGUUUAUUCUCAUGCUUGAGCCCUCUAAUCUCCUGUUUGAGACUCAUCACUUCAGCCGCCAAUGAUUCAACUUGGCGGGUUCGAGCAAAUAGGCGUUGGGCCAUAUUAGACACAGAACCUGCACACUGAACACUAAGAGCCAGAGAAUCCUUAACAGCCAACUCAUCAGACCGUUUGGAAAGUAGUCUGUUAUCUUUGGGAGUGAGAAGGUUCCUGGCCACUACCGCAGCGGUCAUAUCAUUCUUCAUCACGGAAUCCCCAACGGUAAGAGGACCAGUAGGGGAGACGAAGGAUGGGCGCCAUAUGUUGUCUGGAGAAGGCGGGGCUGCCUCUUCAACAAGGUUCAAGUCAAAACGACGGUCGGAGGGGCCAGACAUUUUCAAAGGUGUAGAAGAGAGAAGAGGUCGGACAAAUCAAGAUCUUAGAAGUGCAAGAAUGGAGCUUCUACUGGUGGAUAUUUCAAGUGUGCUUUGGAACUUAAUGUCAGCCUCUAUAAAAAUCUGCACUCGACGAAGCUUCAGAAAUCGAAGAGGCGUUUGCUUUCUCAAAAGCUGGGCUGCUCAGAGACCACGAGGGUCGAUCUCAGAAAUCGAAGAGGCGUUUGCUUUCUCAAAAGCUGGGCUGCUCAAAGACCACGAAGGUCGAUCUCAGAAAUCGAAGAGGUUUGCUUUCUCAAAAGCUGGGCUGCUCAGAGACCACGAGGGCCGAUCUCAAAAAUCGAAGAGGUUUGCUUUCUCAAAAGCUGGGCUGCUCAGAGACCACGAGGGCCGAUCUCAGAAAUCGAAGAGGCACCUACUUUUCCAACCUUGUCAGCACCUGUCACACGCACACUCAGCUUUGCGGAAAUUAUGGGCAUUUUGUCGAAGAUUUCUGGCGAAGUAGAAAGCACAUGAAUCGUACUGUUCAAUCACCCACUUCCCACACGCAACAGUAGCUCAUGGGUACCACAUAUAACUUUGCCAAAGUUCUCUGACAAAGUUGAGACUACUUUUCCAGCCUUGUCAGCACCUGUCACACGCACACUCAGCUUUGCGGAAAUUAUGGGCAUUCUGUCGAAGAUUUCUGGCGAAGUAGAAAGCACAUGAAUCGUACUGUUCAAUCACCCACUUCCCACACGCAACAGUAGCUCAUGGGUACCACAUAUAACUUUGCCAAAGUUCUCUGACAAAGUCGAGACACGUGAAGCUUGCAACUCUCACUACAUCGCUCUGACCAAGAAGGGUAAAAGAAUAGCAAAGAAACAACACUAACAAAGUUUAGACACAUAAAUUUUGAAGGCCUAGCUACCAUAUUAUUACCCACAAGGGUAAAGGAACAGUACCACUGCUGGAUAAUUGGAAAGUCCCGGUGUGUCAACCUCUGUGCUUCAUGGCAAGGUAGACUAGCAAACAUGCCCAACCUUUACUCACAUUCGAGAAAACACUCCCAACAAGAUUGCUUGCCCCAAAAUCGAAGAGGCAUCGCCCUCCGAAUGUCGAGAGCCAGACUCCCAACAUGAUUACUUUCUCAAAAAUCGAAGAGAGGGUAAAGGAACAGUACCACUGUUGGAUAAUUUGAAAGUCCCUGUGUGUCAACCUCUGUGCUUCGUGGCAAGGUAGACUAGCAAACAUGCCCAACCUUUACUCACAUUCGAGAAAAACACCCCCAACAAGAUUGCUUGCUCCAAAAUCGAAGAGGCACCGCCCUCCGAAUCUCGAGAGCCAGACUCCUAACAUGAUUACUUUCUCAAAAAAAUCGAAGAGAGGGUAAAGGAACAGUACCACUGCUGGAUAAUUGGAAAGUCCCUGUGUGUCAACCUUUGUGCUUCGUGGCAAGGUAGACUAGCAAACAUGCCCAACCUUUACUCAUAUUCGAGAAAACACUCCCAACAAGAUUGCUUGCUCCAAAAUCGAAGAGGCACCGCCCUCCGAAUCUCGAGAGCCAGACUCCCAACAUGAUUACUUUCUCAAAAAUCGAAGACACCGCUCUCCGAAUCUCGAGAGCCAGACCCCCAGCAUGAUUGCUUUCUCAAAAAUCGAAGAGGCAUCGUUCUCCGAAUCUCGAGAGGCAGAUCCCCAACAGGAUUGCUUGUUCGAAAACCGAAGAGGCACCACUUUCCCAACUUCAAGAGCCGGAUCUCCUUGGAUAAAGCUUGUCUGUAAUCUUCACACGCAACAUCAGCUUUCCAGAUACCACAGACCACUUUUUCAAAGUGCUCUGACAGAGUUAAAACUUGUGAAGCUGGCAGCUCCCACUACCGUGCUAUGACCAAGCAGGGUAAAGGAAUAGCAUUAUUACUUGAUGUUAGGGAGACUCCUAUAUAUGUCGACCUCCAUCCCCAACGGACAGGCAGACCUGCAAAAAUGCUCAACCCUUCCUCUUAUCUGAGAGGGCACUCCCAACGAAGCCUUUCGAAAUAUUCAGCUUUCUUUCCCCCCGAUAAUACCUCUGUAAACAAGCUAUACUAGAGCAAGAAUAUCUCAUAUCAUCAGGGUUAAAAGCAAGAGUAUCCCAUAUCAUGCUUUUUCCCUGUCUUUUCCUUUGGCCUUGUUCUUACCUGCAAGACAAGGAGAAAGAGAGCAAUCAGUCAGCACUUGUUAUCAAGCUUCCAGCCAGGAACUGACUGCCUGGAACCCCUUACCCUGGCAUUGCUCUCGAGUACUCAUCUUCAACAUCUUAUGCUUCCAGGGAAGAUACCGCAUCUGCCUGAGGAACAGAUAGGGCAAGUGAGAAGGAUACAAGGAAGCAUGUGGAGACAAGCGUAACAGCACACGUGCCGAUACAUCCACUACUCUGUCAAAAGAAAAAGUAUCCCAUAUCAGCAGGGUCGAACGUACUCUAGAUUUGAUGGACUUGUUUUGACCCUCAAAUUCUUCAGUCGGCCUUAUACUUUGGAGGAAACCAGAAAACCCUCCAGCCCAGUUCAAGAAUACGCCUGUGGAAAGUUACUUCUUCAAAAGCAAAAGUAUCCCAUAUCAUCUCUUCUCAUUUUUCUUCUCUUUAUCCUUCAUGCUGCUUGCAAGAUAGGGAGAAUGUGAACAAUCAGCCAGAGCUCUGAUUGCUUACCUUGUCUGUUACCUCUUUCAGCAGAUCCCCUAGCUCGGCGACUUGGGGGACUCCUACUACAUGGUUUGUAUCGUGCUUGACCAAGCCUGAAACUACAAGUAAGCUUCAAGUGACAUUGAUACAUUACCUUGUGCAUCUCCACCAGUUACAGAUACCACCCCUGGAUGGAGGAAGAGUACUUCCAGAGAAGAUUCCACAUCUACCUAUGAGACAGAUAAGGAAAGUCAAGACAAUACCACACUCCGGUACUUAGAAGUUUCGUGGUUACGAGAUCAUUCUCUCACAAUAUUUCCUAAUGUCAUUUGUACUAAAUCAUUCACUUGUACUCCCUAAAGGAGAGCUUGAACCUAUGUACUUGUGUAAACCCUUCACAAUUAAUGAGAACUCCUCUAUUCCGUGGACGUAGCCAAUCUGGGUGAACCACGUACAUCUUGUGUUUUCUUUCCUAUCUUUAUCCAUUUAUAUACUUAUCCACACUAAUGACCGGAGCAAUCUAGCGAAGAUCACAAAAAGUGACCGUUUUCGCUACCUAGGAUCUAUCUUGCAAGAGAACGGAGAAUUAGAUGGAGAUCUCAACCAUAGAAUACAAGCUGGAUGGAUGAAGUGUAAGAGUGUAUCCGGCGUGUUGUGUGAUCGUCGUAGGCCACUGAAGCUCAAGGGAAAAUUUUAUAGGACGGCAAUAAGGCCAACGAUGUUGUAUGGCACAAAAUGUUGGGCGGUGAAGCAUCAACACGUACACAAAAUGGGUGUAGCGGAGAUGAGGAUGCUUCGUGGGAUGUAUGGGCACACGAGAAAGGAUAAGAUUGGGAAUGAGGAUAUCCAAGGUAAAGUAGGAGUAGCCAAAAUUGAAGGAAAUAUGAGAGAAAAUCGGUUCCGGUGGUUUGGACAUGUGCAAAGAAGGCCUACUGACGCUCCGGUUCGAAAAUGUGACUACGGGACAGAAGUUCAGGGCCGAAGGGGUAGAGGAAGACCUAGGAAAACUUUGGAAGAGACCCUAAGAAAAGACUUGAUUACUUGGAUCUAACGGAGGACAUGACACAAAACCGAGCGCAAUGGCGUUCUAGGAUUCAUAUAGCCGACCCCACUUAGUGGGAAAAGGCUUUGUUGUUGUUGUUGUUGUUGUAGAUCGAACUAUCAUCACAACAUCGUGAUACUCUUGCUGCUGCCUUUGAUCUAGGGGUCCGCAGCGAUUGCACUUGAAUCAAGGCUCUGGUAGUGAACUUUCUCAUUCUUCCCGAAGUGCUUUAAUAUGUGUUGUUGAUAACUGCACUCUCUCAACGAACCAGAAAUAUUUUUAGACAAAUUGCAACUUCCGUAUUUUAGAAAAUGAGUGGCUUUUUAACAAUGCAUGAAUGCAGCUUACAUGUUCAGCAAAAUUCAUGGAUAUUUACAUUCAACCCGCAAGUAUCAUUAACUCAUAAAAUAUUAAGUUUAAUUCAUGGAUGUUUAUAUUGAACCCGCAAGAAUCAUUAACUCAUAAAAAAUUAUGUUUUGUAUUUUUUGUAUCGACUAUUGCUUCAAAUUUUUAUCUAAAACAUUGUCUAAAUGCUUAUUGGUUGUGUUUUUUGCCGCUUUGUUCAUUGAUGAUUGUGUUAAAUUUAUUCAGGUCCCGCCGCAACGCGCGGGCCUAUUUUCUAGUCUAUACUAAAGUAGGGGGAGAGCAGACACUAUUUACGUUUGUUUUGAUUUUGCUUUAUUUACAACAAUACCAGCCGAAUGGGAGUGGGUUGGGAGGGUAAUUCUCAAAAUUUCAGAGGGUAAUUUUGUCCAUAUGGCUUAUCAGGGAGCCACUCGAUUUCACGCAACAAAGCUGUCAGGUUUGGGCUGAUAUUGGGGCUGGGUUGGAAGGGCAAUUUUGUCCUGUUUGUUUGAGACGGAUUGGGGUGGGUUUACGUUUGCUGUCAUUCAGUGAGGGUUUCGGGGAUGGGAGGCCAUGCCUCCGAUAGAGAGGGAGAGAGAGAGACAGAGCGAGAGAGAGAGGGAGAGGGAUCCUGGCAUGGGUGAGUGGAAGGGAGACAGUGAGAGAAAGAGAGAGGGAGGGGUUGGAUGGUGAACAGAGCUGAGUAAGGUCCCCUCAGUUCAUGAAUCACUCUGGAUCGUCCUUUCCGUUUUGCAUGUCGGAUCAAUGGCUGGAUUUUGAAAGCUGAGUUCCAUUUUUUAUUCCAUUCUUUGUUGUUAGCAUAGAUGUGAACUGUUGGGGUUAGGUUUUGGGGGUUCCUUUGUUUCAUUUUCUCUCAUUUUGGGGAUGCAUCUCUCUGUUCUGUGCAUUGUCUUCUGUUUUAAGGUCAGUUUUCUUCUUCUUUUUUGUGGCUUUUUUUUGGGGGGGGGGGUUCAGUUUGUUGAUCUUUCACUUUGUAUUUAGAUUUUUCGUUCGUGAAUGAUUAAAUGGGUAUUGGGUUUUGGUGGUUGAAAAUAUGUUUUUUUUUUUCUGCUUAAGCUUCUUGCUCAUUUUCCUGGGAUUUUUGGUUUUCGGUUGCAAGGGUAAAGGGAACACUAAAAUCUCAGGUUAAAUGGGUAUUGGGUUUUGGUGGUUUAAAAUAUGAUUUUUUUUUGCUUAAGCUUCUUGCUCAUUUUUCUAGGAUUUUUGGUUUUCGGUUGCAAGGGUAAAGAGAAUGCUAAAAUCUUAGAAAUUGGUAUUGGCAAUUGUAUUAAUGCAUUUGCAUUUUCGUUGGUUUGCAUUAUAGGUGCAUUGAGACCUAAAAAUAUUUGCGUGAACUUCAUAAAUUUUUCUGAGGCUUUGAUCCUUGAAGGGUAUGUGUUUUUAAGCUAAGUUCAAUUUUUAAUUCGCUUCUCUACUGUUAGCAUAGAUUGUUAUCAUUUCUGCCCUUUUGUUAUGAAUUAUUUCUGGAUAUUAAAUAAACUGCAUAAAAUUUGGAUAUGAUGAGAAAACUAAUUAAACUGAAUGUUGGUAAUGAUUUCGUUUUUGAGAAGCUGUCGAAAAACAAAGUUUAGAUAGGAAAAACAUCAUCCUUACCAGUUAAGUCAUUGAUAGCAUUUUGAGCAUCCUGAAAAAGUAAAUGAGAGUAUGAUGAGAUUCAAUUUAGUUACAAAUUGACAAACUGUUAAAGGCAGAGGCUAGGCUUUAAACUAUUGUUCAGUGUUUAUCUGUACUGGUUUGUCUUACGGAAGUAUUAUUUCAAAUUUGUUGUGUGCUUGAGGAGGUCUAUCUUUUAUUCUAUCCUGAAAUUGGUCUGUCUUUGGAAUGGAAAGAUAAAAAUUUCGUAAAUGUUUUGAUAUUUUUGACAUGAUUUAUACUUGGGAUUUAUAUUUUUCAAAGUUUGUAAAAGUACUUGACCUGUGAUGAGUUCCUUUGUAUACGUUAUUAAAUAAGUUACAUAUUUUUCGUGAAUAAUUGUGUGUUUGAUCUGGUACUAGAACAAGAAUGCUGUUUGAAAUUUUGUUGGCGUACUAAGUGAAACUACCACUACUGAGGCUUUGGAGGAAUGGUGUCGAAACCCAUCAAAUUUUCCCAUACUGAUUGCUUCAUUUAUUUUUUUAAGCUUUAUUUGCCUCAUUGUUCACCUGUGAUGGUUUCAUCAAUAUUGGUAACAUAGGAUAAUUUCAUGUUUUUUUCUUUCGGUUUUACGACAUUUUUCCUCGCUUCAAAAUCUUAUAGGCUUCAUAAAUUUACUUACCUUUGUUGGGAUUCUGAUCUUUUUACUGAAAUUGUUUUGGUCCCUGCUACUCAACUCUGAUUUCUGCUAUUAAUUGCUGCUGAAAUGUGACUUUUGCUAUUAAUUUAUUUACCCUUCAUAUUUAUGCUGCUUUUUUAUUCCAUUCGAAUUAAAUAAUGUAGUUAAUCUUGAUAUGAAUUCUCUCUGCAACAAUAAUUAGCGAUUUUAGUUUAAAUUAUUAUUGAUUUGUUCUUGAUCUGCCAUUGAAUCUUUCUUAAUUUAGACUACAGGUGGUUCUGACGCGGAGGAGAAGCUGUAAGAGGUAAUGAUCCUGCUGCACUUAAGUGCAGUUGUUCUUCAACUCAUAUAAACUUUCUGGUAGGGUUCAAACUGUUAAGGGUUUUAUUAUUUUGCAAAAGCUUUUUAGCAGCAGAAGUUUGGUCUUUUUGUGGUUGCAUUAUUACACUAUACAACUUGAGUUAGAAGGGGUUUCUUGCUAACUGAUGUGACUUAAGAAUUCUAAAAGCAGUUGCAUUUUACAAUAUACAACUUUAGUUUGUCUCAGUUUCUCAAUGAGUGCCAUAUGAAUUCUUAAUUUAAUUUCGGAAGGUGAUGCGUUUAAAGUUUGUGUUAUGUGAUGAAGUUAGCAUUUUGUAUUUUUUUUUUAUUAUACACUGGUGGUGAACAUUUUUAGCAUAUUGGUUGAGAAAGAUUUAUCAUUUUCUCAUUUUUGUAUUUCUAUAAAUUUUGAGAGUCUUCGUUCUUCAAAAAUCAGAAAGGUUACAAUGUAGUAAGGGUGUAAGAGUUGCCCUGGAUCAAGCAAAAGGAGUAAUACAUUCAGCAUUUACGCACUGAAGUAGGCCAAAAGUGAAAACCGACGAGUAAAGAUUAUGGUAAUUCACUAAUUUAAACAUAAACCAGCUUUGAGAGUGAUACUCACCCAUUGUCGGUUUUCCUUGCGAGCAUAUUUUCUACCCAAAGUUUCCCAAACUGUUCUCAAACUGCUGUAUCGGCAUAUCUUUCCAACUUCUAAUAGUCUCUGGUGCUAGAACAUCUUCUAACUUCAUUCUAAAAAAAAUAGAUUGAUACGUAAUGACAUUUGAAACCAGGUAAGUAAACAGUUUAAUGAGGACGAAAUUCAGAAGUAGACCCAAAUUGUCAGAUAUUCCUUGGGAGUAAGCAUUGUUCGUUUUUAAUCACAAAUGGUAGCUAAAAUUAUCUUAUUUAUUACCACCAUUGAUUUGAAUUUGUAAUACACAAUGUUUAAAUCAUUUGAUCGUUAGUUAGUUAAAUUUAAUACUGGUAGUUUGGUUGUGAUCGAAUUUAUCCAAUCUCAAAAAGUGUGACAUGUGAGGUGAUAACAGACUAACAGAGGAGAAUGAGUUGACACUUCUGUGUUUGAUUUACAAAUUUUGGCUAAUUCUUGCCUUUUUUUUUGUUUCCUGGUGAUAUAUAUCUGUCUUCAUAACCAAGUAGCGAUAACUUUGAGUUUCUAGAAGUUUUAAUGCAUGGUUUAUUGAAUUGAUUUUGAUGUGUGGCUUAUUCAAUUUGAAUUUGGAUAUGUGCUAAUUUGAAGAACUUGACAAAAUCUGAGGAACCUUAUUCACUAUUUGGCCAUUAGAUAAAACAUCAAUAUAAUUUCCCUUGCUUUCACUGAUUCUCUGUGAUUAAAGUCUAGAAAAAUACAGUGAAAAAGAUGAAACUUUUUUAUGGGAUUGACAAUUUUCGGUUUAGUUUUGGAUAAAAAAGAAUCGGUGUGUUACUUAUUAAGUUGAGUUAACAAAUUUGCAACAUGCAACAGAGCACAUAGGAGAACUUUUCAAACGAGUUAAGAAGAUCUAGCUGAAAAGAACUUACAAGAUAGAGAACUGAUAUGCUGCUUUGUCUUUGUGUUGGAUUUUGAUGUUUAUGUUUUGCUUCUAAGUAGACUUUAUACUGUUUUAGAUCAGUUUUGUAAAUGUGCUUAAAGAUUGGACAUGUUAUUGAAUAUUAGCCAUGUAGUUUGAAUUGGAUAUGUGAUUGAAUAUUAGGUAUUUAGUUUGAAUUGAUUUGAAUAUGUGGUUUAUUGAAUUGGAAUUUGGAUGUGUGCUAAUUUGAAUUGGAUAUGUUUGAGUUAGAGAUGUGCUACUUUGAAUUGGAGUGUGCUAUAUUAAUAUAUAAUGAACUAAUGGAUACAGAACACACACACACACAUUCACCAGUCACCACAUACUUUGGGUUAUACCUGUAUGGGUGAAUCGCUCUAAUACUGUGUAUUGGCAUGGUUAAUUCUUUUAGGUGCAGGUUACCCUAUAGAUGUUACAAUUUAGGUCUCGAAUAAUCUUUCUCACCUCCCUUCUAAUACCAUCAAGUCAAGUGGACCUUUCCUAAACAAACCUACCAAUCUCUAAAAUCUUCCAAAUUUCCAUACCUCUUCUAUAGGUUUUCAGUGGAUCAAGACUUUUUGUUGACAUCUUAGUGUUUAUGUUCAACACAUAACUCAACAACGAGUUACAAGGAAAUGAGAUAUUUAUGCAAAUCAUUUGGAGUUUGAUCUAUUUGUAUUAAUGUACGAAUGGAGAAUUAUUUUAAUUGGUUUUUUUUAUGUUUAACAUCUUUUGUUAUUCAUAUUUUUACCUCUUUUCCAAUUUUGGGGAGCAUUUUUUGCUUUUUAGUUGGCUUUAAAACGAAAUUUUUUAAGCUGCCAAACUGCAUUUGGUUUUGUUUGAAGCUACUAAACCGCAUUUGGUUCUGUUUGAUUGUUGUCUAUUUAGAGUUUUUCCUGUUUUGGUUGGUGGGGUUGAAUUUAUUUGGGUUUAUAUUUGAUUUAGUUGGUUAAUUUUUUUUAUUAGUUGCAGAUGAUAUAUUACUGUGGAACUUUCAAUCUUUGUGGUCAUUUCAGUGGUAGUUUUGCAUAUCUUGAUAUGUAAUGAUAAAAAAAUUAAUGACAUUGGUCAUAAAACAAUUUUUUGGUUUGGUUUAGAAGAAUGCGGUUGGUUCAGUGAGAUUUUUAUUCAUUAACUGCAUAACCAAAUUUAUGAAUUGUAUAUGUUGUCUUGAUAUCUAUGAAUGUGUAAUGGAGAUGUAAACAGAUAGUAUGAAUGAGAGGGUUGAAAUGGAAUCAACCCUGUGGUUGGGGACUGAACGAAUGUAAAAUGUUAGAUCUAGUAUAAAUUGGAUAGUUGAGCAUCCCAGUGUGGUUCUCUGUUUUUCCAAGAGAAUAUGUAUUGGGUAGGUUGGUCAGCUUCGAUUUCAGCAAUAGGAGAAAUUUAAACUGUGAUAUAUAAAGUUGGUUAUUUGCUUCUCACGCCAUUAAGCCACAAAAGUUAUUCCUGCACUUAGUUCUUUAUUAUAAGAUUGAACAAAUUUAAUUUGCUUUUACAUCCGAUUGUAUUGAAGUAAUUGUAGGUUCCAUGACAUUACUGUUCCAUUAUGGCCUUGGUACAGAGCCCUUGCAAUUUACUCAACAUUUCACGUAGGCCUUGAACUUGUGUACUCUUCACUGAACCAAAUUAGUUGUGUUAGAUUCAAAAUAUUCCUAAAUUUUUUUUGUUUUGUUUUGUUUUGUUUUUUUGGUUUUUUGGUGUGUCUUUGCUCAUUUAGCUAAAUUUCAUUAGAUUUCGUCUUUGAAUUUGAAAGUCUUAGGGUUGCUAAUGGAUUUACUUUUUGCAAAUUUCAGAAAUUUCGAUCGUUGGAGGAAGAAGUUGGUUCCUUGAUGUUUUGAGGUAUAUAAUUAUGUGCCAUCAUUUUUUUUUCAAAGCCUAAUUAGUUAUCUACCUUUUUUUAUUUAUAUUCGUGAAUCUUUCAUGCUUGGAUUUUAAAUAUAUGUGUAAACACGGAAAAUUCCUGAAACGAAAGAGACAAGAACAACGUGCACAAACAAAUAUUUGUAUUUGAUGAUGUUUUUGGGUUACAAUCUCUCUCUAAUUUGAUCAUCUGAUUCGAUCUCCGUAAGACGUUGAUUUGUGGAUGUUUCGUUGAUCCAAGGGCCGUCGGGGCUUGAUCUUGGAUGAACUGUUGGAAGUUUCUUUAAAGGGCCGUGGGCUUGAUCUUUGAAGGUGGAUUUGAGCGGAUCUUCAAGGAGCCGUUUGAGGCUUGAUCUUGAAUAACGGUGAUGAGCGGAUCUUCAAGGGCUUUUGGGCUUGAUCUUGAAGAAACAGUGAUGAACAGAUCUUCAAGGGCUUUUAGGCUUAAUCUUGAAGAACGGUUGGAUGUGUGUGUGGAUUUGUCGACGUUGUUGAUCCAAAGGGCCGUUGGGGCUUGAUCUUAGGAUGAGUAGUUGUGUGGAUUUGUUGAUGUUGUUGAUCCAAAGGGCCGUUGGGGCUUGAUCUUAAGAUGAACGGAUGAUGAACGAUGAAACUUUCUUCAAGGGCCGUCGGGGCUUGAUCUUGAAUUGGUGGAUGAUUGUUGAUCCAAAGGGCCGUUGGGCUUGAUCUUGGAAGAACGAUGAACGAAGAACGAAGAACACUUUCUUGAUUCUUCGGGAACCUGGAUGCUUGAGAGCUUCGGAGUUUCAGAGCUUCAGAGCUUCAAGGUGUCAUAUGAAUUCCUUCCUCCCCUUUGGAAUGAAAUAGCCUUCUAUUUAUAGAAAUUUCCAAGGCCUAAUUUUGAAUAUAAUAUUCCAGAUGAAAUAAGUCGUUUCUGCCAGGUGUUGACACGUGUCCUAUUUGAUGACUUUUCCAACUCAUUUCAAUUUUCGUUGAGUCACACGCUACGUGUAAAAUUUUUGUAAUACAUGAACGUUGACACUUUGAUUUAUCGGUCAACAUUUAUUUACCGAAAUUUCGAUGUCUACAAAUGCCCCCACUUCAAGGCACGUCGUAUACAUGUGCUUGUCAAGUGUAGGAGAUGCGUUUUGAAGUCCCUUACUGUAGAUGUCAAUCCAAGGGCCGUCGAGGCUUGAUCUUGAAUUGGGCUGGAGAUUUCUUCAAGGGCCAUUGAGGCUUGAUCUUAAAUUGGGCUUGAGAUUUCUUCAAGGGCCUUUGAGGCUUGUUCUUGAAUUUUUGUUUGAAAUUUCUUCAAGGGCCGUCGAGACUUGAUCUUGAAGGUUGAAAUUGGACCACAAGGAGCUUCAUGUUGUAGAUGAUCUUUGGCUUUAGUAGUGGGUGAAUCGGCACAUAUUUUGUUGCGCUUGUUGACUUUCCACAGCUUUGAUCUUGAACUGGGUUGGAGGAUUUUCUGGAUUCCUCCAAUUGUUGAUUUUCCACAGCUUAUUCUUGAACUAGGUUUUGAUUCAAGGGUGGUAGACACUUAAUCUUGAAUCGGACUUGUGAUUUCCUCAAGGGCCGUCGAGGCUUGAUCUUGAAUUUGGCUGGAAACUUCUUCAAGGGUCGUUGAGGCUUGAUUCUUGAAGGUUGACUCGAACACAUGGCAAGCGGGCACGAGGUGAAGGUGACGACUUGUUGCUUUGUUCAAUCUUUCUAAUUCACACCUGAGCAGUUUGGUCAACGGUAUGAUCUUCAAGAUUGACGGGCUAUUCUUCCAGAUGGUGACUUGAUCUUUAAGGAUUUGAUUCAAGGGUGGUGAAUCGGCACGUGCAGCCCACAACGCCUAGUAAGUCGACCUAAGAAUUUGAGGGUCAAAACGAGUUCACCGUCCAGAGUGAUUGCACCCUGAUGAUAUGAGAUACUUUUGAUUUUAACAAGUAGCGGAUGAAUUAGCACGUGCUUGGUUGCACUUGUCUCCACAUGCUUCAAGGUAUCAUUUUCAUUUCCUUUAUCUGUUCCUCAGGCAGAUGCGGCAUCUUUUCGAGUUCUUCAUCUCAGACUCUUUAUGCUGAGUUGACUGUGUAUGCUGCAUUCUUCUCUGCUUGUUUCUUCAGGCAGAUAUGGCAGUUUCUCGAGUUCCUCAGUUCGGACUCCUUCUUCUGAGUUGACUGUGCAGACCGCAUUCUUCUCUGCUUGUUCCUUCUGCACCUUGUCUCCACAUGCUGCAAGGUAUCAUUUUUACUUGCCUUAUCUGUUCUCCAGGCAGAUGUGGCAGCUUCUUUGGAGGUACAGCAGCAGUGGGAAAUGAGUACUCGAGAGCAGUGCUAGGUAGGCAAUCAGGGAAGGGUUCCAAGCAGUCGGUUCCUUACCCGAGUUUGAGUGGAAGUUCCGGCAUAUUGUUUUCUUUAUCCUUGUCUUUGUAGGUAGGAACAAGGACAAAGGAAAGGACAGGGAGAACACAUGAUAUGAGAUACUAUUGCUUUCUACCCUGGUGAUAUGAGAUACUUUUGCUUUGGAGUCAUUGGCUUGCAGAGUUACCCCAAGGAAUAAAGAACACUGAAUGACUCGAGAGGUUUCGUUGGGAAAGCAUUAUUUUUUUUUUUUGGAGAUGAAGAAAGGUUCUGUAUGUAUGCCUUGCUAUGGAGGGUGAAGGUGGACAGUUAUAAGAAGUUCCUUAAUACCUGUAGAGGUACUCUUCUUUCACUCGUGUCAGUAACCAAUGCGUGAUUGAUCAGUAUGGCUUUAUGUGCUUUCUUCUUUAUCAGAAAUCUUCGACGAAUUGUCCGUAAUUUCCGCCAAGCUGAGUGUGCAUGUGACAUGUGUUGACGCGGCUGAAAAAACUGGCGCCUCUUCGAUAACUGGGAUCGGCGCUUCGACAAAUUACCCGUGAUUUCCGCAAAGCUGAGUUUGCGUGUGAUGGGUGCUGACGUGUCUGGAAAAGACUGGCGUCUCUUCGAUAUCUGGGAUCGGCGCUUCGACAAAUUACCCGUGAUUUCCGCAAAGCUGAGUUUGCGUGUGAUGAGUGUUGACGCGUCUGGAAAAAGCAAGAUGCCUCUUCGAUUUCUGAGCUUGCCUCUUCGAUUUUUGAAUUGGCCUCUUCGAAUUCUGAGCUCGCCUCUUCGAUCUUUGAAAUCCUGUUAAGUGCUGAUUUUUAUAGAGGCACGCAGUUCGUUUCAAAGCACACUUGAAUUUUCUCUUGUAGAAACUCCAUUCUUGCACUUCUAAGAUCUUGACUUGUCUGACCUCUUCUUUCUUCAACACCUUUGAAAAUGUCUGGACCCUCCGACCGUUGUUUUGAUUUGAACCUUGGUGAAGAGGCAGUCCCGCCUUCUCCUGACAACAUAUGACGCCCAUCCUUCAUAUCCCCUACUAGUCUUCUUACCGUUGGGGAUUCGGUGAUGAAGAAUGAUAUGACCGCUGCGGUGGUGGCCCGGAACCUUGUCACUCCUAAAGAUAACAGACUACUUUCCAGGCGGUCUGAUGAGUUGGCUGUUAAAGAGUCUCUGGCUCUUAGUGUGCAGUGUGCGGGUUCUGUGUCCAACAUGGCCCAACGCCUAUUUGCUCGAACCCGUCAAAUUGAAUCAUUGGCGGCUGAAGUGAUGAGUCUCAAACAGGAGAUUAGAGGGCUUAAGCAUGAGAAUAAACAGUUGCACAAGCUCGCACACAACUAUGCCACAAACAUGAAGAGGAAAAUUGACCAGAUGCAGGAAUCUGAUGGUCAGAUUUUACUUGAUCAUCGGAGGUUUGUGGGUUUGUUCCAACAACAUUUGCCUUCGUCUUCUGGGGCUGUACCGCGUAGUGAAGCUCCGAAUGAUCAACCUCCGAUACCUCUUCUUCUUGGAGUUCCACCAAGUGGUGUGACUUCAAACAGUCAACCUUCUAUUUGCUUGGAUGGUCGUGUUACUUGAUGGAACUGCGGCUGUGCUCUUCAGCUGCUUGAUUCUCUCUCUAAAAUUACCCACUCAUCGUUGAAGCUUCAAUUUCCAUUAAAAAUUUUCACUGUUGAGGUAAACUCUCUGCUAAAAGCUUCUAAUUCAUCCUUUAUUUCUUAUUUCAUCUGGGCAAAUUUGUUGAUUAGGGUUAGGUUGGGGUCUGUUUGGUUGCUGGAAAAUUUGGGAAAGAAAAUGGAGUCUUGGGAUUAGGAUUUAGGACCUUCAUAACUUGAUUGAUUAUGAAUUUGUUUGUUUAUCUCUUAAUUAGUAUUCAAAUUUAGUGCAUAUAAGUCCCUUUCUUAAGAGGGAUCUAUUUUGAUAAGAAACAAGACCUUACAACUGUUGCAUUUUUCGUUUUCUUGAUUGUAAAGUCUCUGUACCAUGUCACGUAUAUUAAUAGGAUGCUUAGGUAAUUGCAGGAGAAGUUAUGCAUGCAUUCUUUUGGCAAUCCUUUCCCAGAACCUGUAUUGAUCCUGAUAUGAGUCUAACUCUGCCUUGGUCAUUGCUCAACAUGGAAACGUAAUGAAAUAUCUUCUUUAUAAGCGUUUCUAGGCUCUAGCCUCUCUUUUUGAGCAAACUUAUCUAAUGUAUAACAAAGCAUGUUCUACUAGAGCUCAAAUCAAACAAAGAGAGGGAAAAUCAAAAUACACCAGAAAUAAAAAAAAAUAAAAAAUAAAAACUUAAUUUAUUAAGAUGUAUGGAGGAAAGAUUUUAGUCAUUUAAAUUUGGGUUAAAUUAAUGAUGUUAUGUAGUGAUUCUAAUUUGAUGCUUGCUUGCCCUGCAAUCAACUCAGUGCUUAAGGAUUAUGUAUGUUUCCCACUUCCCAGGUCUAAUUUGAUCGCAUGCAUGUAACAACAGUUAAAUUGGGGGACUGGACAAUUAACUAAUCAUGAUCAUGUAUGAAUAUGGUCUCUGCAAGCUCAUUACUGUUAUGGGAAACCACCUAAAUAAUCAAUUCCUUGCUUUCUACGUACAAUGUUAUCAAAUUCUAAUUUCAAAUUUUCUGAUUUUGGGGUGGAGGGAGUGCUAAUAUAGUAAUUUUCAGGUAUUUUGGUUCUUUGCGGGAUUUUUUUUGGGUAACUUUGUGAUUUGUAGUUGAUUUUAGGAAUUGUUUAUGGGUUUGGUUUGAAUGCACUGACAGAAGUUAUUGUUUCUGUUAAUGCAUAUGAAAUAGGGUUUCUGCUUUCUAGGAUGUUUCUGGUCUUUAGAAAUUGCUUGAUUUGGUAUUGUCAAAUGGUAUAUGAAUUUCCACGUUCACUUUGACAGUAUGUCGUAGUAGUUUAAUUGGUGCGAUAGAAGUUGAGGUGUUGACAUGCAAUGAGACACAUGUAGUUUUCCUUGAUUUCGCAGGAUAAAGUUUUAGUUUGAUUUAGGCUAUAAAUGAUAACCAAAUUAAGUUGAAUGAGUUGUCACAAUUAGAGACGGCUGAUGGCAUUUUGAACUGCUCAGAUACAACUGAAGUGGAGAAGGAUAGCUCAGUGGCUUCCUAAGGUGCAAUGCUACUUCAGAAUGCUUUAGUUCAGAAGCCGGCAGAAUCGAAUGACAAUCUUGGACCAAGAAAGAAAUCAUUAUGUGAUAUUGGGAACCUACUGGUAUGCUUCAUUAUCCUUUUUGAACCCUGCUUUAUUUUUCUUAAAGAACUAAAAUAUUUUUUAGUGAGGACUAUGUUCUCCACUCUAAUAAUUUUCUUACCCUUAUAUGGGACUGUUUGCAUUUCAGAACUGUGUUUUUAAGGUACUUAUGACUUCUAAUUGCCAUUUUGCAUUCAAAAUAUACUCUAUUGCUUGCUGGGGUUUAUCCCUUGGAGCAUUUCAUUACGUUUCUCCUUACUGUCUAACUGAAAAUUUUUAAACCCUAUAUAGUUGAAUGCAGACACUGCAAAACCUGGCUCUAAGAACUGUAGAUGCUGAAGACAAAAAAGAACCAGAGGAUGCUUUGCAAGCAGAAGGUUAAGAUAAAUUUUUCGUUAUGAAAGAGAACAUUGUUCUUCAUUUGCAUACGGUUUUUACUACAAAUUUAAUUUAUAUGCUUGAAACUUACGCUGUCAUAUCAUAGUUCAAAACGAAUAUAUUUGUGUUAUUGGAUAAGCAUUGGCCAAUUGGAAGGCUAUUGACUUUUCUUAUAAAGAAAUCAGUCAUCUUCUCAUUUUCGAUGUUGAAGAGUUGGUUGCGUUUUAAUAUUUAUAGGCCAGGACGAAAGAAAAAAGAUUAGGCUAAUAGUUUAUGAGCCCCUAAAAUUUGUAGUGACCUAUUGGAAAUUAUAUAAUAUUUUAGAUGUCUAAAGGUUAACGUGCCAAGUCAUUAUGCUGGUACUAUUCCGUUUUAGUAUUUGUUGGAUUAGAAUGUACUCAUUGUUUUAAGUGAGUAAUAAUUUUGACUCCUAAUAAAUAUUUAGAUUGAUAAAUCAAAGGGUAGGGAGGGAUAGUCGGUGAAGCUCUUGGUUUGGGUGCUUUAACAUGCUGUUGUGUAUUUUACUGUUUUAUUAGAUUUGGUGCUUCAUAUGCAAAUAAUGUAUUUCUGAAUCGGAUUUCCUAUUUUUAAGAGAAUGGUACUCUCUCUGCUUCCUCCUUGCAUAUUGAUAAUUAUAUAUUUGUGUGUGUAUGUGUAACUAUGUAUACAUCAUUUUUUUGUUGUUGUACAUGUUAUACAAAUGCAAAUAUGAUGUUAUAUCCACCCGCCGCCCCCCGCGGAGGUGCUGAAACUCACAUAUCCUAUAGGAUGCAUAUGUUAUUUUGUUUUAUUGAACUGGACUAACAAAAUUUGGAGUUUCUACUUAUUUGAUUUGGAUAUGGAGUAAAUUUGCUCCUCUGUUAAUGAGUUCAUGUUCCCUUUCUUAUUUCAGGUAUUGAGUAUAUCCCUUUCUGCCUUGGGAUCUUUGAAGUGGCUUCAUAAUAAUAAGCCUAAGACGCAGGUUCUUAUAAUAUACAUGUGUAGGAAUUGUUCAAACCAUCCAUCUAUCAUAAGGUCAGCUCCUUAGCUUCCAUUUGUUCUACUGCUACUUGAAAAAUUAUGCGCUUUUAACAUUGGUCCAUUGCUAUGACUAUGACAUUGAUUCUCUUUUGACUGGUUACCAUAUCGUGUUGUAAUCAAUUGACAGUCUCUGUGAUUAAGUUGCAACUUGAAUGUUUUCUUGCCUACUUCUAACUUUGGGUGUUUUAUUCUGCAACACUGUUAUUCGGAUGACUAUGAUCAUGUAAGCAUCAAUAUUCACACUCUUUGUCUCUGUAUGGCAUAGAAUGUUGGACGGUGAAGCAUCAACACGUAGGUGUGGUGGAGAUGAGGAUGCUUCAUCGGAUGUGUGGGUACACGAGAAAGGAUAAGAUUAGGAAUGAGGAUAUCCGAGGUAAAGUAGGAGUAGCUGAAAUUGAAGGAAAGAGGAGAGAAAAUCGGUUACGGUGGUUUGGACAUGUGCAAAGAAGGUCUACUGACGCUCCGGUUCGAAGUGACCACGGGACAGAGGUUCAGGGCCGAAGGGGUAGAGGAAGACCUAGGAAAACUUUGGAAGAGACCCUAAGAAAAGACUUAGAGUACUUGGAUCUAACGGAGGACAUGACACAAAACCGAGCGCAAUGGCGUUCUAGGAUUCAUAUAGCCGACCCCACUUAAUAGGAAAAGGCUUUGUUGUUGUUGUUGUAUUAGGAGCUUCAGCUGGUAGGCUCACUGCAGGUGAUGCUUGGGAGUGACGCUGUAAUCCAGUAAUUACAUUUUGUAGGAUUUAUUAUCAACUGAUAGGUAGAUGAUAUAGAAUUUAUUAAGGUAUUUUAGUUCUAUACACACAAGAGACAAAAAACAAAAAAACAAAAAAAAAAAUGAUUGUGAAAGUAACUUUCUUUUUCAUUAUUGAAAGUGCAUUACAACUAUCAGAGUUAUAUUUUAUUCAAUUAUUCUUAUAGUUUUAGGUGGUGAUUAAGUUUAUGGUACGUAAUAUUCUUAUUAGUUUUUUGUUGUUAUAUUUUAUUCAAAUAAUAUCUUUAGUCGUAUUUUAUUCAAACAUUACCAGAACAUUUUCGAUUGCAGACUCGGAUUUCUAAGAGCCCACUUUCCCAAACGGAGCUUAAGUUCAACCACAGUGCUAUUUCUUUUCCUGUUCUAUAUCAAGUAGUUUUUAUUUAUGAACAAACAAUAUUUUUUACACUAAAGAAGAGAGGGUGAACUUAGCCUCAUAAUGGGCUAGCAAUAAUGAUGUCCAAAUUUGCCUUUGGCGAUAAUCGAAUUUAAGAUAUCUCUUUUUCACAAUUAUUAUUUACUAAAAUGGUGAGGAAAUCCUUCCAUUAUACUGUCUAUAUUCAGUUAUAAUACUUUCAUUUGCAUACAAUUGAUUCCAACCCAAAUAGGAUAUUAGUUGACUUAGAAACGAUUCUAAUGAUUCUCCUGUUUUAUCUAAUUAUUGUCCUAUGAAUUGUAUUCUUCUGUUAAAUAAUGAUUAAUUAGAAUGUUUAGAAAAAAAAAAACUCAGGCAUUGCAAUGUUUGAAAUGAUAAUAUAAAUCCAAUUUGGCCAUUUGCUAGUCAGAGAACCUAAUUUGGGAAGUAAGUUUUAAAGUUUCAAUAGUUUCGUUGUGUGUAAUUUUUUGUGCUUUGCCUACCGGGAAUCUAAUAACCAAAGGUUUGCUUAUGUUUCUCAAAUGGUUUUUAACUAUAUGUUUUGUUUUUUUACUAUUUUCAGAUGAUAUAAAUGAUCAGUUCUAUAAUGUUGUUAAGAAUAAAGGAUCUAAUAUAUUUGAUUUGUUGUCUACAAAAAACCAAGUAACUUGAUAGCACAAAGUUACUAAGUCAGUUACCUGCUUUGCGAUGGCUUCUUUCUCCCUUCUUGAUUGCCAGGUGCGGAUCCAUGCAUUGUACUUACAUUUUUGCAAUUUAAUUAUCCUCUUUGAAAUUUCUGUCAAGAUAUUCAUUUUCCUGCAUUUUAAAGUUGAAAAGUGUAGUUUUUAGAGUGAACAUAAUGGAACAAUCGAAUCAACUUUCCUUUUCCAAAGACCAGCCCCAACUUUGUUGAUCAAUUUCGUUCUCAAUUUUAAUUAGUUAUCUACUUGAAUCCAUUUUUCUAAUCUUAAUUAGUUCAUGCAAUUAGCGAUCUUUCAUGUUUAAAUAUGCUAAAUACUUUAGAUUUGAAAUUUUGUGUGUUGAAUAUCAAGAUAGAACAUUUCUCUAAAACACCAUCUAUCCAUUUAUGCAUCUGUUUCCAACUUUCUAUUAUUCGUUUUAUUGUUCCUCCUUUUUUCUAAUAUGUAGUUGUUUUCAUUUAUCUGUUAUAAAUUGGAAAAAUUGAAGUUAAUGUGAACAAAUGACAAUUGGAUUUGUUAAAAGGAUAGAUUGCAUUGAAAUGUGGCUGUAAUGAUCAUCGAAUUCCCUCAUUUGGGUAAUAUUGAAUCGUAUCGAGUUCUGCAUGUGUUGGGCUUUCUGGCUAUCCUCUGUUUGGAUGCUCAGAAAGUUUGGUGGGAAUUGGAAAUUCAGUUUGGAAAUGAGAAUUUGGAGUUGUUUUCUAUGUCGGUUAUGGGAUUGACAAUUUUCGGCUUAGUUUUGGUUAAGAAAGAAUUAGACUGUUACUUAUUGAGUUAGGAGGAUUGCGGUGUUGAAAAUUAAGAAGGGUUAGUGCUAUUGUAAUUGCACUUGCAUUUGUUUUGAACCUAAUCAAUAUUUAGCCUUUUUCUGUACUGAGAUCCGAUGACUUGAGAGAAAAGGAUCCAUUUAUUAAAAUUAACAACGCAAUGGUGGUGGGAAUAAGCGUUCUCAGGUAACUAUGGAUGUGAUAUGAAUUAGGUGGAUGAUGUUGAAGCAUCAGUCAAUAAAAAACAAAUAGGAUCUUAGAUAUUUCACAUUAAUCCAUACAUUAGUGCUUGAAAGAUUAGCUGGUGAAACAAGACCAACAUUUUUUUUGCUUUUUUGUUUAGCUGUUAAAACACGUGAUUGGCCUGCAUGACAUAUAUUUUACCAUCUUAACUUGAAGGGCAAUAUAAGUGUUAAAUGCAUGUUGCUUCUGUAUCUUAGGAAACAGAGCAUUUUUUUGCAACUGUAUCUUUUGUAAUCAGCUCGGUUGAAUAUAUAUAAAAGCCAAAUUGCUCAUCUUACCGACACUUUUCACUCAUCUAUCCCUUUUGUUCGUUCAUGAUUAUGUUGAAUUUUUUUUCAGAUUAAAUGUCUUAUUCGUGUGGUUAAGGCUGGUGCAUUCAAGUCCUGCAGCAACGCGCGAGCAUUUUUGCUAGUAAAAACUAAAAUAGUUGCUCUACAAGUUUUCAGUUUUCAAAAAAGCAAAAACAAAACCUGGAAGGCUGAAAACGAAAUGGAAUAACUUGAGAAUUAAUUUACUGCAGCCGAAUGUAGUACUUAUUGCAUCACUUUGUGUAAACUAGCAUAUUUUUUUUCAGAUUGUAUACUUAGUAGCAGUAGGAUUCUGCAAUUGGCCUACACAUCAAUCAAACUUUAGUCACCAUGUACUUUGACCUGGUCCUGGGAACUUAUAUGUACAAGGAUGCUUUAUCGUGACCAGUAAUGUAGGGUCAUCUCCAACCGAUGGCUGGCCAGAUAGCUCGUUUGACACACCCCGUCCCGAAGGAGGGCAUGCUGGCCGUCACGUGAGAGUGACGUAACCAUUUGCACAGUACGGAAGCUUUAAGAUACAAUUUAUAAGUUGAUACACCCGAAGGUGAGUCCUAAUUUUGUCCAAUCUGUCAGAACACCGUCGAAUUCCUCGUAGUCACCACACCUUUGUGAUUCCUGAACCUGGAGGGGCGCAAAACCAAAAUUGAGUGGGUCAGUAAAACAAUUCUUUUCCAAAUCCAAACAUUUCUCAAAACGUUGUAACCCCUCUCCGUAAAACCUGUAUACUUUCCCAGAAAUGUAAAAUAUAAAUAUACAUAUAUAUUCUCAAUACUUUAAUUCAUUAACUCAACAUUUUUUCUUUAUCAAUCAUGCCAUGCCAUGUCUAAUUCAACAGUUAAGUAUGGAUGCAUCAACAAUAAUCAUAUCAGGUGCAAGAAAGUAAUCAACCGGAGGCCCUCUAAUAGCCCUGUACGGUUGAACCUAGAGCUCAAAAUCUAUCACUAUCACUCUACCGGAGUCACCUCUGUGACCCGUCCGGCCUUCUGCACACAAGUUACGCUCUAGUGCUUUCUCAUCAAUCAUCUGUGCACAUAAUCUAAGGUCACCCACCAGUCGAAAUCUCACUAACACUCUUCGACUGGCCCGUCGCACCCACUCCGCGUGGACUGUACGACCAGCAUCUACUUGGAUCCAAGGCGAGCGUGCGAUGCGGUGAAUACUAUAAGCACUAAACCAUGGUGCAGGAUUUGAGCUCAAUAUAUAUCAACAUCAUCAUAACAGUAAUUAAAUACUCACCUGAUACUCACCUGUGCGUCCGCCGCACCAUUCAUUCAUAUGCAUCAUAUCUCAAUUCAUACUUUUCAUAUCAUUUCAUGCAUGGCAAUUCGAUUCACAUUUCUAUAUACUUUUCAUAUACUUUCAUGCAUGACAUUUCAACUAAUAUAUCUCAUAUACUUUUAUACAUUUUCAUUAAAAGCAUAAUUUCAUGCAUUUUCAAUUUCUAGGAAACGGCAAGUAUAUAUGUAUACGGAAAACAAAACUGCCCACUCACCUGGAGUUCGUCCAACAACUCCCUAGCACCACACAUCAAGGCGUCACGACGAUCGCCGCCUAGAAUAGUAAUCAAAUCCAACCUCAGAAUUCAUAUCGAUAGAAUAUAACUUAUAUAAAAUACGUCACUACGUAGAUCGAUCCGGAAGAUCUGCCACUCAGAUUUUAAAUCCAUAACUUCCAGAGGUCCACAAUAUAUCUCUAGGAUAACAUCCUAAAAUUUCAUUACCAUCCAACGGUCGGAUCUCCGUCAAUUUCCAAAACUAAGUGACGGUUAACAUUCUAUAUUAUGGACUUACAACUCCAAUUUCGGAAGAUCCGCAAAUCGGAUUCCCAAUCUGUAAGUUCCUAUAAUCCUCAAAUAUUACGUAUUACAACGUAUCAAAGUUUGGUGAUGAUCCAACGGUCGGAUCAUCAAUUCAUAUUUUCACUUAAAUGCAAAAACUAUAAAACGUUAUUUGAACACCUAACCAACAAUCCUUAAUAACUUUCUCAUACGGUGCUCAAAUUGGGUAUACGAAUAUACCACAGUGAUCUACUCGACGUCACGGACGUCGACAUAUUUUUCAAAUAAUUUUUUACUGUAGCACGCGCCCCCACGCGCCAAGGAAGGCACGGACCUACGCGCCCCCACGCGCACCUUCUUCUUCCUUGGGUCGCCGGACUGGUUUUUCCGGCGGCCGUUUUUCAAAUUGCCAUAACUUUGUCAUUUCUCAACGAAAUCAAGUGAUUCCAAAACGAAAGUUGUAGCCCUUGAAGAUACAAAGAGAAUGGUACCUUGCACAACACCUAGUUCGCCGUGGUUUGGCCGGAAACUGCCUCGAAAGCCUCGGAGGUCGCCGGAAACUGGGUAUUUUUCAAAUGAGUAUAACUUCUUCAAUACUCAACGAAAUUGAGUGAAACAAAAAGGAAAGUUGUAGUACUUGACGAGACGAAGAGAUGGAUACCUACCUCGACUCCUAACUCGCCGGGGAUUCGCCGGAAAAAUCCUCGAAAGCUCCGGCCAAACUUUGAACUUGUCGAUCUCCGUGUUCUUACGUCCAAAAACUUCCAACGAAGCACUCCGAGCUUCCUUGGGACCUCACUAAGCUCGCUGUGAUCUUGUUUUAGCCUAAAUCGUAACCAUUUAAAAGAUCAUGAACAGUGCUCUUCCACGGGGAGUUUAGAAUCUAGGUUUUCCGAAGUAAAACUUACCUGAAAUUGGUGUCUACGUGAUCGUUGAGGUUCCAGGAGUUCAAUGGUGGUCUUAACUCCGUCGUUGGUAUAGAAGUUUAGUGUGGUUUUGGAGCUUGUCCGUGUGAGUUCGAAGGAGAGGGAGAGAGAACUGAGAGUUGCGUGAGGGAGGAGAGAGAGAGGGACAAGGUACGGGAAUUGGGGAAGGUUUUGAGGGAUGUGGGGAUCCCACGUGUCCAACUCAAUCCAAAUUGUUAAAUUUUCACCCCUUAGUCCCGUUUAAGGGCAUUUUCGUCUUUUCACGUCCUCGGAAUUAAAAUUCCGGGACGGGCUGUGACAAUCUUCCCUCCUUAUAGAAUUUCGUCCCCGAAAUUCCAGCAACCAACUAAAUCAACCAUACUCCAACAAUAGCUUCGGGUAAAUCUGUCUCAUCCGAUUCUCUUUCUCCCACAUAAUUUUCUACUGAAUGAUUCAUUCACAAAGCUUUUACUACUUACUCUGUCUUAAUUCUCAGGACCUUCUUUUUCCAAUCCAAAGUCGUCAUUGGUUCCUUAUCAAGUCGAAUCCAAUUUAAUUCUCAAUAGUUGCACCAGAAUCUCUUGUGACGAAUCUGCCACCUAGUGACAACGUAUCGAACCCAAAAUACAUUAAGUACCUUAGCCAACUCUGAAGACAUCACCACUUGUAUGCAACUUUAUUGAUUCCUUUAGUGAUAAAAAAAUGGUCUGAUGUGUCUAAAUCUUAUUUUGUCUCCUUUCCAACCCGAAUUAUACUUUUCUAUGGUGAACACUUCGAAAAUAUAAAACCAUUUGUCUUAUACACUCGAUUAGUGGCAUAUCCCUCUGUUAAUCUCUUUUGCCAUUCCUGGUUACUUUCAAGUUAACUUAAUCACCUGAAUACUUUGAGGAGACUCAUCCAUAGUCUCAGGGCCUACAAAAACUCUUUCGUGAUCAAAUCUUUUUCUAUUCAGAAGCAUUUCAUUCACACGACACGCUUCAGGGACCCUAUGGCGUUAUUUCGGAAACUGCGCACCCAACAUACUUAAGAAACUCAGCAGUUCCGUAAUCCAAUUCUCUUUUCCAUAAAACAAAUAAGUACUGUUACUCAACACUGGAGUAAAUGUACUAACUUGGUACAUUGACCAAUUAUCACUUCAAAUUCGAUCAUAACCAUCCUAUGUACAAGGAAACUUGUACACAUAAUCCAAAGUAAUAUCUUUCCAUUUCCACUGCGAAACAGAAAAUAGUUAUCCCAAUCCAAAGGUUUAUCUUUUUCUGCCUCAAUCUGCUGACCAAAUAAAACUGUCGAAUGGUAUGAUAAAUCUUAUUACUUUUGGAAUAUUACAGAAGUUGAACAGUGAACUUCGUCCAAUUUUUGCUUGCUUCAAAUCCUCAGCAUUAGGCACAUACUUUUUGUUUUCUUGUAUCCACAUACCAUUUGAUUCACGAAUCAUGUACUCAUUCUUUUUCCCUUCUUUCUCUGCCUUGGUUAAUUCUUAAAUUUCCUCGUCAAACAUUUAAGUUUCGAGUACGACCUUACCAAACAGGCCUAACUUGAAAUUUAACAAAUAUAACUUCUUCUCGAUCUUCCAUUCUUAAUUUUUCUUCCGUUGGUUUUCAAUCCACAAGAUGAUACUCUUGGCAAACGUGCCAGACAUUAAUCUUACUGUAGUCUUCUCACCAAGUGCUUCAGCUAGAACAAACUUUACGAUCACCCUGAUCGUACAAUCAUGUUCAUUAAGCAAUACAAUUCACUUUCGCUGCCUCAUAUCAAAAUCCUUCCAAGUAAUGGAUAUUGAAGACUUUUUGGAUUCGUAAAAAAAAUCUUGCAUUCUUACUAAAAUAUAAUGUCUCCAUAACUUCACAGCAAGGAUGGUAAUCGUGACUUCCAAAUCACCAGUAGGGUAAUUCAUCUUAUGAGGUUCCAUUUGUCGUGAAACGUAUGCAAUCACCCUAACAUUUGCAUUAAUACAUAUCCAAGAACAUUUAAUGUAACAUCACCAUAUACCGAUAAUUAUCGCUAUCUUCUGGGAAUAUUAAAAUACGUGCAUGAGUGAGGAAAUACUUCAGUUGUUGAAUCCUUUGCUCACAAUUUCCUUCCCACUCAUACAUAACCUCUUUUCUCAACAGUCUCGUCAAUGACAAAGCAAUGACUGAAAAAUCUUUCACAACCAUCCAAGAUAGCCUGGUAAGUUAAGAAAUUCCAAAUCUCAAUUACGACUCGUGGUUGUUCCAAUUCCUCAAUUUCUACUAUCUUUUAAGAAUUCAUUUGAAUACCUUAAGCAGAUAUACAAAUCUCAGAAUGCCACCUGAUUCAUCUAACUUUAGCAUUUGCUACUUAGCAUACAACCAACGUUCUCUCAAUCUUUGCUUCACCAACUUAAUAUGUUUACAUGCUUUGCUCUGGCUCAGAAUAUGCCAGAAUAUCUUCAAUGAAAAUGAUAUCAAGGCAUUAUUGGAAUACUUCAUCCAUCAACUCAUAAAACAGCAUGAGUAUCCAUAUAGCAUCACCAAACUUCAUCAAGACUAUAACGAGUCCAGAAAAACAAUCUUAGGAACAACGUUACUCAUAAUCUUCAAUUGAUAAUAAACAGACCUCAAGUCAAUCUUUGAAAAUAUACAAGCACCUUUGAACUGAUCAAAGGAGCGUCAAUACACCACAAUGGAUAACGGUUCUCAUUCGUUACCCGAUUCCAUUAUCUAUAAUCAAUGAACAAUCUCUAAGUCCAUUUCCUUUCUCACCAACAAACUGGUGCUCCUCAACAGUGUUGUACUAUGUUGAAUAAAACUUUUAUCAACCAAUUCUCUCAACUGAAUUUCCAAUUCCCUUAACUCAUCAUGAACCAAUCUUUAACAUAAAUUUAUACCCGGCAACAAAUCAAUAAUGAACCUCAUAUCUCUGCCUGAAGACAAUCCAGGUAUACUUUCAGGGAAGACAUCAAGAAAAGUCUAACCCCUUUUUCAUUUUUCACACUUCUCCGAGCAACAUCCUUUAGUACCACAUGAACUAAGUAUUUUUUUUUGACAUCCUUUCGAAAACAAUCUCUUUGCUCUCACAGCAUAAAUAACGGCCUGACUCAAUCCACUUUGCAUACUUACAAAAAUAAUCUCUGGUCAUCCAGAUCGAUGGAAAGUACUGGUUUCCCGUAACAUUCCAUCUAGUCACAACUAUAAACAAUCACUCUAAUGGAAUAAAAUUAAUUGACCCAAUACAUACUUUAUCAUUACUGAACAUUCUAAAUAAGUACAACACUAACAUAAAAUAAUUUACCGGGUUGCUUGCUUAACGAAUCCACGAAUAAGUUAUUAAUAUUACGGUCUGCAGCCCGCAAUACUGAUAAAUCAUUGUUGUCUCGAUAAGUAAGAAACCACUCUCAAAGAUAUAACAUUACUAUUUUGUCACUCAAUGAAAAAUACUUACACUCGUCUCAACUACAUUUAUUUACUACUCUCAAGGUAAUAACAUACAUAAUAAGAAAUAUAUCAGCCGAAGUCAACUAGAAUGACCAAUACGACUGAUUCAACUCUUAUCUCAAUAAUACGUCGGCCGGAUCCACUCCGCGUGGUCGGUACGGCCGAGCCUAUAACUCACCAAUUUCUCAUGUGUCAAUCGAAUCCACUUCUCAUGGUCUGUACGGCUGAACAUAUAACUCAUCAAAUCUCUCCGUACUCACGGUCAAUCCGACCAAACUACUAAAUCCAUAACUCUGCUGAAUCAACACUAUGAUAUCAUGGAAAAUUGUUGAGUACAACUGAUUCUAGGGACGAUUCACAAUUCUGUGUCCCCUCUGUUCACAUAAACACAUUCAUUAAUUUCACAUUUCCCAAAGUGUUAAUUUUUGUACCUGCUGCACAAGGUACAUUUCCUUUACUCGAGACACCUUGUCUCAAAUAUCUGGGAUUACCAGUAUAUCCAUCACUUUUACUCUGACCAGCGACAAUAAAACCUCAGCUGGAAGAAUUAAUUCUAGCUUCACUUCUUUUUAAACUCUGAAUCCUUCGAUAUUCUUGAUAUGACGAAUCAUUAACUUUAUCGUCUUCUUUUGAUUCCCAUUCAUUUCUUAUUCUUCUUUAUUCUCAUUGAUCAUGUUCUCAGAGUCCUCAAGGCUCAACAACAUCUUGUAUACUCCUGGUAAGAAGUACAAUGGAUAGUGGUCACCCAAAAUACCACUUCCCUUUUUGCCACCCAGCUUAAAACAAUAUAACACCUCCACCAAAUUAACAACAAUAUCUGGAUGGAACGAGGCAAGUCUGAAAACUUUCUAUAAUAUUCAUUUAUCGUCAACUUCCUUAAUUCACAUUUGCAAACUCUUGCUUACUACCAUCGAUAAAUGCCGGAGGGAUAAACUUUUCCUUAAACAAUUUUAAAUCGGCUGUUCCUCCGAUGACAACAAAUCAUACUCCUGUUUCCACCAGGAUACAAAUUCAUACCCAAAACCAGGUAGUCGUCUCGACCCCCCUGUCAGAAGGAAGAUUCCUUUGACUUGCAUAAUCUGAAACAUCUUUUCCAAAUGGUUAAACCGUUACUUCGCUCCCUCAGGUUCAUCAUUUCAUAAGGUGAUUCAAAUUCGACUCAUAACCCGUCUUAAAAUGUCCAUUUUUAUAAUAUACUGAAUCACCAUAAUAAUAGUUUUCCCUAAACCGCUAUAUUAGGGAGACUAAAUUCCUCUAACUAAGUGGCUUGCUACGAGGCGGUGUAGUUCUGACAGAAUUCACUAGAACUUCUCAAGAUGUCCAAGAUUGCAACCAUGCUCUGAUACCAACUGACACACCCCGUCCCGAAGGAGGGCAUGCUGGCCGUCACGUGAGAGUGACGUAACCAUUUGCACAGUACGGAAGCUUUAAGAUACAAUUUAUAAGUUGAUACACCCGAAGGUGAGUCCUAAUUUUGUCCAAUCUGUCAGAACACCGUCGAAUUCCUCGUAGUCACCACACCUUUGUGAUUCCUGAACCUGGAGGGGCGCAAAACCAAAAUUGAGUGGGUCAGUAAAACAAUUCUUUUCCAAAUCCAAACAUUUCUCAAAACGUUGUAACCCCUCUCCGUAAAACCUGUAUACUUUCCCCAGAAAUGUAAAAUAUAAAUAUACAUAUAUAUUCUCAAUACUUUAAUUCAUUAACUCAACAUUUUUUCUUUAUCAAUCAUGCCAUGCCAUGUCUAAUUCAACAGUUAAGUAUGGAUGCAUCAACAAUAAUCAUAUCAGGUGCAAGAAAGUAAUCAACCGGAGGCCCUCUAAUAGCCCUGUACGGUUGAACCUAGAGCUCAAAAUCUAUCACUAUCACUCUACCGGAGUCACCUCUGUGACCCGUCCGGCCUUCUGCACACAAGUUACGCUCUAGUGCUUUCUCAUCAAUCAUCUGUGCACAUAAUCUAAGGUCACCCACCAGUCGAAAUCUCACUAACACUCUUCGACUGGCCCGUCGCAACCCACUCCGCGUGGACUGUACGACCAGCAUCUACUUGGAUCCAAGGCGAGCGUGCGAUGCGGUGAAUACUAUAAGCACUAAACCAUGGUGCAGGAUUUGAGCUCAAUAUAUAUCAACAUCAUCAUAACAGUAAUUAAAUACUCACCUGAUACUCACCUGUGCGUCCGCCGCACCAUUCAUUCAUAUGCAUCAUAUCUCAAUUCAUACUUUUCAUAUCAUUUCAUGCAUGGCAAUUCGAUUCACAUUUCUAUAUACUUUUCAUAUACUUUUCAUGCAUGACAUUUCAACUAAUAUAUCUCAUAUACUUUUAUACAUUUUCAUUAAAAAGCAUAAUUUCAUGCAUUUUCAAUUUCUAGGAAACGGCAAGUAUAUAUGUAUACGGAAAACAAAACUGCCCACUCACCUGGAGUUCGUCCAACAACUCCCUAGCACCACACAUCAAGGCGUCACGACGAUCGCCGCCUAGAAUAGUAAUCAAAUCCAACCUCAGAAUUCAUAUCGAUAGAAUAUAACUUAUAUAAAAUACGUCACUACGUAGAUCGAUCCGGAAGAUCUGCCACUCAGAUUUUAAAUCCAUAACUUCCAGAGGUCCACAAUAUAUCUCUAGGAUAACAUCCUAAAAUUUCAUUACCAUCCAACGGUCGGAUCUCCGUCAAUUUCCAAAACUAAGUGACGGUUAACAUUCUAUAUUAUGGACUUACAACUCCAAUUUCGGAAGAUCCGCAAAUCGGAUUCCCAAUCUGUAAGUUCCUAUAAUCCUCAAAUAUUACGUAUUACAACGUAUCAAAGUUUGGUGAUGAUCCAACGGUCGGAUCAUCAAUUCAUAUUUUCACUUAAAUGCAAAAACUAUAAAACGUUAUUUGAACACCUAACCAACAAUCCUUAAUAACUUUCUCAUACGGUGCUCAAUUGGGUAUACGAAUAUACCACAGUGAUCUACUCGACGUCACGGACGUCGACAUAUUUUUCAAAUAAUUUUUUACUGUAGCACGCGCCCCCACGCGCCAAGGAAGGCACGGACCUACGCGCCCCCACGCGCACCUUCUUCUUCCUUGGGUCGCCGGACUGGUUUUUCCGGCGGCCGUUUUUCAAAUUGCCAUAACUUUGUCAUUUCUCAACGAAAUCAAGUGAUUCCAAAACGAAAGUUGUAGCCCUUGAAGAUACAAAGAGAAUGGUACCUUGCACAACACCUAGUUCGCCGUGGUUUGGCCGGAAACUGCCUCGAAAGCCUCGGAGGUCGCCGGAAACUGGGUAUUUUUCAAAUGAGUAUAACUUCUUCAAUACUCAACGAAAUUGAGUGAAACAAAAAGGAAAGUUGUAGUACUUGACGAGACGAAGAGAUGGAUACCUACCUCGACUCCUAACUCGCCGGGGAUUCGCCGGAAAAAUCCUCGAAAGCUCCGGCCAAACUUUGAACUUGUCGAUCUCCGUGUUCUUACGUCCAAAAACUUCCAACGAAGCACUCCGAGCUUCCUUGGGACCUCACUAAGCUCGCUGUGAUCUUGUUUUAGCCUAAAUCGUAACCAUUUAAAAGAUCAUGAACAGUGCUCUUCCACGGGGAGUUUAGAAUCUAGGUUUUCCGAAGUAAAACUUACCUGAAAUUGGUGUCUACGUGAUCGUUGAGGUUCCAGGAGUUCAAUGGUGGUCUUAACUCCGUCGUUGGUAUAGAAGUUUAGGGUGGUUUUGGAGCUUGUCCGUGUGAGUUCGAAGGAGAGGGAGAGAGAACUGAGAGUUUCGUGAGGGAGGAGAGAGAGAGGGACAAGGUACGGGAAUUGGGGAAGGUUUUGAGGGAUGUGGGGAUCCCACGUGCCAACUCAAUCCAAAUUGUUAAAUUUUCACCCCUUAGUCCCGUUUAAGGGCAUUUUCGUCUUUUCACGUCCUCGGAAUUAAAAUUCCGGGACGGGCUGUGACAUCGUUUGGGCCCUCUGGUCCUUCAAGAUUCUCCAAGAUAUUAAUAUUUUAAUGAACAGUACAGAGUCAUAUUUGCCUCCGUCUCCAACUGGGGGUCAAAGGGCCAGAUGGCUCGUUUUAGCCUUGUCGCAAAACAUAAUUUAUUAUUUAAAAACUACAACUUAAAUUCAAGUUAACUAUUUAAAAAUAGAAGUUAUAGGGGAAAAAAAAGAAUUAAAAAAAUAUGAAACAAAUUUUGUGAAAUAGAAGUUAUAGGAAAAAAAAGAAUUUAAAAUAAAAUGAAACAAAUUUUGUGAAAUAGAAGUUAUAGGAAAAAAAUAGAAUUAAAAACAAAUAUGAAAAAUAGAAGUUAUAGGAAAAAUUUGUAAAUAAAAAAUAAUAAUAAAAUUGUGUAAAAAAAAAAAUCAAAUGCAAGCUAGCCGUUGUAUUCAAAUUUUUUGAAGUAAAUUUGUGUCGGUUAUAACCGACACAAAUAGUAAUACAAAUUACUAUUAUUGUCGGUUAUAAAUGACACUAAGGGCUGGUUUGGUAUUGCUGUGCUUUGAAAAAAAGCUGCUGUGAGAGUAAGCGGCUGUGCUGUGAGAAUAAGCGGCUGUGAAAUAAAUCAGCAGAGUGUUUGGUAAACUUUUUUGUAAAAGUGCUUUUGGAAAAAAAAAAAAAGCAGUCUGAUAGUGAGUCUUUUCAUUAAAGGAGCACUGUAGUUCUGUGUGCUUUGAAAAAAAGCCAGUUUUCUAAAGCUACAAUUUGCAGCUUCAGCUUUUUCCUUUGAUUUCAGCUUAUUCUCACAGCAGCUUCCAAAAUAAGCCAUUUUUUUUAAGUUUACCAAACACCAAAAACACUCUCAGCUUUUUUUCAUAGGAGCUUUUUUUAAAAUCACCUCAACCCCAAACUGGGGCUAAUUGUAAACAAUAAAGCCUAGCGGGACCAAUUAUGUCGGUUAUGAUUGGAAGCAGCCAGCCCUUUGUCCCUUUGGGAUUCUGCCUCUCAGAUUCCAGAGCCCUCUAGCCUGUCCCUUUGUUGUAUACGAUUUUAGGGCUAUUUUCGGCCAUCUGGACCAUUCGAUUGGAGAUGACUUAACAUCCCAUCCCUCCAUUUUAUUUAAAAAAUAGUUUUGGUUUUUAUUUGGUGAGCCCAAGGGGCCCACCCCCCUGAUUUUGUCCCCCCGAGCCCUCAUCUCUCUCUCUUUGUCUUCUUCUUCCCUUUCCCGUAUACCUCUCUCAUUCUUUCUCUCUCAGCACUGAGAUCUUCACCUAGCCCUCACCUUAGCUCCCUCAUAAAAUCAAGCCCAAAAUUUAUAUUUUUGGAAUCCCUAAGAUUGGAGGAACCCUGCAAUGUACUUGCAUGCAUCAUCGGGCCAUUGUGAAGUGAAUCACCAUUGAUGCCGUGAGCUUUGAAGCUCUCAAAUUCGAACCCAGGUGAGACUUGUGUUCCUUCUUCAAAUUCCUGGGUUAUGCAUGUUAUUUUAUGAUUUGUGAUAUUGGUUUUAUGGUAAAACUCGAGGGUUUUGACCUCAGCUCUUCUCUAUGCCAAGAACCCAGCUCCGACGACGAACUCCGGCGAGUUUGUUGCUGUGGAUGCAUAGGCCUCUUUGAAUUCGAACCCAGGUAAUUUAUUUACCUUGUUGUUUGUUGAACAGUGUCCUGUGUGUGGGUUGUGAGUGUGGUGUGGAGUGUAUGUGUGAGUGUGUGUGUGUACUGCAUUUAGUUGCAGGUUUGAAUGCUGGUAUCGACUGAGAUGCCGAGUGUUGAAUGAUGAUGAUCAUAUAUAGCAUGCAUGCAUCAGUAUGCGGUGUGUGUGUUUGUGUGUGCAUGUGCGUGAGUGUGUGUGCAUGUGUAUGUGCAUGUGUGUAUGCAUACCGUGCAAGUGUGUGAGUACGUGUGUGCGUGCAUGCUAUGCAGUACGUGUGUGUUGUGUACAUGGGUUGGGCUUAAAGCCCGGCCCUGUUUGUAAAGCCAUUGGCUAUGGGCUCUGUGUGUGUGUGUGGGUGUGCCGUGUGUGUGAGUAUGAGUUUAGGCUUAAGCCCAAACCACCCCUUUUGUUCUUAACCUAUCCAAACUCAAGACCCAUUUCCAUUUCCUGAAAUUAUAUCGUUUGGGUAGUUUGAUUAAUUGUACAUUCUUGUGUUUAGGUGAAAUUGCUAGUGAGGAUUUCCUUAAUCUUUUUCCACACAAUUUUGCUGCUACGGAGUAUCUGUGAGUGGACUAUCUUCAAAAAUUGCAUGUUUUAUUUAUAUAAUUGCAUAAUUUAAUAGCAUGCCUUACAUAAUUAUUGAUUUGAGGAAUACUUUACAGGAAGCAUGAUGAUUUAAUUAUGAUUGAUUAUAUAUAUAUAUUUUUGAACUAUUUUCAUUAUAUUGUAUUUUUCUUUAGAACCCCCAUUCUGUUAGACUAUCUUAUCGAUGACGAUAGGAUGCUAAGAAUGUGUUUCAAAUGAUUUUCGAACACCUCUUUGUCGUAUAGAGGAUCGAUGAAUUUAUGCUACGAAGUUGUAUUUUAGAGAUGAAUUAUGUUUUGUGCGUACCUAGUGAACACUAUGCCGUCUGGGGCGAGGAUCUGGUGUUGGCAUUGAGGCCGGGAGAAAUAAUCUCUAGCGAAAGGCUGAGGGACACGGAGACAAGCAUUGGGCCGGAAGGAGAUAUCUCUGGCUACGGGCACAGAGACUAAGGUGCAAGCAUUGGGCCGGGAGAUAUUAUUAUUCGGUGCACUCACUAGCAGCGCAACUUGUGUUAUGCUUCUUGAUAUGAUUUGCAGAUAGAUAUAUGAAUUGUUUUCAUGGCAUGCUAGAGGUUUUGAGAGACCUAUCACUUAUUAUUUAGUAGUUUUCAUCAUAUUAACUGUGGGGGUUAGUAUGUUCAUAACUGUUUUAUUAGUAUUGUAUAUAUUAACUUGGUCCACUCACCCUUGUUUUGCGCCCCCUUUCAGGAUUUAGAAUCAAGGCAUACGAUCACAACGUCAACGCUUUCUCAUUGGCAUAGUCGAGUAUUCUCGGUGUAGGACCCACAUCCUUUUAUUUAUUUCAAUUUUAUAUUAAUUCUUUUAGAGCUCUAGUUAGUUGUAUGUUCUGAACACGUUCCUAAAUUAUUAACUCAUUGUAUUUUUAAAUUCAUAACCCUUAUUUAUUUCUUAUUCUUAGCUUUUGUAUCAAUUAAUGGCUUUCGUCACCCUCGAGUGUCAGCCAACACGUGUCUAUCCUGGUAUUCGGGGAAUAUCAGGGUCGGGACGUGUCAGAUUGGUAUCAGAGCAUGGUUUGUUCAGAGCAUACUUAGGAUCUCUUCUAUUCUCGUAAAGUGUCGGUUCUGACAUCAUUUGGAUGUCAGGACUUCUAGAUUUGGUGCCAUUUGGCGCAGUUGUGCAAACCUUUCUCUGUUUGAAUUGUCACCUUCUUGUUGAAAUACGAGAAUCGUGUUGAGAUUGUGCCUCAUAGGAAACGAAUUGGUUUGUUGGACGAUUUUCGACAUCGAAUUAAUACUCUACAAUAUGCAUCCCUAGGAAUUGCGGGCGGAGUCGGCUCUACAUCAAAAUCUUGGGAAAUGGAAAAAACCUAAGUGGUUUGAAUUUGGAAGAUCUGAAGAAAUGAUAUCACUCUGCGACAUGUGUUCUUUAGGAAUGGUGGGCAAAGUCAUCUUUUGGAAAUUGUUCGAAACAUUCAAAGUGCGUACUAAAUAAACGAGUAAGUGCUAAUGGUGAUGACUGUUAGUAGGUGGUAGUUGGUGGGAGCAAAUCAAUGUUCUCGGACUCGUUUCCACUGAGGAUAUUUGUGUAAAUCUUUAGAAUGAAUCUUCGAUGAUUGUUCUAUCGAUAACCUUUUUGCUUAUUCCAACGACGAAGUUAAGUUUCCUAAUCAUUGAUCGUCAGCUUCACAUCAAAUUCUUCGAGUGUGGACUUCAUUUACAUUAAUUGCUUUUCUUGGGAACUCCUUGGUAGCAGACUAUUCUCAUCAAUUUCCAAAAGGGAGUUGCAUUUCUUGUUGUUGUUGCAGUUGGAUUUGGAUGAUGAAUAUCCAGUCUUGUUUGGAUAAACAGAUUCCUUGAAUUUCACCUAGGUCUGGUACUCGGGGGAAAACUCUAGUUCCUCGUCCGCGUACUUUUCGGUGAAGGUGAACUUAGCCUCUUGCUUGUAGCUCAAUUAACUUGUCCACUAACUUUUCAGCCUUGUAACUUUCAGUGUGAUGGUUUGAGACUCUACCACAUUCAUUGUUGUACGAAGAUCGAGCUUUACUCUGAACUUCUCUGGACUUAUUGAGCUUUGGGUUGCUCAAGAGCAUCACUUUAAGGUAGCCAAUCGUGCCACUGUAUACGCAGCCUGCUUUGUAUCUUUCUUCUUCGUCAUGUUGCUGAUUCAGAGGUUCUAUGUUUAAUUUUUGAACUUUGAAACAGCUUUCACAAAGUAUUGUGAAUUUCGAAAUGUCUUUGGCCUUGUCAAAUCUUAUUGACAGUUCUUAACUAUUCUUGAGUUUAGACCUAUUUCCUUUUUGGCUAAGAAACCAGUUGACCAUACUGUGAUGAUUUGCAAAAUAAUCAUAAACAGUGACUUCUAUUUCUGCAUUUUCACCUUUCUUCGCUUAUUCGUCUCUUAAUGUGAAACUGGAUCAUUCAUUCGGCAUGGUUUCUAGUUCAAAUCUCGAUAUCUUGUACUCUGGAUUGUAAUGGACUUGUUUUGACCCUUAAAAUCUUAAGUGUUCCUUCAGCGUUCUCGACAUGGUUUCUUGCUCAAUCAGUGAGGAAUUCAGGAUUGAUCGAUUUGGCAGAAGUGUAUGCCCAAUUCUUAACAAUUCAGACAAGAACGUUAGGAGCAUAACCUUUUCACAAGUUUAUCAGGCUUACCAGAAAGAGUUCCACAUCAGUGUGAGGUUUGAGUCGUCUUUUGGUAAGGGAUUAGUGAAGAUUGUAGUGCAGGUGAUCUGCAGAUUGGAUCACCAUCUUUAUGCUGAAUUGGAUGGUCACCACUCAUUAUCCUGCUGCAGUUUAGAGACAACUUAUCGUAUGCUAGUAGUUCUUUUCUAACGUUAUGGGUUCGUCUCAAUGCAUAUGUUCACUGCUUCACUCCAAGACUCUUUGUUUGUGAGUAUGUGGAUGUCGAAACACUUCUAGCAGUUAUGCUUGGUGCGGGAUAGAGUUUUACGACAACAGUUUCUGUUUUGUUCAUUUUGGAGUAUGGCACUUUUUGUGACAUGGUACGAGAGUUUUUCAUGGGCGACUUUUGCUGGCAAAGGAGUCUUGCAAACUAAUAUUCAAAGGAUCAAAUUUACGACAUGUGAGAUUGUGUAUCUUCAGGAAAUCACUAUUUGCUUAACGAGACAACAAAUGGGUGGUCGAUAUCGCGGGCGGCCGACUGUGAUAUCGAUAACUUAUUUGUUGGGUUCGCUAAGCAAGUGGGCAAGAAGACUCGUUUACUGCAGCUAUCACAGAUUCGUUAUUCUUGGGGCUUGACCCAAAGACACAUCUAUUCUCAGAGUACGCGACGUUUCGAAUUUAUGUACGAAUUGCUGGUUAGGUAUAACAAGAAAAUCGUCUUCACAGUUAUUAGAAUGUAUGGAAAUAGAUACCCGUGCGUAUAGGAUGUUCGUACAUAAAUGUAUCUAAUCUUGGCUGUAUUUUUCAUAAAACUUCCUUUUCAUGAUUAGGGACUACGAUCCUUGGUGCUAUAAAAUCAGCAGUCAACUCAAGCACAGAAGUUAUAUACAGUGAGAAUCCUGAUCGUAAUUUUGUAAAGUCCAAUAACUUUGCAUAUGCCAUUGUUGUGGUUGGCGAGCAUCCUUAUGCUGAGACCGCGGGAGACAGCCCAAACCUAAUGAUGGCGGAACCUGGCCCAAGUGUCUUCAGCAAUGUGUGUGAAAGUGUCAAGUGCAUUGUUAUCUUAAUAACUGGCAAACCUAUUGUAAUCGAACCAUAUAUUUCCUCGAUUGAUGCUCUGGUGGCAGCAUGGUUGCCAGGCUCUGAAGGCCAAGGCAUUACUGAUGUCCUUUUUGGGGAUCAUGGAUUCAGUGGAAAGCUUCCAAGAACAUGGUUCAGAACUGUCGAUCAACUCCCAAUGAAUGUUGGUGAUUCAAACCAUGAUCCACUUUUCCCGUUUGGGUUCGGACUGGAAACUGAGUCAGUAAAGGAGCUUGUAACAAGGUAACUCUUCAUACAUGUAUAUCUAUUGGGACCAGCUUCGUAGCAGGUAUCCUGGUUUCCUGCAUGCUUGUUCAUAUAACAAAGCUUGAUGGGAAAAGGAAUGAAAUGAAAUUUACAAGGGAGUUGGGACCGGUGGUGGCUUCUAGGUUUCAAUCUAUCACUACUACAUAUUGUUUUAAAGCAUUCAUGUGUUCCGGUGUAAUAUAAACCGAAGAACUUGGUUACUUGUAUCGAUACUGACUACAGCUUCGUGAUGCCUGCAGGUCGACCUCAGCUGGUGUUGUUGCAAGGCCAUGCAUGCUUAUCGUCAUGGUUGCUCUGAUUCUCAGCUUAUAGUUUAGAGGUAUAGUUUUGGGUCUAGGAUUAUUGGGUUCUCAGCUUUUCCUAAUUACGUAAGUUUCUGCUUACACAUUGCCUUUUUCCUUUAAAAAUUUCAGGAAGCUUUUACUAAUGGUAGAUUUUUGUUUUGAAAUUCUUGAGUGAAAAAAAGAAUGUUAGGAGGAUCAUCAUCAAUGGGCCCUUCUAUUGGUCUAUUAUUAUUUGUUUUUUUUUUUAUGGUUUUUUUGCUUCAAUACCACCUAGUAAUGAAUGAUACGGAAAAUGCAUGUUUGAGAUUGUUUGAAUUUUUAUCACAAAUGGUCAUUGAAAGUAACGUUGUUCGUCACUUUGUCUUUGAAGUUGAAAAUUAAUUAACAUCGUCCCUAAAAUUUACUAGAAACAUCAAGGAGCUGAUUAUCACAACUUUUUUUUGGGUAUCACACCCCUUAGUCCCUUCUAAUUGCGCAGAUCACCACCCAUUGCAGCCCCAUGACGUUGAACAAGAGGACGCAAGCUGAGAGAGAAUACAAGAAGAAACUGUAACAAACUUCACAUGCAUCACACACUUCUCACUCUCAGCUACUAUGACAGCUAGCACAAUCCUAGCUUAUGAGCUAGUUUAAUCUCAGCCAUCCAUUUCCAAUUCAAACAAAUAACAACAAGAAUAAGUACGGAACUUGAACUCUUAAGAAAUCAGCUUCAAGGCUUAAUCACUAACAACACAUACGAUCAAAGAGAAAGAAAAAACAACUUUACAAUACGUACGGAUAAGUAAAUACUGUCCACGUACCAACUGCAGGUGAAGCAAGAAAUACGCAAAAAAGCAAAAAACUAAAUAAAAGAGCUCUUAGAAGCAGAAACCAACUCAAAACACGAAGGAGUCACAAAAUCACCAUUUCUUCCCUCUCCCAGGUCCCUUAGUCUUACUACUAUAUCAGUGAUGAUGCGCCAAAUACCUCAAUCCCCAUUACCCCGUGACCCACAGAUACAACCCCAUAUCCUCCCACCUCUCCUUGAGGCUGCCACCGCCUUCUCCUUCUCUUCCUCAUGUCUUGACUGCUUGAGAUCACUCAAAAUUGCCUUAACAGCCACGCCUCCUUUUCCCCGUAGCUUGAGUCCACUAUAUCACUCAAAGGUGCAGUGCUCUGACACUGAUCCAAAUACCCCUAAGUUCUGAGAAAUUAUCGUUUUUAAAGAGAGAGAUGCUACAGUUCCCUCUACCUCAAGGAACUCCAAACGUCGCUGCCUGAAUUCUCCCAGAUGUCGCUGCAUCAUCUCUUCCCCAUAGCUUGACUCCUCAGGAUCAGUGAAAAUGUGAUGAGAAAUUUGUUGGCAGUCCCACAUUGGUGGGGGAAAUGAAAACAAAUGAGUUUAAAUAGGAUUACCCUUUAUAACAAUUACCGAGGUUUUUUAGGGUAAACUCGCAAAGGUCACUGCCGCAUCUCUACCAAAUGUCGCUGCCACAUCUCUUCCAUCUCUUCCAAAUGUCGCCGUUGCAUCUCUUCCAUCUCUUCCAAAUGUGGCCGCAUCUUUUCCAGCAUCUCUUCCAAAUCUCGCCGCGCGCAUCAAAUGUCGCCGCGCGCAUCAAAUGUCGCCGCAUCUCUUCCACAUGUCGCCCCAUCUCUUCUCUCUCUUCCAAAUGUCGCCGCUGCAUCUCUUCCACUUCCAAAUAAUGUUGCCGCCGCAUCUCACCCUCUUCCAAAUGUCGGGGUGGCCACGGCAUCUCUUCUGGUUCUUCCAAAUGUCGCCGCCGCAUCUCUUCCAAAUAGCUUGACUCCUCAAUAUCAGUCCAUACACGUUCACACCACCAGCGGUGGAGGGAUUCCACGUCCUCAGGAUCAGUCAAAUUUUCUGAAUCACCCCUCCAGGGAAGGCGGGAUUCAACAUCAGCCACCGCCUCAUUUUGCUCAUUGUUUGGGACCAUGGCAUUAAUCACGUCAACCGGUUUCCACGGAGCCAAAUCCCUCAAAGUGAUGAAUUGCUGUUUUGGGCGGCAACCACGUAUACCAGUUUCCACUAUGUCAAGGCGCUUCAAAUACCAUAAGUCUUCAGGCAACUUCGAAAGUUUUGAGCACCCACGGAGAGUGAGCCAUUCGAGACUCAACAAAUUGCAGAUACUGUCCGGAAGAUAGAACAGGCUUUUGCAGUUUUUCAGAUUUAACGACACUAGCCCCUGAAGCCGUUCAAUUGAUGUAGGAAGCUCUCUGAUAGAUGUUCUAUCCAAAUCAAGGCUUGCUAAUCUUUCCAUAUUUUCUAAUCUUUCCAGACAGUUUUGCAGAUACUGUCUGGAAACACCUCAAGAUUUGUACAACCAGAAAGAGAGAGAUAAUUUAGGGACUUGAGUUGACAAAUGCUGCUUGUAAGACUCUUAAAGUGUUUGCUAUACCGUAGCGUCAAAGUAGCAAGUCCCGUAAGACUAUAAACUAUGGAUGGCAAUUCUUUAAUUGCAAUCCCUCUAACCUGAGCAAAUUUUUGGCGAGAGGCUUGCUUUAUAAGAGAUUGGUAUGCUGAUGGGACUUCUGCAAACAUAGUCCAAUCUAAAUGAAGCUCUGUUAGGUUCUCCGUAACUUUUAGAAACUCUGGAAAAUUCUUCAGAUUUGAGCAGCCAGAAACAUUCAGGGCUUGAAGAGAUCUCAUACGAAUGCUGCUUGGAAGAAUCUCUAAUCUUCUGCAAUCCUUCAGGCUCAGGGUAACGAGUUCCGUAAAAUUUUUUAUGGACGAGGGCAGUUCUGAAAUUGCAGUCUCAUCUAAAUUAAGCUCAAUAGGUUCAUAACUUCAGGAAUUUCUGGAAAAUUAUACAGAUUUGAGCAGCUGGAAAGAUUAAGGGUUUGAAGAGAUCUCAUAUGAAUGCUACUUGGAAGGCUACGAAGUUUCUUGCAUCGCUCUAGACUCAAAAUCUCAAGGUUUUCAAGAGAUGAAAUUGAUGGGCAAAGGGCUCCAACAGAUGUCUCAUCCAAGCGAAGCUCUCUUAAUCCUUCCAUCAUAUUUCUGACAAUUCUUGGAAAGGCCUUGAGCUUUGGACAACAAGAAAAAUUAAGAAAUUGCAAGGACUUGAGUUGAACAAUGCUGCUUGGAAGAAUCUCAAGUUCUCUGCAAUAUUCAAGAUUCAAAGUAACAAGCCCCCUAAGAUUGUUAAUUGAUCGAGGCAGUUCUUUUAUUGCAGUCCCUUGCAAAUAAAGCUUUGAAAGCUUCUCCAUAAAUUCUGAAAUCUCUGGAAACUUCUCAAGUAUUGAGCAAAAAGAGAGAUCAAAGGUUUCAAGAGAUUUCAUACAAAUGUUGCUUGAAAAGGUCUUGAGUUUGCUGCACCAACUUAGAUCCAAGAGGACAAGUUUUUCAAGGGCAGAAAUGGAUGGGUGAACCUUAUAUAAACUUGUGCAUCCACCAAGAAUUAGCUUCUCAAGAUUCUUUGCCUCAGUGAAGUCAGGUGUGUCCUUAAGACGAUAAGAGCCUUUUAAAUUGAUAAUUUUCAACUUUCCCAGAGGCUAUCAAUAUACAUCAAGGAAAAUAUGUGUUACCUACAUAACAAGGCAUUUAAAAACUAAACCAUUUAAAAGCAGUAUAUAGGCAAAUGAUGAACGUACCUUAGUUCCUUUCCAGAGGUGUUCAACCCAACUAUAUUGCAUGUCAAUCUCAACAAGAUUCUCGCGGUUAAAAUUGGACGACAAAGACUUUAGGGGACAUUUGUGCCAGAAUAGAUAACUUAGUUUUUCAGAGAGAAACUUUAGAUCCUCGUACUGGCAGUGAUCAUUGGCCGGCUCGCAGUCUGGUGGUAAAUAGUCGGUAUGGACUCUGAGUAGUCUUAGUUUUCGCAUUUGAGCAAAGGCGGUAUCUAAUUCCACCACAUUGUUUGAGUGUGGCCAAUGCACAAUUAUGCUUUCAACUGCUUCUGUAGCCUGGAUUACCAAAAUUGCACAUUGAAUGAGUACAAACUUAAGAUUAUAACGCCUAAUGCACAUGUUUCUCAUGAAUUGGAUUUUGGUCAAAGUCGAAUCAUUAUACUUAUUAUUAUUGUUGUUGUUGUUAUUAUUAUUAUUUAAAUUUACUAAUAUUAAUGGGAGAGAGAAGAUUCGAAGCAAUUACAUUAACGGAGGGGAGGGGAGUGCAUUUCUCACCGUUUUAUUAGUUAACACAUGACGGACAUCUUCACAGCAGCAUAACCUACUGCGCCUCCCAGGCUCUUCUAUAGAUUCCUCGCGUACGAUUUCAUGACCCAUUUCCUCUAGUAAAUCAUGCAUCUCGAGGACACCAUCAGAUGAGAUGGUGACAAGAGCUCUACCAACUAGAACCUCUAAUCCGGUAUGGGGAUGGAAGGCACAACCCUCCAUAAUCCUUGUUGCAGAGUCUUUCUUCAUUUGUUUAAAGAAACAUGCAAUAUCAAGAAAUAUUUUCUUCUGCAAACCAUCUAGUCCAUCAAAGCUUGUUCUAAGGACUGUCUGGAUUCCCAGGUUCGGAUUUCUCGCUAUUUUCUUUAACUCAUCUUUCCACACAAGUACACUUUUGUUAUCGAGGAAUCCUCCCAAGACUUUGAGUGCUAAAGGCAAACCUUGAGCAUAUUUUGUGAAAUGGCCUGACAGAUCAAUGUAUUCUUUUGUGGGUUGCUUUGUCCUGAAAGCAUCCUGCAUAAACAGCUUGAGAGCAUCUUCAUCGUUUAACACCUCGGGCUCAUAUAUCUGACCACCAAGUCCAUUUAGUGACUGUUUAUCUCUAGUUGUUAUAAUGAUUCGACUUCCGCCACCAAAUGAAGGUUGCUUUCCAAUUAAGGCUUCAAUUUGUCUCCACAUUAUCCAGAACAAGUAAAACUUUUUUCUUACCAACUCUUUCCAUCAUCUUCUGAAAACCAUUUCUCAAAAUCUCUGAACGCCCCACCUUCAUAUUUGUGAUACUAGAUAGAAUUUCUGCCUGCAUAUCUAGUGGUGCUUCACCUGCAUCAGUUGACGGAAAACGUCUCUUGACAUUUUCAACAAAGCAACCACCUUCGAAGAGAUGAUUGAUUUUGUCAUACAUAGCUCUAGCGAUGGUGGUUUUGCCUAUACCGCCCAUACCCCAUAUUCCAACAAAGCGAACGUUACCGAGCUCGGGACAUAAUAGUGACUCCAUUUUCUGUAAGCGGGAAUCCAUCCCAACCAAGCCAUUCUUUUCACUUGGUAAGAUGUUCAUCAAUUUCUUUAAAAUAUCACCUACAAUCAACUUAAUAAGCUUGGCAUCAUCCCUGCCAAAUUUGAAAAACAGUAUUGUCAAGUCCUGGGAUUGCUAGUUAUAUAACACUCAUCACACUGUCAUUGAAAACACAAAGUAACGACCCAAUAAUUCUCAAUUUAUUCUUCUUUCAUUUACUCAAUGCACUCUUCUAAGUUCAAUCAACAUAUAAGAGAACUAGUCAUCUAUAUCCUCUCAAGAUGUUUUAUAGACCUUUUAAUCGUGCCCCUUUAUAUUGAUCUUGCGGUGAAGAAUUAAUUUAACUUGUUCUUUUUUUACUUAUUCAUGUUGGACGACGUCUUUUCUACAUUAUUUCUCUUUUUUAUAUUAUUUUCCUCGUCCCUUGUCAUGGCAAAGAUCUAGAUGUGGCAGUGGAAAGUUUUGCAGAGAGUUGGUGAGUAUUCAAUUUUGUAGAGGGUUGGGAAGGAAGUCUUGGUUCUAGUUGUAUUAACAUCAUUAUAAACUAAAAAGACCAAAACAGGAAAUUAGCUAAACUUGUAAACUAGUAAGUAAAUAAGAUUAUGAAGGAAUGAGUUACUGGCAAUUUUGUGAAUCCCAGCCACAUAAAUUGGGGGCUCUUUGUAAAGCGGACCUCCACCGCUGCACUUCUUCCAUGUCGGCGUUAGGAUCAUGUUCAUGUUUAGAAAAAGCUUUCUCAAAACUUCCCUUGAUUUUACGAACAUGAGAUGGGUCUACUUGGUAGAAAAUGGGAAUCACAAUCUGCUUCUUCUGAUCCAUGCAUUGCAGGAUUUGGACGAGUUCUUUCAAGCACCAUGUGGAAGAAGCGUAGUUUUGAGAAAAAACUACAACUGAAAGCCGUGAGUCGCUUAUAGCUGUCAGUAGCUGCGAAAGGUCGUUGCCUUUUCUGAGCUCUUCAGCGUCACUGAAGGUGUUGAUUGAGUUCUGAACUAGAGCUUCGUAGAGAUGGCAGAUGAAGGUCCUGCGAGUGUCUUCGCCUUGAAAAUUCAAGAAGACUUGAUAUUUCCUGUGGAAAUUUUCAGGUCGACGGGUCGAGGGCCCACUCCAACAACACCGAUACUGUUCCCACUUAACCACAUGCACAAUCCUCAGGUGUGGGGCUUUAUCACAAAAGGCCUCGAUGUUAGUUAGAGAGGGGUAUUUCUAUUUAAAGCACUUUUUUCUUCUCCCUCUGUCCGAUGUGGGACUGAGGGUUCCAACACUCCCCCGCACGUGAGACCCCACUUAUGGGUCACACGUGAAUUUCCACACAUCGGCAACCAUGUGGAGCCAUGUCGGGACUCACCCAAUCACGCGGGGCCAAUGGGGACCCAUCCAAACACGUGGCAUCUUUGGCCUACGUGGACAAUCGCGCGGGGCCAAAGGGGACCCACCCAAUCAUGUGGCAAUACGGGCCCGCCUCCUGGCUCUGAUACCAUGUGGAAAUUUUCAGGUCGACGGGCAAAAAAAAAAAGAAAGUUUUUUUUUUUUAAAUUGUUGUCAAUGACAGUAGAAAAGCAAAAACAGGUCUACCAUGCUUCUAAUAAAAGUGUUUUUUUUCAACGCAUAGUAAUUAAUGUCAUUUAUGAAAUUUUCAAAUAGCAAGUAUACCCCCGUAUAUUUUACAAAAUUACAAUGAUUGCCCCUACAUUAUUUUGUUUGAAUAUUAUUAUAUCACAUUAAAUACUACAUUUUUCUUAGGCAUUUGACGUGAGGUUUUAUCACAAAAGGCCUCGAUGUUAGUUAGAGAUGGGUAUUUCUAUUUAAAGCACUCUUUUCUUCUCCCUCUGUCCGAUGUGGGACUGAGGGUUCCAACACUCCCCCGCACGUGAGACCCCACUUAUGGGUCACACGUGAAUUUCCACACAUCGGCAACCACGUGGAGCCAUGUUGGAACUCACCCAAUCACGCGGGGCCAAUGGGGACCCACCCAAACACGUGGCAUCUUUGGCCUACGUGGACAAUCGCGCGGGGCCAAAGAGGACCCACCCAAUCACGUGGCAGUACGGGCCCGCCUCCUGGCUCUGAUACCAUGUGGAAAUUUUCAGGUCGACGGGCCGAAGGCCCACUCCAACAACACCGAUACUGUCCCCACUUAACCACCUGCACAAUCUUCAGGUGUGGAGUUUUAUCACAAAAGGCCUCGAUGUUAGUUAGAGAUUGGUAUUUCUAUUUAAAGCACUCUUUUCUUCUCCCUCUGUCCGAUGUGGGACUGAGGGUUCCAACAUUUCCAAUCAGGAACAGAUGAAGAAGAAGAAGAAGCCAUCAACAAGCACAAGAUCGACAGCCUAAUGUGAGUCUGGCGUAGCCCCUUAACAAACUCAAGAUUGCAGGUCAACGACCCCCUUCAUUGGUUCUCCCUAGAAAAAUGAGAUGCAUCUUCAAGGGAGGCGCUUGGAAGUUGCCAGGAAAAGGGUCGCUUUGGCUAAAUAAAGUCCGCUAAUCUACGCCGUCCGAUUGAAUAAAGCAAGUGGGAUUGCACAUGUUGGCCGACAACCCCAUCAGGCUGGGCCCCAGUCCCUUCAGCAUGCUCCUUUUCCCUUGCUUUUUUGGCGCGUUGCCUUCCUUGUGGAGCGUCAAAGUGCGCAGCUUUCUCUCUUUCUCAGCGCGUCCACACGCGGAGCGGGUGAGUAUAGGAAAAGGAUCCGCAAGGAUUGUUUUGUUAGGGAUUCUAGAGAUUCUGUUAUCGGGAUCGUUCAUCGUAUAUUGUACAGUUGUAAAUUAUUUUAAAAUAUAAAAUUAAAUAUAAAUAAUACCUAAUAAAAACUGACAGCAUAAUGUAUGAUGAACGAUCACGAUCACGGAAUCUCAAAAAAAAAAGAUUCGGCAAGGAUCAUUUUCCAAAAAUUUUAAUCCAACUGGUUUCUUGUGUUAAAUUUAUCCCAAAAAUUAGUUUUGACCAAAAAUUGAUUUUUGGUCCAAGGGUUGGAGCAAAUCGAGAGAGUUUAAAAACAAAAAUUUAAGUUAGUCUAACAAAUACAAAUGAAAGAAAGUAACAUUCAUAUUUUAUUGUGCCCUUUAAUUUUUAUUUAAAAUGGUCUCGCAUAACUACUUACUUUUAAAAUUGAUAAAAAUGGUCCUGCCUUUGUUCUUUGUUUUUCAUUUAUUUAUAGGUAACUUGCUCAAGUCCAAAGGCAAUUAAACAUGAUUAGUAAAGCACCAUAAUAAAGCAUGAGAGAUAUCUAUUUUAAUUAAAUCCGUUGUGGGCUCACUGUGAUUGUACAUCAUCAUCAUCAUAAAUAAUGCAUGCUUGAACCCCAUUUUAGUUUCAUGCCUAUCAUGAUUAAAUCAUGGAUGGUCAAGAAGCAUAGGACUGAGAAAUCAGAGCCUAGUUUCCAAUACCAAAAGAGUACAAAUUAUUCAACUUAAACGCUAAUUUCGUUAACGAAGAUUAAAAUAGGCGUGAAAUCCAUACAAUUUAUACGUUACCAUUGAUUCAAGUUCUGGUAGGUAUCCAUGAAAACUAUCCGUUGCCGCUCUCUCAGUUCCCAUAUUUUCUGUAUAUUCCAUUAAAACAAUAUAAAUUUUUGAUGCUGAAGCUAAAACAGAUUACCAAUAAUAACAAAGAGGUCUAAAUAAUAGAAAUCAAAUUUUUUAUUUUUGCGGACUUUAGAGAAUCCCUGCAAACUUUAGCCUAACAUUAUGUGAUUGCCUCACUUCUUCAGUAACUCAGAGGAGGUGAAUUACUCAAAGUAUGGAGGACUUCUGCUAACAUAUUUCAAGCACUUGUAACAUUAAAUGUAAUGACAGGUUGACAUUAUUUUUUUUUUAAUUUUUUUUUUUGUAAAGAAUUGUUGCAAGAAGUUUGACCCUUUGUCUUUUUAUUUCUGUAAGGAUUUAUAGGUACAUAUAAAAUCCAUAUUAUAUAUGGUUCACAGAUGAGAGUACUUCAAACACCAAAUAUUCAUUCAUGAUUGGAGAUAAGAAAGCUUACUAAAAGGCAAUCGCCUUUGUGAUGUUUACUUUUGUGCUUAUCCUUUGUCUUCUUUUCUGAGGCAAAAUAUGUCAAUGUGAUAAGUAAUUUCCCAUAAAGAAUCUCAUCCUCAAUAGGCUAAACAACUACAAUGGUUAGUCAAAUAAUGUACUUUCAUGUAGUUAAUCUCCUCGGUUUGUGUUUACUUUUUCAAUAUCAAAACAUCUCGAAGAAACAACGUUUUCCCAUACUCUACAAACACCGAAUGUGCCCGAUAAACCACUAACAACGCCAUUACUCUAAUUCGACUGCAGAGUGAGAGUUAAGAUAAGAAGAUACUCACAGGUCAAAACGGAUGACAUCACCAACACGUAAAUCCAAAAGCCACAACCAAAUUUAAUUUUGUUUUUACUUUGAUUUUUUUUUUCUUGAAUCUGUUUGGAUGCUGAGAACGUGUGGUAUGGGAUUAUUAAUUACCGGCAGGGAAAGAUGACGAUUUCUCCUAUUUGGAUUUGCAGGUGGAGGAAUCAUAGCCGAGGGAUUGCAGUCCGUCGGUGACCAUCUUCCUCAAAUCGUCUUUUUGUUUGAGAUUCUUGUUUGCUUCGACGAUCCUCACCGUAUCGGCCAGGAGGUUUCUCUCCGAGACGCUCACGCAUGGAAUCAGACUCUGAUUAAACAAUAAUUAAGCAAACAAUCAAUCAUCCAUAUGCAUAUUCUGUGUUUGGUUGCCAAGAAACCGCGAGAAAUGCAAAAACAAUUUACUAAUAAAAAAGUUUAAUCAAAGCAACCAUUAUUUAUACUUUUGUACCUUAAGAAUAUCUGAGGCGUCGCCACCGAACAAACCGGAGGAGAUUGAAUCACCGAAACCUCCACCGAAUAUAUCGAGCUCGUCGUCGGAGCUGUCAUUGCUGUUGCCGUGAAAGCAAUUGCAGCGGUUCCGUCCACAUUUCGGCGGAGGUUGCUUCUCGUUGCUUUCUUCGAUGAAAUUCUGAACCAUCUUCGCCAAGCAGACCGAACUUGGCUUGAACUCAGGCCGCGGCGCUGACGGUCCCUUCAUCCUUGCUGAUAUUGAGGCCGCAGGAGUGGCGAGUUGUGAUGUGGACUCAGGCCUCUUGGCCUCUGGGUUUUACGGAGAAGGGGAAGACGGUGAGGGUUGAGAGAGAUGCAGAGUCUGAAAGAGAGUGAAAGAGAAAGGGUUAUAAGAGAGGUUGGGUGUGACAGAGACGAUUGAAGCAAAACGCACGAUGAUAAACGCGUGUGCUCGGUUCAGAAUGGCAAGCCCGUAAAUACCCAAUGACAGAUUUGUAAAUAAAAUGAAAUUCACUUCAAAAUACUGUUCAUUUUAAUAGUGCCAAUUGAAAACCUUACUUUAGACUAAAGUAACUAGAAAUUAUGCAUGCGCGUUGCUACUAGAAUCAGCUGUUUCAAACGUAAUUGGAUGGACAUAACACAUUUAAGUUGAAUAAAUUCAAAACAAUUACGAACAAACAGAAGGAUACAUGAGUGCAUGAGACCGGUAAGAUCAGUAGUUUCGUUUUUGUACACUUGUAAGUGAGUUGACAUAUAAACACAUUGCACAAUGAGUGAGAAUAAACUAUACGUGUUUGAAACUUCAUUUUAAACUAACAUUCACACAAUCCUAAUCAUUUGUGAAUUACCAUAUUCUUAUCAUUAUUCCAAUAUCUCUUCAUGUAGAUGGGGUGAGCUCAUACCAGUCAUUAAGGGCAUGUUUGAUACUCUACUUGAAUUCAACUUUUUAAAUUAAAAAAAAAAAAAUUCAAAUUUUAAGCCUUAAAAACUUGUUUGGUAAGAUUAUUUUCAAAAAUUGAACUUAAGAUUAACUCAAAACUAUAGUUUACUCUCUAAAAACACAAAAAGUAAAUUUUUAGAAUUUUUAAACUUAAACUCACUCAUUUCUUUUCUCUCCCUCCUCUCACUCCAAAUCUAUCUCUCUUUUCUUCUUUCUAUGUCCCCCUUCUUUUUUUUUUUUUACCUUUUUCGUCCCUCCUCCAAUCCGCUCUCUUUAUUAUCUCGAUUCUUUCUUUCACUUCUCUUCCUCCCUAUCUCCUCCGAUCCUCUCUUCUUUCUCUUUCCUUUAAUCACGUCUUAUUUUCUUUCCUCCUCUUUCCUCUUUCUCCCUCGACCCCCUCUUUUUGGAUCUCUUUGUCCAGUUUAAGUUGUAAGAUUUAAAAAUUUUAAAUCACAUACCAAACAAGUUUUGUAGUCUUAAAUAAAAUUAUUUUCAAGAAAAAUUCCUAAGAAAUGUUUUGAGAAAUGAUAAAAAAUUUCAAAUAGGAUAUCAAACAAGCAUUAAAAUUGCUAAUGUAUUUAGUGAUUAUACAGAGCAACUUAACUAUAGAAACGCUCCUCAAAUCACUCUAUACGUUUCCAUUUUGCUUUUCAAAUUAGCAUGUUUAUGUAUUGACAUUAGAAACAGCGGAAAAUACUUUUUACAUUCACCUCUUUCAGACCCUGCGUAAAGCGGGAGCCUUGUGCACUGAGUACGACCUUUAUGCAUUGACAUUAGAGAAAACGAGAAUGCUGAUGAAAAUUGGAUUAUUAGAGGUUAAACGGCAGCGAACCAUUCGGUGUUGAUAAUGAAUACGAAGAUGUGCGAUUUCACGUGAAUGCUGCUUGGAAGGCUAUGAAGUUUCUUGCACUGCUUUAGACUCAAACUCUCAAGGUUUUCAAGAGAUGAAAUUGAUGGGCAAAGGUCUUCAACAGAUAUCUCAUCCAAGCGAAGCUCUCUUAAUCCUUCCAGAUCUCCGACAUUUCCUGGAAAGCCCUUGAGCUUUGGACAACCAGAAAGAUUAAGAAAUUGCAGGGACUUGAGUUGAACAAAGCUGUUUGGAAGAAUCUCAAGUUCUCUGCAAUAUUCAAGAUUCAAAGUAACAAGCCCUGUAAGAUUGUUAAUUGAUCGAGGCAGUUCUUUUAUUGCAGUCCCUUGAAAAUAAAGCUUUGAAAGCUUCUCCAUAACUUCUGAAAUCUCUGGAAACUUCCCAAGUAUUGAACAAAAAGAGAGAUCAAGGGUUUCAAGAGAUUUCAUACUAAUGUUGCUUGAAAAGGUCUUGAGUUUGCCGCACCAACUUAGAUCCAAGAGGACAAGUUUUUCAAGGGCAGAAAUGGAUGGGUGAACCUCAUACAAACUUGUGCAUCUACCAAGAAUUAGCUUCUCAAGAUUCUUUGCCUCAGUGAAGUCAGGUGUUUCCUUAAGACGAUGAGAGCCUUUUAAAUUGAUAAUUUUCAACUUUCCCAGAGGCUGUCAAUAUACAAGGAAAAUAUGUGUUACCCACAUAAUAAGGCAAUUAAAAACUAAAGCAUUUAAAAGCAGUAUAUAGGCAAAUGAUGAAUGUACCUUAGUUCCUUUCCAGAGGUGUUCGACCCAACUAUGUUGCAUGUCAAUUUCAACAAGAUUCUCGGGGUUAAAAUUGGACGAUAAAGACUUUAGGGGACAAUUGUGCCAGAACAGAUAACUUAGUUUUUCAGAGAAACUUUAGAUCCUUGUAUUUCCAUUGACCAUAUGGCAUGUUCAGUGGUAGAAUAUUGUGGGUAUGGACUCUGAGUAGCCUUAGUUUUGUCAUUUUAAGAAAAGCGGUAUCUAAUUCCACCACAUUGUCUGAGUGUGGCCAAUGCACAAUUAUGCUUUCAACUGCUUCAGUAGCCUGGAUUACCAAAAUUGCACAUUGAAUGAGUACAAACUUAAGAUUAUAACGCCUAAUGCACAUGUUUCUCAUGAAUUGGAUUUUGGUCAAAGUUGAAGCUUUAUACUUUUUCUUAUUAGUAUUUUUUGAAUUUACUAAUAUUAAUGGGAGAAAGAAGAUUCGAAGCAAUUACAUUAAUGGAGGGGAGGGGAGGGGAGUGCAUUUCUCACCGUUUUUUUAGUUAACACAUGACGGACAUCUUCAUCGCUCCACAACCUACUGCAACUCCCAGGCUCUUCUAUAGAUUUCUCGCGUACGAUUUCGCGACCCAUUUCCUCUAGUAAAUCAUGCAUCUCGAGUACACCAUCAGAUGAGAUAGUGACAAGAGCUCUACCAACUAGAACGUCUAAUCCGGUAUGGGGAUGGAAGCCACAACCCUCCAUAAUCCUUGUUGCAAAGUCUUUCUUCAUUUGUUUAAAGAAACAUGCAAUAUCAAGAAAUAUUUCCUUCUGAUAUCUAUCUAGUCCAUCAAAGCUUGUUCUAAGCAUUUCCUGGAUUCCCGGGUUCGGAUUUCUGGCUAUUUUCUUUAACUCAUCUGUCCACGCACGUUCACUUUUGUUUUCGAGAAAUGCUCCCAAGACUUUGAGUGCUAAAGGCAAACCUUGAGCAUAUUUUGUGAAAUGGCCUGACAGAUCAAUGUAUUCUUCUGUGGGUUGCUUUCUACUAAAAGCAUACUGCAUAAACAGCUUGAGAGCAUCAUUGUUGUUUAAAAACUCGGGCUCAUAUAUCUCAUCACCAAGUCUGCUUAGUGACUGUUUAUCUCUAGUUGUUAUAAUGAUUCGACUUCCGCCACCAAAUGAAGGUUGCUUUCCAAUUAAGGCUUCAAUUUGGGAUGAACUCUCCACAUUAUCCACAACAACAACAACAACAACAAAGCCUUUUCCCACUAAGUGGGGUCGGCUAUAUGAAUCCUAGAACGCCAUUGCGCUCGGUUUUGUGUCAUGUCAUCCGUUAGAUCCAAGUACUCUAAGUCUUUUCUUAGAGUCUCUUCCAAAGUUUUCCUAGGUCUUCCUCUACCCCUUCGGCCCUGAACCUCUGUCCCGUAGUCACAUCUUCAAACCGGAGCGUCAGUCAGCCUUCUUUGCACAUGUCCAAAUCACCGGAGCCGAUUUUCUCUCAUCUUUCCUACAAUUUCGGCUACUCCUACUUUACCUCGGAUAUCCUCAUUCCCAAUCUUAUCCUUUCUCGUGUGCCCACACAUCCCACGAAGCAUCCUCAUCUCCGCUACACCCAUUUUGUGUGUACGUGUUGAUGCUUCACCGCCCAACAUUCUGUGCCAUACAACAUCGCUGGCCUUAUUGCCAUCCUAUAAAAUUUUCCCUUGAGCUUCAGUGGCCUACGACGGUCACACAACACGCCGGAUGCGCUCUUACACUUCAUCCAUCCAGCUCGUAUUCUAUGGUUGAGAUUUCCAUCUAAUUCUCCGUUCUCUUGCAAGAUAGAUCCUAGGUAGCGAAAACGGUCGCUUUUUGUGAUCUUCGCUAGAUUGCUCCGGUCAUUAGUGUGGAUAAGUAUAUAUAAAUGGAUAGAGAUAGGAAAGCAAACACAAGAUGUACGUGGUUCACCCAGAUUGGCUACGUCCACGGAAUAGAAGAGUUCUCAUUAAUUGUGAAGGGUUUACACAAGUACAUAGGUUCAAGCUCUCCUUUAGUGAGUACAAGUGAAUGAUUUAGUACAAAUGACAUUAGGAAAUAUUGUGGGGGAGAAUGAUCUCGUAAUCACGAAACUUCUAAGUAUCGGAGUGUGGUGUCGUCUUGACUUGCCUUAUCUGUCUCAUAGGUAGAUGUGGCAUCUUCUCUGGAAGUACUUUUUCCUCCAUCCAGGGGUGGUAUCUUUAACUGGUGGAGAUGCACAAGGUAAUGUAUCAAUUUCACUUGAAGCUUACUUGUAGUUUCAGGCUUGGUCAAGCGCGAUACAAACCAUGUAGUAGGAGUCCCCCAAGUCGCCGAGCUAGGGGGUCUGCUGAAAGAGGUGACAGACAAGGUAAGCAAUCAGAGCUCCGACUGAUUGUUCACCUUCUCCCCAUCUUGCAGCAGCAUGAAGGAUAAAGAGAAGAAAAAUGAGAAGAGAUGAUAUGAGAUACUUUUGCUUUUGAAGAAGUAACUUUUCCACAGGCUUAUUCUUGAACUGAGCUGGAGGGUUUUCUGGUUUCCUCCAGAGUAUAAGGCCGACUGAAGAAUUUGAGGGUCAAAACAAGUCCAUCAAAUCUAGAGUACGUUCCACCCUGCUGAUAUGGGAUACUUUUGCUUUUGACAGAGUAAUGGAUGUAUCGGCACGUGUGCUGUUACGCUUGUCUCCACAUGCUUCCUUGUAUCCUUCGCACUUGCCCUAUCUGUUCCUCAAGCAGAUGCGGAAUCUUCCCUGGAAACAUAAGAUGUUGAAGAUGAGUACUCGAGAGCAAUGCCAGGUAAGUAAUCAGGUAAGGGGUUCCAGGCAGUCAGUUCCUGGCUGGAAGCUUGAUUCCAAGUGCUGACUGAUUGCUCUCUUUCUCCUUGUCUUGCAGGUAAAAACAAGGCCAAAGGAAAAGACAGGGAAAAAGCAUGAUAUGGGAUACUCUUGCUUUUAACCCUGAUGAUAUGAGAUAUUCUUGCUCUAGUAUAGCUUGUUUGCAGAGGUAUUAUCGGGGGGAAAGAAAGCUGAAUAUUUCGAAAGGCUUCGUUGGGAGUGCCCUCUCAGAUAUGAUGAAGGGUUGAGCAUUUUUGCAGGUCUGCCUGUCCGUUGGGGAUGGAGGUCGACAUAUAUAGGAGUCUCCCUAACAACAAGUAGUAAUGCUAUUCCUUUACCCUGCUUGGUCAUAGCACGGUAGUGGGAGCUGCCAGUUUCACAUGUUUUAACUCUGUCAGAGCACUUUGAAAAAGUGGUCUGUGGUAUCUGGCUCUCGAGAUUCGGAGAACGAUGCCUCUUCGAUUUUUGAGAAAGCAAUCAUGCUGGGGGUCUGGCUCUCGAGAUUCGGAGAGCAGUGUCUCUUCGAUUUUUGAGGAAGUAAUCAUGUUGGGAGUCUGGCUCUCGAGAUUCGGAGGGCGGUGCCUCUUCGAUUUUGGAGCAAGCAAUCUUGUUGGGAGUGUUGUCUCGAAUGUGAGUAAAGGUUGGGCAUGUUUGCUAGUCUACCUUGCCACGAAGCACAAAGGUUGACACACAGGGACUUUCCAAUUAUCCAGCAAUGGUACUGUUCCUUUACCCUCUCUUCGAUUUUGAGAAAGUAGUCAUGUUGGGAGUCUGGCUCUCGAGAUUCGGAGGACGGUGCCUCUUCGAUUUUGGAGCAAGCAAUCUUGUUGGGAGUGUUUUCUCGAAUGUGAGUAAAGGUUGGGCAUGUUUGCUAGUCUACCUUGCCACGAAGCACAGAGGUUGACACACAGGGACUUUCCAAUUAUCCAGCAGUGGUACUGUUCCUUUACCCUUGUGGGUAAUAAUAUGGUAGCUAGACCUUCAAAAUUUAUGUGUCUAAACUUUGUUAGUGCUGUUUCUUUGCUAUUCUUUUACCUUUCUUGGUCAGAGCGAUGUAGUGGGAGCUGCAAGCUUCACGUGCUCAACUUUGGCAGAGAACUUUGGCAAAGUUAUCUGUGGUACCCAUGAGCUAUUGUUGCGUGUGGGAAGUGGGUGAUUGAACAGUAAGAUUCAUGUGCUUUCUACUUCACCAGAAGUCUUCGACAGAAUGCCCAUAAUUUCUGCAAAGCUGAGUGUGCGUGUGACAGGUGCUGACAAGGCUAGAAAAGUAGGUGCCUCUUCGAUUUCUGAGAUCGGCCCUCGUGGUCUCUGAGCAGCCCAGCUUUUGAGAAAGCGAGCGCCUCUUCGAUUGAUUCGGAGAACGAUGCCUCAUCGAUUUUUGAGAAAGCAAUCAUGCUGGGGGUCUGGCUCUCGAAGAUUCGGGGAGCAGUGUCUCUUCGAUUUUUGAGAAAGUAAUCAUGUUGGGAGUCUGGCUCUCGAGAUUCGGAGGGCGGUGCCUCUUCGAUUUUGGAGCAAGCAAUCUUGUUGGGAGUGUUUUUCUCGAAUGUGAGUAAAGGUUGGGCAUGUUUGCUAGUCUACCUUGCCACGAAGCACAGAGGUUGACACACAGGGACUUUCCAAUUAUCCAGCAAUGGUACUGUUCCUUUACCCUCUCUCUUCGAUUUUUAAGAAAGUAGUCAUGUUGGGAGUCUGGCUCUCGAGAUUCGGAGGACGGUGCCUCUUCGAUUUUGGAGCAAGCAAUCUUAUUGGGAGUGUUUUCUCGAAUGUGAGUAAAGGUUGGGCAUGUUUGCUAGUCUACCUUGCCACGAAGCACAGAGGUUGACACACAGGGACUUUCCAAUUAUCCAGCAGUGGUACUGUUCCUUUACCCUUGUGGGUAAUAAUAUGGUAGCUAGACCUUCAAAAUUUAUGGGUCUAAACUUUGUUAGUGCUGUUUCUUUGCUAUUCUUUUACCCUUCUUGGUCAGAGCGAUGUAGUGGGAGCUGCAAGCUUCACGUGCUCAACUUUGGCAGAGAACUUUGGCAAAGUUAUCUGUGGUACCCAUGAGCUAUUGUUGCGUGUGGGAAGUGGGUGAUUGAACAGUAAGAUUCAUGUGUUUUCUACUUCCCCAGAAGUCUUCGACAGAAUGCCCAUAAUUUCCGCAAAGCUGAGUGUGCGUGUGACAGGUGCUGACAAGGCUGGAAAAGUAGGUGCCUCUUCGAUUUCUGAGAUCGGCCCUCGUGGUCUCUGGGGAGCCCAGCUUUUGAGAAAGCGAGCGCCUCUUCGAUUUCUGAGAUCGGCCUUCGUGGUCUUUGAGCAGCCCAACUUUUGAGAAAGCAAACGCCUCUUCGAUUUCUGAGAUCAACCCUCGUGAUCUCUAAGCAGCCCAGCUUUUGAGAAAGCAAACGCCUCUUCGAUUUCUGAGCAGGCGCCUCUUCGAUUUCUGAAGCUCCGUCGAGUGCAGAUUUUUAUAUAGGGGCUGGCAUUAAGUUCCAAAGCACACUUGAAUCUCCACCAGUAGAAGCUUCAUUCUUGCACUUCUAAGAUCUUGAUUUGUCCGACCUCUUCUCUCUUCAACACCUUUGAAAAUGUCUGGCCCCUCCGACCGUCGUUUUGACUUGAACCUUGUUGAAGAGGCAGCCCCGCCUUCUCCAGACAACAUAUGGCGCCCAUCCUUCGUCUCCCCUACUGGUCCUCUUACCGUUGGGGAUUCCGUGAUGAAGAAUGAUAUGACCGCUGCGGUGGUGGCCAGGAACCUUCUCACUCCCAAAGAUAACAGACUACUUUCCAAACGGUCUGAUGAGUUAGCUGUUAAGGAUUCGCUGGCUCUCAGUGUUCAGUGUGCAGGUUCUGUGUCUAAUAUGGCCCAACGCCUAUUUGCUCGAACCCGCCAAGUUGAAUCAUUGGCGGCUGAAGUGAUGAGUCUCAAACAGGAGAUUAGAGGGCUCAAGCAUGAGAAUAAACAGUUGCACCGGCUCGCACAUGACUAUGCUACAAACAUGAAGAGGAAGCUUGACCAGAUGAAGGAAACUGAUGGUCAGGUUUUACUUGAUCAUCAGAGAUUUGUGGGUUUGUUCCAAAGGCAUUUAUUGCCUUCGUCUUCUGGGGCUGUACCGCGUAAUGAAGCUCCAAAUGAUCAACCUCUGAUGCCUCCUCCUUCUAGGGUUCUGUCCAGUACUGAGGCUCCAAAUGAUCCCCCUCCGGUGCCUUCUCUUUCUGGGGCUCUACCGACUGCUGAGACUUCUCCUAAGCAACCUUUGUGAAGGCUCCCUCUUGUGUGUUUAUUUUGACUCAUGUAUAUGUACAUAUUUGUAGCUUAUCGGGGAUAUCAAUAAAUAAGCUUUCCUUCAUUUCAACGUAUUGUGUUAAAUACACCAAAGCCUUCUUCGCUAAGUUCUUUGAAUUUUCUUUUGUUGAAGCUUGUAUGUUGAAGCUUUCUGAGUGGAGCAUGUAGGUUGGGGUAGUGUUCCCUUAAUUUCCCGAGUGAGGAAAACUUCUCGGUUGGAGACUUGGAAAAUCCAAGUCACUGAGUGGGAUCGGCUAUAUGAAUCUUAGAACGCCAUUGUGCUCGAUCCUGUGUCAUGUCCUUCGUUAGAUCCAAGUACUCUAAGUCUUUUCUUAGAGUCUCUUCCAAAGUUUUCCUAGGUCUUCCUCUACCCCUUCGGCCCUGAACCUCUGUCCCAUAGUCGCAUCUUCUAAUCGGAGCGUCAGUAGGCCUUCUUUGCACAUGUCCAAACCACCGUAACCGAUUUUCUCUCAUCUUUCCUUCAAUUUCGGCUACUCCUACUUUACCCCGGAUAUCCUCAUUCCUAAUCUUAUCCUUUCUCGUGUGCCCACACAUCCAACGAAGCAUCCUCAUCUCCGCUACACCCAUUUUGUGUACGUGUUGAUGUUUCACCGCCCAACAUUCUGUGCCAUACAGCAUCGCCGGCCUUAUUGCCGUCCUAUAAAAUUUUCCCUUGAGCUUCAGUGGCAUACGGCGGUCACACAACACGCCGGAUGCACUCUUCCACUUCAUCCAUCCAGCUUGUAUUCUAUGGUUGAGAUCUCCAUCUAAUUCUCCGUUCUUUUGCAAGAUAGAUCCUAGGUAACGAAAACGGUCGCUCUUUGGCAUUUCUUGAUCUCCGAUCCUCACCCCUAACUCGUUUUGGCCUCCAUUUGCACUGAACUUGCACUCCAUAUAUUCUGUCUUUGAUCGGCUUAGGCGAAGACCUUUAGAUUCCAACACUUCUCUCCAAAGGUUAAGCUUUGCAUUUACCCCUUCCUGAGUUUCAUCUAUCAACACUAUAUCGUCUGCGAAAAACAUACACCAAGGAAUAUCAUCUUGAAUAUGGGGUAUGGGCGGUAUAAACUAUUUUAAAAUGUAAAAUAUAAAAUAUAAAAUUAAUAAAUAAUAAUUAAUAAAAAUUGACUGUAUUAUGUACGAUGAAUAAUUACGAUCACGGAAUCCCUAGGAUCCCAAAAGAAAAAUUCGGUGAGAAUCCUUUUCCAGAAUUUUUAAUCCAACCGUUUCUUGUGUUAAAUUUAUCCCAAAAAUUAGUUUUGACCAAAAAUUGAUUUUUAGUCCAAGGGUUGGAGCAAAUUGAGAGAGUUAAAAAACUAAAAUUUAAGCUAAAGUCCAAAGAUUUGAGUUAGUCUAACAAAUACAAAUGAGAGAAAGUAACAUUCAUAUUUUAUUGCGGCUUUUAAUUUUUAUUUAAAAUGGUAUCUAAACUUGGUAUAAUUACUUACUUUUAAAAUUGAUAAAAAUGGUCUUUGAGAUUGUCUACCAUCAAUCAUUUUGGUCAUUCUGUGAAAAAUCUUAAUUAAAUUAGAGGUAUUUUUAUCAAUACCUUUGAAUUGAUGAUUUCUUCAAUUUAAUGAAAUAUUUUCACAAAUCAUGGUGCAUAUUAUUGGUGGUCCUAAGCUCCUUUAUAUGUGUAGCGUAUGCUUAUGUCAUGAUCUUUCUGCUUCUACUAAAUAUCAGAUGAUUUUGUUUUUACUAUUUGUUUUACUUUGUACAUGGGGUGGCUUUUAGGUUCCCCUGUUGUCUUACUUGCUAUGUUAUUUCCUCAACAAGGUUUGCUUUUAUGUUUCCCUCAUUUGUAAAUUUCCUUUUUUUUUGUUUUUACUUUAAUAUGAUAAUGGGAUGCUCGGUGAGCACUAUUACCCCAUGAUUUUCACGCAUGCACACAAAAAAAAAAAAAUUUAUCGUCACAACUAGCAUAUUUAUCAAAAUACUCGAAAAGUUAGAGUUUCUAGUCACAACUAACAUUGCCAUAUAGUCAAAAUGCUCAAAGUAUAGAAAAGAAAUAUAAAGAAGAUAUCAAGUUAGAUCAGUUACAUAGAGAGAGUCAUUCCCAUGGGAUUGCAUGAUUUCUCUAUCAUUGCAAUGUAUUUUUCAUAAAACUUCCUUUUCAUGAUUAGGGACUACGAUCCUUGGUGCUAUAAAUUCAGCAGUUGACUCAAGCACAGAAGUUAUCUACAGUGAGAAUCCUGAUGGUAAUUUUGUAAAGUCAAACAACUUUGCAUAUGCCAUUGUUGUGGUUGGCGAGUACCCUAUGCUGGGACUGCGGGAGACAGCCCAAACCUUACGAUGGCGGAACCUGGCCCAAGUGUCAUCAGCAAUGUGUGUGAAAGUGUAAUGUGCAUUGUUACCAUAAUAACUGGAAAACCUAUUGUAAUAGAACCAUACUAGAAAUUACGCCCGUUGUUGCGGAAACCAACUGUUACAGGCGUAAUCGAAUUAAUAAAACACAUUUAAGUUGAAUAAGAAUGUCCCCAUGAUUAGUCUUCUCGUUUAUUUUUCACAAACCAAUCACAUAUUAAAAAUCCAAGUACGAAAGCUUUGCAAAGAUAAAUAAAAAAUUUAUAUAACUAAUUAGACUUUGAACAUGCAAUCAAGGCACAUACUCGUAUACCUAAAAAUAGCAAGGAACCGGCUUCUUCCUCCCACAACCAGAGUUCCUGAAAUUUCCAAAGAAAGUAAAUCCGUUAGCAAUUCAGAGAAAUUGGAAGACCAAAUCGUAUUACAUUUGAGUUAAAUGAGCAAAGGUAAACCAAUUAAAUGAGAUACUAAACACAUUUCGAAUCUAUGAAAUAGAAGAAUAAUCAUGUUAGGACUCCCAAGAUGGUGUCCUAAGCACAAAAUUAUAGGUUAAGAAAGGUAAAUCCCAAUCCAAAGCUCCAACCUUUUAACUGAAAAUGAAACAAAAAAGCAUGGAUCAUAUAUUUCAGUUUUAUUAUUAGAUUUUCUAAAUCCCCAAUUUGAAUGUGUUGUAAAGACCUGCUAAAGAUAAUACCACCAACUAAGGGUGGCAAUCUGACCAGCGUUGUGCAUGUCAUGUCGACUCUAUGCAACUUAAUAUAUAACAUUUAAGCAGCAUUAGACGGUCUCCUAAGCAUCUACAAACCAUUUAACAUUAUUUCCCCAAUUUUAUUUCCCAAUUUUAUCAAAUGCUGCAUAAACGAUCACAAUUUACUCCCUUACAAUUUCCACCUAACUCCGAACAAACAAUAUUGAUAAAUCUUUAUCAUCACCUUUAACGAAACAGAUUACAGCGAAAAGAAAAAAAAAGUUACUAUGAAAUCAAAUUCUUCUAGAUGUCCAACCUAACCCAUCUAUGGGAAGGCAAGCAAUCGGACGUGCAUUUAGACCAAGCAAAAUAAAUUUUACAAUUUAUCAAAACAGCAACUGAUUCUCCCAAAGAGAACACAACAUACCAACAUAUUAUUCACCAUAUUCUAAGCUUUCAUUUUCGUUCUAUCUCUUUCGUUAUCUAAACUUAUAGUUAUCAAAACAGCAAUAAAAUCAUAGACAAACCUUCAAUCAUUUAUCAAAACUGAAUUAAUUAAACUUCUGCUCCGCAGUCCGUUAAUUUUAAUUGCAACUCUCAUUCUAAAAAUUUAAAAUUUUGCAUUGAAUAAUCAAACGCACUUGCACGUUACAUUCCUUUUAUUGGUUCUUGACAUAAUACAUUUUAGGAUUGAUGUAAUAAUAUCACUACAAACAUGAAUUGCGAUAGAUAUAGAAACCAAACUUGCACACAAAUGUUUGACUGAAUUCAGAACCACUUAAUUCAACAUAAAAAAUUACCUCACAUGCUUGCUCCCCUUCUGCUCUCGCAUCGUCGGCUCCGCUACUAAACGAUUAAUGAAGUCCCAAAGCAAAAACAGAACAAAAAACAUUUACCAAUCCAACAUUUCAACACAUGGUUUUGGCAGGUAUAACAUUUCAACAUAAGCAUGAUAUAGAAAGAAAGAAAUCCACAUGUCACUUUGUUUUUUCAGAAUCAACAAAAAGGGCAACUAGAAGAGAAUGUAACCAAUUUUAAAGAGUAAAUCAGUCUCCCAAUAAAGGAGAACAAUGCUGGCGGUAGACCAAGAGUAAGUACAACCCGACUGCAGCAACAAAAACACAAUUGACUUUCACACUACAGAAAUAAAUAAUAAAAAAACACAUACCUGCACCCAAUGCAUUGUUUUUUUUUUCCUCUGCAGUAUAAGAAUAAAAAAGAAUAACAUUCCCCUGAAACCAAAUUCAUCCCCCAAUUUCUUGCAACAAAGAGGGAGACCAACCUUGUGUUCUUGGAGAACAGUAUAACAAUUAGACACAAUCAGACUAAUCCAAGUUCCCACUAUGAUAAUGAAAAAUUAAAAUUAAUAAAAUAGCUCAAAUCAUAUCACAGUAUGUCACAAAGUACACCAUUUGAUAACCAAUAAAUUUAACAAAAAUAGAUUCAAUAGUCUAUAUCAAUUAAUCAAUAGUCUAAAGUAUGAAAAAAAUUGAUUUCAAAGCCUUCCUUAGGAACUUCACAACGUAUCAACAGACAUUAUGAUAUCGAUGAUGGUAUCCAUGAAACCCCAAGCUGCAAGCAAAUACUGCCUUUGGAAAUUUUCAAUAUAAAUGGUUUUGCAAACCAGCCACUAAUGAAACAUCUAAUUUCAAACAAAUAAUAAAAGCUUUCUUUAACUGACACAUUAUCCUUCUUCUUUCCUCCCAUUUACUUCCCACCCUCCCUAUUAAUCCCUCCAUUUUGAAACUCCUAUAUUCUUCCUAUUCUGUACAAAACCUGCCAAAUCAUUUCCUCACUUCUCAAAACCCAAAUAAUCACUUAAAAUGCACAAAAUUACAAUUAAAUCAAUAUUACAUUACACAAAAUGACAUUCAAAACCACAAUACACUAAAACCAAGCGUGAAUUCUACACCCUCAAUAAGUGGAAGCAUUCGUACCUCAAAUGAAUUUGCAACUUAAUUUUUUGCUGAAAAACCUUGACCUACAAAACCAAAUUACAUUUAGGGUAAAUUACAAAAAAUUAUCUCAACUAUUGGUGGCACGACACUUUCAUACCUCAUCUUUUAAAAUUGACAAUGUCAUACCUCAUUUUACGAAUUUAUGCCAACGUUAUACCUUCCGUUAGCUUGGCAUAAAUUUCUCAGUUAAAUGUUGAUGUGGCUUGAUCUGGGGCCCAUUUUCUGUUAAAAAAAUUAUUAAAAACUAAAAAAAAUCAUUUAAUUUUUUUUAAAUAUUAAAAUAAUAAAGAAAAGUUAUAUAAAAUAAAAAAAUAAAAAAACCAACCAACACCCAGUUCGUCCCCUUCCCCCCCCUUUCUCUCUCCUCCCCAUCUUCAUCUUCUUCCCCCUUCUUGCAACUGCAACCCAGAAAAAAGAAGAGAAAAAAAAAACCAAUUUGUCUUCCCCACACCCACUCUCCGCACCCAUCUUCAUCUUCUUCCCCCUUCCAAUUGCAACCCAGAAAAAAAAAAAAAAAAAAAAAAAACCAAUUUGUCAAUUUUUUUUUUCUUCCUCCUUUCUGGGUUGCAGGAAGAUGGGGAAGAGAGAAGGGGGAGGGACAAACUGACCUAAGGUUUUAUUUUAUUUUAUUUUUAUUUACUUUUCUUUAUUAUUUUAAUAUUUAAAAAAUACUAAAUAAUUUUUUAAUAGAAAGUGGGCCCCGAUUCAAGCCACGUUAGCAUUUAACUGAAAAAUUCAUGGUCAAGUAACGGAAGGUAUAACAUUGGCACAAAUUCGUAAGAUGAGGUAUGACAUUAUCAAUUUUAAAAGAUGAGAUAUGAAAGUGUCGUGACACCAAUAGUUGAGUUAGUUUUUUGUAAUUUACCCUUACAUUUAUCAACAAAAAGGAAUCAAUGUAAGAAAGCAAACACAAUACAGAAAAAAUGGCCAUUCAAGUCAGCUCUAUUUAGAUUAUAAUAACUCUCAAUUUAAGAAAGCAAAUGCAAUACAGAAAGCAAAUAUAAUCCAAAUUACCUUGAACACCACCAUCAUAUUUUUACUCCGUUACGUAUACAUGUCCUUUUCUUUCUAGAUAAACUUUAUUUCUUUGAAGUUUCUGCAGGGUGCAUUCCAAUUUAACCCUUUAAAUGUUUGUAUAAAACUUAGGGUGCGAUGGCAAGUGCCUUCGCCCAUAAACGGUAGAUCUCGGGUUCGAGACUUGGGAGCAGCCUCUCCAUAAAUGGGGAUAAGGCUAGCCGACAUUCACCUCUCUCAGACCCUGCGUAAAGCGGGAGCCUUGUGCACUGGGUACGACCUUUAUAUUCUCGCCUGCUUGCAAGUCAACUAAGUCAACUAUUCAACCUUCACAUAUUGUUUAUUAGUUUUCUUGAUACUAAUGUAUGGAAAGGGCUUAAAUCCUUCAAUGUAUGGAAAGGGCUUAAAUCCUUCAAUUAUGGAUAUACUAAUGUAUAAUCCUUUGUUCUAGACCAAUUUUGUUCUUAGUUCUUAGUUUUCUUGAUACAAACUUUUUUUUUUGUAUUAAUAUAAAUUUGUUUGCACCAAGGGAUGGGGUGGGAACAUAUCUUGAAAUAUGGCCACGUCCACAUUUGCAGCUGAAGAACACUUCAAUAUAAGUUUAAUUUGGUGCAACUUUAGGUUUAAUUUGGGUAUGUUCCACCACUUAAAAUUUGCAAUACUAAUUUUGAACAAUGAAUAAGAAAAUUCUACCAAGAGAGAGUAAAAUAGUAAAUCAACUUAAUUUCUGUAAAAAAAAAAAAAAAAACUUGCAAAAAUUUCAUGAAAUUUUGGUAAAAACGGAAAAGAAAAGGGUUAAGACAAUCAAGACUAAUGGAAAAUUUGAUAUUGUUUUAACAUUAACUUAGGUUGAUUUUGUUCACCAGCAUUAAUAAAACGAAUGACUUUAACUUGGGCAAGCAAACAAUUAAAUUAGACGUAAGCCAAGUAACUUAGAAGUUAACCAUAUGAAAAAAGGAAAACUAAUGAAAAAAGCUUGAAAACUUUGAGUUUUAAUGAUAAGGACAAAAUAAAGGGUAAAGUGAAUAGUACCAUGAUUGACUUUUUAGUGUAAAAAUGUGGUUUUUCGUUAAAGUGAAUAGUACCGAGUGCUUUUCGUUAAAGUUCCCUAUGAAAAAAAGCAAUGACAAUCAAACUGACCUCUUCUUUCAUAUGAAGUAUAAUCUGUUCUCUAUUUUGCCUUUGUGAAGAAUGCACUUUUCACUUCCUACACACAAAAUAGCAUACAUUGAAAAUGCUCCGUAGCAUUAUAAAAACUAUAGAUAUACAGUACUGUAUAUGUAUCAUAUACUAUAUUGUGUACGUAGUUGGACAUAAGGUAUAAAGAUUUACUAACAUAAUUAAGCUUAAAUUUAACAAAAGAAGUAAUUACAAAUUGAAAUCAAACGAUAUUCUAGUUAUUCAAAAAAAUUCUGGCUAAAUUUUACAAAUAGUAUUAUAAAUUGUUAAAAAAAAUAACACAAUUGAAAAAACUCACCACUCAAAUCUGCAAUUCUAUUAAAAACACAUCACUAAAAAUUAACUCCAACAAAAGGGGAUUAACAAAUUAUACCUUUUUAAGAGUUGGAAUUGUUUAUCUAUAUCUUGAGCUGGACCCGCUGGAUUUGAAUCCUCAGUUGACUUAGAGGGAGGAUAGGCAUGAAAAGAAGUGUAAGGUUCACUGGAUCAUAUUUUUAAGAGAUAGAGAGAGUUCUACUUUUCAACAGCGGAGAGAACAUAUUCAAUCUUGGGCAUAAAAAGAAAAAAUAGAAGCUUCAUAGCACAAUAAUUAACCACAAUCCUCUGUUUUUCUAAAUGCAAAUAGAAAAAAGGAAUCAAAAUAUUCAACACAAAAUCUUCACAUUAGCUCAAGAACUAUAUUAUUUCCAGUGCUUUCCAAUUUUCCAGCACGGAACAACAAACAUAAAAGCAUUAAAAAUAUAUAAUUGCAAAAAAAAAAAAUAGCAAUUCCAAGAAACUAAAUGCGAAGUUAGCCAGAUCUGCACAGUAACACAAACCCAUUACUUGAAUUAAGAGCAUUGUGGCUCACCCUGAAAACACCCAUUUUGCAAUGAGGAAGAGAGACACUGCUGCUCUGGCUGCUGAGUGCUGCUGGCUCCAAAGCAGUUUGUCUACCAGAACUUUAUAAGAGCAAGUCCAACCCUUCAAAGCCACUGUAAAUCGCCAAGGAUUUACAUCAUUCUGCUUGCCUAAAAAAAGCAAACAAAAAAGAAAAAAAUGGAAAGUAUAAAAUUCAAAUGACCCUUGAUGAACAUAACCCAUAAAUUUUCCUUGUAUUCCAUAAAUGCAAUAAAACAAAAGUCAGUGUCUCCAUUUUCCAAAAAACCAAGCAAGCAAGCAACAAAUUUCGAAAACCCUAAUUCUAACCAAUUUAGAACUAUAACCAAGUAAACCACUUAAUCAACAAAACUCACUAAUUUUCUCAAAAACCCAACAAAUUUAAAGGAUAUCCAGAUGAUAAAUCCCAGUAAAAUCCCAAAUUUGAAAACCAGAAGAAAAAAAAAGACAAAGAGGCUUAUCUUUCUUCACUAAUCGGGCACUAACAGAAAAACCUUAAUUCAUAUUAUUCAGAUUACAAAUACACAGGGACCAAAUAGCUAAUAAUGCUGGACAAUUUGUCCCCAAUCCAACACAAAAAUUGUUCUUGUUAUACAUACGAUACCCGCCUAAAAUAUCAACCAAUUCCAAAUUAAAAUGGAAAAUGAAACGGAGCAUCAUAAAUUGAAUACAAUUUGGAGAAAAUUAUCUCACUUGGGGCGCCGAAUCUCCAAGAGGUCCCAAUCCGAGCAGGCUCCAAAUUGGGUUGUUGAAAAUGGUGAUCAAGGAAGGGUUUUGGAGGUGGGUCUGAUCAGAACAAAGCCGAAGCCAUUAGGUUUGGGGGGAGAGGAACAAAGAGCCACUGAGAGAGAGAGAGAGAGAGAGAGAGAGCAUGCGUUGUCCUUUUCUUCUAUCCGGCCACUGGAUCGCAGUUCCUUCACAAAAAUUAUACACGUGUGUUACUUUUUCAAGUUCUAGUUUUGUAAUCACCUAAUCGAUCAUAACACCAUUCGCAAAUAUGACAAACAUAAACAAUUAAGUCAGCAACAUGAUAUGCCAUUCCUUUCAUAUUGCACAUAUAAAGAAAAAAGAAAUGAACCAAAAUAAAAUUAUACUAUAAUCCAAUUAUAUGAAGGCCAAACUUGAGUUGGGGCUGGUGGCCGUUGACCACAUCAUCGCCUCCAUUUGAGAGAAAAGGGUUUGUUUGGCUUUUUUGUCCAAUUAUUUACACUAACCAUAUAUAAAUGAAGAAGGACAACAUCUAUGUUGCUCCCUUCUUGUGAUCCAAAUUUGAAGAGGGCCGAUGGGGAGGGGCAGUUAUAAGUGUCAUCCUCUUUGUUUCUCCUAUCCCUGCAUUAUCAACCAAAAAAACAUCAAACCAAGUGCAAUACAAUCCAAUUUAAUGCUCACAAAAUUUGAGCUCCAAACAAGGUCACAGGUCAGCAAUCGCCUAAUCGAUCAUAACACCAUUCGCAAACAUAAACAAUUAAGUCAGCAACUUGAUAUGCCAUCCCUUUCAUACAAACACAGAUUGCAAUUCAUAUAUGCCGCAUUAUUUACAAACAAUUACAAAUCAAGAAACAAUUAAAUCAUCAUCAUGAAUUAUAGUGUAAUAACAGCAUCAUCAAUUAGAAGAGACAGAGCUACAUGGCAAUAAACAUAUAGAGAGUAAACAUACAGAGAGGAACUGCUUCAUAUCCUUCCCAAAAGCAAUCUUCCGCAGGAUAACAAAAGAGCGGUUGAUCUCUGAUCUAAUUGCAGACGCAAUCUGCAGAACCGACUUCUAUGGAAUUUUAACUUGUGAAAUGUGGGGUGGAGAUUUGAAUGUAACAAAUUGGUGUUAAGUGAAUAAUUCCAAACAUAUGAAAUUUAGAUAAUCACAUCCGAACGCAAACAGAAGAAUUAAAUAAAGAAUCAAAGGCAUAUGCAAUCUAAUUAGACAAAUAAGUGAACUUUCCCAUGCCAAAAUCCGAAAGGCCAACAGAUAUCUCUCAUUACAGGACUUAAUACAUAUCUUAAAAGACAAAACUUAAAAUAACAAAAAUUAGGUGAAACAAUUGAAGAGAACAUAAUCCUUGUAACCAAUCCGGAAAAGAUGCUUUUAAAUCCCAGAAAACAAAUUAUGAGAAGUUUUUAAAAAAACCAUCAUUUCAAUUAUUUUCCAGUCUUACAUUUGGGAAUAAACAGAAAAUAUAACUAAAAUGCCAACUUUCUCAAAAAACUACAACUACUUUAACAAAUUUCCAUCACUCAACACUGAAAAAUGAGAAUCACGAAGCAACGAAGAACGGAACACGCUAGAAAUAACAACAAAGCCUUUUCCCACUAAGUGAGGUCGGCUAUAUGAAUCCUAGAACGCCAUUGCGCUCGGUUUUGUGUCAUGUCCUCCGUUAGAUCCAAGUACUCUAAGUCUUUUCUUAGGGUCUCUUCCAAAGUUUUCCUAGGUCUUCCUCUACCCCUUCGGCCCCGAACCUGUCUCGUAGUCACAUCUUCGAACCGGAGCGUCAGUAGGCAUUCUUUGCGCAUGUCCAAACAACCGUAACCGAUUUUCUCUCAUAUUUCCUUCAACUUCGGCUAUUCCUACUUUACCUCGGAUAUCCUCAUUCCCAAUCUUAUCAUUUCUCGUGUGCCCACACAUCCCACGAAGCAUCAUUAUCUCCGCUACACCCAUUUUGUGUACGUGUUGAUGCUUCACCGCCCAACAUUCUGUGCCAUACAACAUCGCUGGCCUUAUUACCGUCCUAUAAAAUUUUCCCUUGAGCUUCAGUGACCUAUGACGGUCACACAACACGCCGGAUGCACUCUUACACUUCAUCCAUCCAUCUUGUAUUCUAUGGUUGAGAUCUCCAUCUAAUUCUCCGUUCUCUUGCAAGAUAGAUCCUAGGUAGCGAAAACGGUCGCUUUUUGUGAUCUUCGCUAGAUUGCUCCGGUCAUUAGUGUGGAUAAGUAUAUAAAUGGAUAGAGAUAGGAAAGCAAACACCAGAUGUACGUGGUUCACCCAUAUUGGCUACGUCCACGGAAUAGAGGAUUUCUCAUUAAUUGUGAAGGGUUUACACAAGUACAUAGGUUCAAGCUCUCCUUUAGUGAGUACAAGUGAAUGAUUUAGUACAAAUGACAUUAAGAAAUAUUGUGGGAGAAUGAUCUCGUAAUCACGAAACUUCUAAGUACCGGCGUGUGGUAUCGUCUUGACUUGCCUUAUCUGUCUCGUAGGUAGAUGUUGCAUCUUCUCUGGAAGUACUCUUCCAUCCAGGGGUGGUAUCUUUAACUAGUGGAGAUGCACAAGGUAAUGUAUUAAUUUCACUUGAAGCUUACUUGUAGUUUCAGGCUUGGUCAAGCGCAAUACAAACCAUGUAGUAGGAGUCCCCCAAGUCGCCGAGCUAGGGGAUCUGCUGAAAGAGGUGACAGAUAAGGUAAGCAAUCAGAGCUCCAAGCAAUCAGUCCUAGAUCAGAACUUUGAUUUCGAGUUCCGGCUGAUUGUUCACAUUCUCCCUAUCUUGCAGGCAGCAUGAAGGAUAAAGAGAAGAAAAAUGAGAAGAGAUGAUAUGGGAUACUUUUGCUUUUGAAGAAGUAACUUUCCACAGGCUUAUUCUUGAACUGGGCUGGAGGGUUUUCUAGUUUCCUCCAGAGUAUAAGGCCGACUGAAGAAUUUGAGGGUCAAAACAAGUCCAUCAAAUCUAUAGUACGUUCGACCCUGCUGAUAUAGGAUACUUUUGCUUUUGACAGAGUAGUGGAUGUAUCGGCACGUGUGCUGUUACGCUUGUCUCCACAUGCUUCCUUGUAUCCUUCUCACUUGCCUUAUCUGUUCCUCAGGCAGAUGCGGUAUCUUCCCUGGAAGCAUAAAAUGUUGAAGAUGAGUACUCGAGAGCAAUGCCAGGUAAGUAAUCAAGUAAGGGGUUCCAGGCAGUCAGUUCAUGACUGGAAGCUUGAUUCCAAGUGCUGAUUGAUUGCUCUCUUUCUCCUUGUCUUGCAGGUAAGAACAAGGCCAAAGGAAAAGACAGGGAAAAAGCAUGAUAUGUGAUACUCUUGCUUUUAACCCUGAUGAUAUGAGAUAUUCUUGCUCUAGUAUAGCUUGUUUGCAGAGGUAUUAUCAGGGGGAAAGAAAGCUGAAUAUUUCGAAAGGCUUCUUUGGGAGUGGCUCUCAGAUAUGACGAAGGGUUGAACAUUUUUGCAGGUCUGCCUGUCCGUUGAGGAUGGAGGUCGACAUAUAUAGGAGUCUCCCUAACAACAAGUAGUAAUGCUAUUCCUUUACCCUGCUUGGUCAUAGCACGGUAAUGGGAGCUGCCAGCUUCACAUGUUUUAACUCUGUCAGAGCACUUUGAAAAAGUGAUCUGUGGUAUCUGGAAAGCUGAUGUUGCGUGUGAAGAUUACAGACAAGCUUUAUCCAAGGAGAUCCAGCUCUUGAAGUUGGGAAAGUGGUGCCUCUUCGGUUUUCGAACAAGUAAUCCUGUCGGAGAUCUGGCUCUCGAGAUUCGGAGAACGAUGCCUUUUCGAUUUUUGAGAAAGCAAUUCUGUUAGGGGUUUGGCUCUCGAGAUUCGGAGAGCGGUGUCUCUUCGAUUUUUGAGAAAGUAAUCAUGUUGGGAGUCUGGCUCUCGAGAUUCGGAGGGCGGUGCCUCUUCGAUUUUGGAGCAAGCAAUCUUGUUGGGAGGGUUUUCUCGAAUGUGAGAAAAGGUUGGGCAUGUUUGCUAGUCUACCUUGCCACGAAGCACAGAGGUUGACACAUAGGGACUUUCCAAUUAUCCAGCAGUGGUACUGUUCCUUUACCCAUGUGGGUAAUAAUAUGGUAACUAGACCUUCAAAAUUUAUGUGUCUAAACUUUGUUAGUGCUGUUUCUUUGCUAUUCUUUUACCCUUCUUGGUCAGAGCGAUGUAGUAGGAGCUGCAAGCUUCACGUGUCUCAACUUUGUCAGAGAACUUUGGCAAAGUUAUCUGUGGUACCCAUGAGCUAAUGUUGCGUGUGGAAAGUGGGUGAUUGAACAGUAAGAUUCAUGUGCUUUCUACUUCACCAGAAAUCUUCGACAUAAUGCCCAUAAUUUCCGCAAAGCUGAGUGUGCGUGUGACAGGUGCUGACAAGGUUGGAAAAGUAGGUGCCUCUUCGAUUUCUGAGAUCGGCCCUCGUGGUCUCUGAGCAGCCCAGCUUUUGAGAAAGCAAGCCUCUUCGAUUUCUGAGAUCGGCCUUCGUGGUAUUUGAGCAGCCCAACUUUUGAGAAAGUAAACGUCUCGUGGUCUCUGAGCAGCCCAGCUUUUGAGAAAGCAAACGCCUCUUCGAUUUCUGAAGCUCCGUCGAGUGCAGAUUUUUAUAGAGGCUGGCAUUAAGUUCCAAAGCACACUUGAAUCUCCACCAGUAGAAGCUCCAUUCUUGCACUUCUAAGAUCUUGAUUUGUCCGACCUCUUCUCUCUUCAACACCUUUGAAAAUGUCUGGCCCCCUCCGACCGUCGUUUUGACUUGAACCUUGUUGAAGAGGCAGCCACGCCUUCUCCAAACAACAUAUGGCGCCCAUCCUUCGUCUCCCCUACUGGUCCUCUUACCGUUGGGGAUUCCGUGAUGAAGAAUGAUAUGACCGCUGCGGUAGUGGCCAGGAACCUUCUCACUCCCAAAGAUAACAGACUACUUUCCAAACGGUCUGAUGAGUUGGCUGUUAAGGAUUCUCUGGCUCUCAGUGUUCAGUGUGCAGGUUCUGUGUCUAACAUGGCCCAACGCCUAUUUGCUCGAACCCGCCAAGUUGAAUCAUUGGCGGCUGAAGUGAUGAGUCUCAAACAGGAGAUUAGAGGGCUCAAGCAUGAGAAUAAACAGUUGCACCGGCUCGCACAUGACUAUGCUACAAACAUGAAGAGGAAGCUUGACCAGAUGAAGGAAUCUGAUGGUCAGGUUUUACUUGAUCAUCAGAGAUUUGUGGGUUUGUUCCAAAGGCAUUUAUUGCCUUCGUCUUCUGGGGCUGUACCGCGUAAUGAAGCUCCAAAUGAUCAACCUCUGCUGCCUCCUCCUUCUAGGGUUCUGUCCAGUACUGAGGCUCCAAAUGAUCCCCCUCCAGUGCCUGCUCUUUCUGGGGCUCUACCGACUGCUGAGACUUCUCCUAAGCAACCUUUGUGAAGGCUCCCUCUUGUUUGUUUAUUUUGACUCAUGUAUAUGUACAUAUUUGUAACUUAUCGGGGAUAUCAAUAAAUAAGCUUUCCUUCAUUUCAACGUAUUGUGUUAAAUACACCAAAGCCUUCUUCGCUAAGUUCUUUGAAUUUUCUUUUUGUUGAAGCUUGUAUGUUGAAGCUUUGUGAGUGGAGCAUGUAGGUUGAGGUAGUAUUCCCUUAAUUUCCCGAGUGAGGAAAACUUCUCGGUUGGAGACUUGGAAAAUCCAAGUCACUGAGUGGGAUCGGCUAUAUGAAUCUUUGAACGCCAUUGUGCUCGGUCCUGUCAUGUCCUCCGUUAGAUCCAAGUACUCUAAGUCUUUUCUUAGAGUCUCUUCCAAAGUUUUCCUAGGUCUUCCUCUACCCCUUCGGCCCUGAACCUCUGUCCCAUAGUCGCAUCUUCUAAUCGGAGCGUCAGUAGGCCUUCUUUGCACAUGUCCAAACCACCGUAACCGAUUUUCUCUCAUCUUUCCUUCAAUUUCGGCUACUCCUACUUUACCCCGGAUAUCCUCAUUCCUAAUCUUAUCCUUUCUUGUGUGCCCACACAUCCAACGAAGCAUCCUCAUCUCCGCUACACCCAUUUUGUGUACGUGUUGAUGCUUCACCGCCCAACAUUCUGUGCCAUACAGCAUCGCCGGCCUUAUUGCCGUCCUAUAAAAUUUUCCCUUGAGCUUCAGUGGCAUACGGCGGUCACACACAACACGCCGGAUGCACUCUUCCACUUCAUCCAUCCAGCUUGUAUUCUAUGGUUGAGAUCUCCAUCUAAUUCUCCGUUCUUUUGCAAGAUAGAUCCUAGGUAACGAAAACGGUCGCUCUUUGGUAUUUCUUGAUCUCCGAUCCUCACCCCUAACUCGUUUUGGCCUCCAUUUGCACUGAACUUGCACUCCAUAUAUUCUGUCUUUGAUCGGCUUAGGCGAAAGACCUUUAGAUUCCAACACUUCUCUCCAAAGGUUAAGCUUUGCAUUUACCCCUUCCUGAGUUUCAUCUAUCAACACUAUAUCGUCUGCGAAAAGCAUACACCAAGGAAUAUCAUCUUGAAUAUGUCCUGUUAACUCAUCCAUUACCAACGCAAAAAGGUAAGGACUUAAGGAUGAGCCUUGAUGUAAUCCUACAGUUAUGGGAAAGCUUUCGGUUUGUCCUUCAUGAGUUCUUACGGCAGUCUUUGCUCCUUCAUACAUAUCCUUUAUAGCUUGGAUAUAUGCUACUCGUACUCCUUUUCUUCUCUAAAAUCCUCCAAAGAAUGUCUCUUGGGACCCUAUCAUACGCUUUUUUCCAAAUCUAUAAAGACCAUGUGUAAAUCCUUUUUCCCAUCUCUAUAUCUUUCCAUCAAUCUUCGUAAGAGAUAGAUUGCCUCCAUGGUUGAGCGCCCUGGCAUGAACCCGAAUUGGUUGUCCGAAACCCGUGUCUCUUGCCUCAUCUAUGCUCAAUGACUCUCUCCCAGAGCUUCAUUGUAUGACUCAUUAGCUUAAUACCCCUAUAGUUCAUGCAAUUUUGUACGUCGCCCUUAUUCUUGUAGAUAGGCACCAAAGUGCUCGUUUCGCCACUCAUUUGGCAUCUUCUUCGUUUUCAAAAUCCUAUUGAAAAGGUCAGUGAGCCAUGUUAUACCUGUCUCUCCCAAAACUUUCCACACUUCGAUUGGUAUAUCGUCUGGGCCCACUGCUUUUCUAUGCUUCAUCUUCUUCAAAGCUACAACCACUUCUUCCUUCCGGAUUCGACGAUAAAAAGAGUAGUUUCUACACUCUUCUGAGUUACUCAACUCCCCUAAAGAAGCACUCAUUUCAUGUCCUUCAUUGAAAAGAUUAUGAAAAUAACCUCUCCAUCUGUCUUUAACCGCGUUUCUCUGUAGCAAGAACCUUUCCAUCCUCAUCCUUGAUGCACCUCACUUGGUUUAGGUCCCUUGUCUUCUUUUCCCUUGCUCUAGCUAGUUUAUAGAUAUCCAACUCUCCUUCUUUGGUAUCUAGUCGCUUAUACAUAUCGUCAUAAGCCGCUAACUUAGCUUCUCUCACAGCUUUCUUCGCCUCUUGCUUCGCUUUUCUAUACCUUUCACCAUUUUCAUCGGUCCUAUCCUUGUAUAAGGCUUUACAACAUUCCUUCUUAGCCUUCACCUUUGUUUGUACCUCCUCAUUCCACCACCAAGAUUCCUUUUGGUGUGGGGCAAAGCCCUUGGACUCUCCUAAUACCUCUUUUGCUACUUUUCGGAUACAACUAGCCAUGGAAUCCCACAUUUGGCUAGCUUCCCCCUCUCUAUCCCACACACACUGGGUGAUUACUUUCUCUUUGAAAAUGACUUGUUUUUUCUUCUUUUAGAUUCCACCAUCUAGUCCUUGGGCACUUCCAAGUCUUGUUCUUUUUUCUCACUCUUUUGAUAUGUACAUCCAUCACCAACAAGCGAUGUUGAUUAGCCAAGCUCUCUCCUGGUAUAACUUUGCAAUCCUUACAAGUUAUACGAUCCCCUUUCCUCAUUAGAAGAAAAUCUAUUUGUGUUUUUGACGACCCACUCUUGUAGGUGAUCACAUGUUCUUCUCUCUCUUCUUAAAGAAGGUGUUGGCUAAGAAGAGAGAUCAUAUGCCAUUGCAAAAUCCAAGAUAGCUUCCCCAUCCUCGUUUCUCUCCCCAAAACCAUGGCCACCAUGAAAACCUCCAUAGUUGCCUGUCUCCCUGCCCACGUGUCCAUUUAAAUCUCCUCCUAUAAAUAACUUCUCCGUCUGAGCAAUUCCUUGCACCAAGUCUCCAAGGUCUUCCCAAAAUUUCUCCUUCGAACUCGUAUCCAACCCUACUUGAGGUGCGUACGCACUAAUCACAUUGAUAAGUUCUUGUCCUAUUACAAUCUUGAUUGCCAUGAUUCUAUCUCCUACCCUCUUGACAUCUACAACAUCUUGUGUCAAGGUCUUGUCCACGAUGAUGCCAACACCGUUUCUCGUUCUAUUUGUGCCCGAAUACCAAAGUUUAAACCCUGAGUUUUCUAGAUCCUUUGCCUUAAGACCAACCCACUUAGUUUCUUGUAGGCACAUAAUAUUUAUCCUUCUCCUCACCAUAACUUCCACUACUUCCAUAGAUUUUCCCGUUAAGGUUCCUAUAUUCCACGUUCCUAAACGCAUUUUGCUCUCUUGAACUCUACCCUUCUGUCCUAGCUUCUUCACCCUCCCCCAUCUAAUAGGAUCAAAGUACUUCUUUUGUGUGUUCCGUGUAAAGUUGAUAGGAGCAUAUGCUUCUAAACAACUUUGAGUGGAGUCGUUCGAAAAGAAGUUUCUAUGGCCCCCUUGCUCAUUUAACACUGCAUCCGGGUGCCGAUGGAGAUACAACGACCCUUGCUCACUUAUCACUGUGCUCGGGCCACACAGCGCGCCACUUACUGGUGACACCCUAGCUUUAGCGCAAUUUCGUUCUGGAUUCAUUUUCAUAAGGAUUCGACGUAAUCAUGGAGUGCCGGCUGUCGACUACCUGACGCCCUCCCCCUCCUCCUUUAUCCAGGCUUAGGACCGGCAAUGUAAGAUAAACUUACACAGGCGGAGUUAACGGAACACGCUAGAACUGAAACAUUAAAAACAACAUGUACCCAUUUCAAAGACCAAAAAUCCUGCAAGGACAAAAAAAAAAUCCGAGAAAAUCAGUACAUCAGUACUCCCUGCAAAACCCCAAAAUCAGAAAAUUAGAAAAAGAACCCAAAUCAGUGGCAUGGUCCUUGUUUCUCCAUUAAUCAGUAGGUAAUGACCUAAUGAAAAAGAACCCAAAACAGACGGCUUAAAUUAUGGAAAGUGCUUAUAAAGCUCAUGAAUAACUUUCAAAGCCUGCAUUCCACAGUGUGCACACGCACAAACAUAAAAUAUACAUGCAUAGUUAAUUUUAGACAAUAAUACCUCAGAACAUAAGUUGCAAUUUGGGACUAUUUGGUUGACUCAAAAGAAAUUGAUGGGUUAGAAAACCACAAAAAAAAUACAAAGACGGAUGUUUUUAUGUCGUUCAUUUCUUACGUCGACAAAACACACACACCUGUGUUUUAAUGCUCCUCCAAUACUCAAUGAGAAGGCACCAGGCAAAAAGAAGGUCAAGGCUGGAAAGAAGCUUCCAAAGAGAACAAUAUAUAAAGCAGACCACAAAAAUUAGACAAAACCCAAAAACUAAACAGUAGAAAAACCUCUAAAAUAUAUAAAUAUAUAUAUAAUUAAAUAAUUUAAAAAAAAACUAAACUGCAAAUACUCUAGAAAUCGUAAAAUGAACUGCAAACCCGUCAAUCAUUUCCCAAAACCACAUAACCAAAGAGUAAAAAAGGGAGUACGGGAGAGAGAAGCAGCCAAAAUACAGAGAAGAUGGCAAGAGAGAGAGAGAGAGAGAGAAAAAUGAAUUAUUUUGGUGCCUCUGGUUCCUGCCUUUGUUCUUUGUUUUUCAUUUAUUUAUAGGUAACUUGCUCAAGUCCAAAGGCAAUUAAACAUGAUUAGUAAAGCACCAUAAUAAAGCAUGAGAGAUAUCUAUUUUAAUUAAAUCUGUUGUGGGCUCACUGUGAUUGUACAUCAUCAUCAUAAAUAAUGCAUGCUUGAACCCCAUUUUAGUUUCAUGCCUAUCAUAAUUAAAUCAUGGAUGGUCAAGAAGCAUAGGACUGAGAAAUCAGAGCCUAAUUUCCAAUAUCAAAAGAGUACAAAUUAUUCAACUUAAACGCUAAUUUCGUUAACGAAGAUUAAAAUAGGCGUGAAAUCCAUACAAUUUAUACGUUACCAUUGAUUCAAGUUCUGGUAGGUAUCCAUGGAAACUAUCCGUUGCCACUCUCUCAGUUCCCAUAUUUUCUGUAUGUUUCAUUAAACAAUAUAAACUUUUGAUGCUCUUCCAUCUGGAGCUAAAACAGAUUACCAAUAAUAACAAAGAGGUCUAAAUAAUAGAAAUCAAAAUUUUGAUUUUUGCGGACUUUAGAGAAUCUGCAAACUUUAGCCUAACAUUAUGUGAUUGCCUCACUUCUUCAGUAACUCAGAGGAGGUGAAUUACUCAAAGUAUGGAGGACUUCUGCUAACAUAUUUCAAGCACUUGUAACAUUAAAUGUAAUGACAGGUUGACAUUAUUAUUAUUUUUUUUUUGUAAAGAAUUGUUGCAAGAAGUUUGACCCUUUGUCUUUUUAUUUCUGUAAGGAUUUAUAGGUACAUAUAAAAUCCAUAUUAUAUAUGGUUCACAGAUGAGAGUACUUCAAACACCAAAUAUUCAUUCAUGAUUGGAGAUAAGAAAGCUUACUAAGAGGCAAUCGCCUUUGUGAUGUUUACUUUUGUGCUUAUCCUUUGUCUUCUUUUCUGAGGCAAAAUAUGUCAAUGUGAUAAGUAAUUUCCCAUAAAGAAUAUCAUCCUCAAUAGGCUAAACAACUACAAUGGUUAGUCAAAUAAUGUACUUUCAUGUAGUUAAUCUCCUCGGUUUGUGUUUACUUUUUCAAUAUCAAAACAUCUCGAAGAAACAACGUUUUCCCUUACUCUACAAACACCGAAUGUGCCCGAUAAACCACUAACAACGCCAUUACUCUAAUUCGACUGCAGAGUGAGAGUUAAGAUAAGAAGAUACUCACAGGCCAAAACGGAUGACAUCACCAACACAUAAAUCCAAAAGCCACAACCAAAUUUAAUUUUGUUUUUACGUUGAAUUUUUUUUUCUUGAAUCCGUUUGGAUGCUGAGAACGUGUGGUAUGGGAUUAUUAAUUACCGGCAGGGAAAAUGACGAUUUCUCCUAUUUGCAUUUGCAGGUGGAGGAAUCAUAGCCGAGGGAUUGCAGUUCGUCGGUGACCAUCUUCCUCAAAUCGUCUUUUUGUUUGAGAUUCUUGUUUGCUUCGACGAUCCUCGCCGUAUCAGCCAGGAGGUUUCUCUCCGAGACGCUCACGCAUGGAAUCAGACUCUGAUUAAACAAUAAUUAAGCAAACAAUCAAUCACCCAUAUUCAUAUUCUGUGUUUGGUUGCCAAGAAACCGCGAGAAAUGCAAAAACAAUUUACUAAUAAAAAAGUGUAAUCAAAGCAACCAUUAUUUAUACUUUUGUACCUUAAGAAUAUCUGAGGCGUCGCCACCGAACGAACCGGAGGAGAUUGAAUCACCGAAACCUCCACCGAAUAUAUCGAACUCGUCGUCGGAGCUGUCAUUGCUGUUGCCGUGAAAGCAAUUGCAGCGGUUCCGUCCACAUUUCGGCGGAGGUUGCUUCUCGUUGCUUUCUUCGAUGAAAUUCUGAACCAUCUUCGCCAAGCAGACCGAACUUGGCUUGAACUCAGGCCGCGGCGCUGACGGUCCCUUCAUCCUUGCUGAUAUUGAGGCCGCAGGAGUGGCGAGUUGUGAUGUGGACUCAGGCCUCUCGGCCUCUGGGUUUUACGGAGAAGGGGAAGAUGGUGAGGGUUGAGAGAGAUGCAGAGUCUGAAAGAGAGUGAAAGAGAAAGGGUUAUAAGAGAGGUUGAGUGUGACAGAGACGAUUGAAGCAAAACGCACGAUGAUAAACGCGUGUGCUCGGUUCAGAAUGGCAAGCCCGUAAAUACCCAAUGACAGAUUUGUAAAUAAAAUGAAAUUCACUUCAAAAUACUGUUCAUUUUAAUAGUGCCUAUUGAAAACCUUACUUUAGACUAAAGUAACUAAAAAUUAUGUUUGCGCGUUGCUACUAGAACCAACUGUUUCAAACGUAAUUGGAUGGACAAAACACAUUUAAGUUGAAUAAAUUCAAAACAAUUACGAACAAACAGAAGGAUACAUGAGUGCAUGAGGCCGGUAAGAUCAGCAGUUUUGCUUUUGUACACUUGUAAGUGAGUUGACAUAUAAACACAUUGCACAAUGAGUGAGAAUAAACUCUACGUGUUUGAAACUUCAUUUUAAACUAACAUUCACACAAUCCUAAUCAUUUGUGAAUUACCAUAUUCUUAUCAUUAUUCCAAUAUCUCUUCAUGUAGAUGGGGUGAGCUCAUACCAGUCACUAAGAGCAUUUUUGAUACUCUACUUGAAUCCAACUUUUUAAAUUCAAAAACAAUUUUCAAGUUUUAAGCCUUAAAAACUUGUUUGGUAAGAUUAUUUUCAAAAAUUGAACUUAAGAUUAACUCAAAACUAUAGUUUACUCUCUAAAAACACAAAAUGUAAAUUUUUAGAGUUUUUAAACUUAAACUCACUCAUUUCUUUUCUCUCCCUCCUCCUCUCUCACUCCAAAUCUAUCUCUCUUUUCUUCUUUCUAUGUCCCCCUUUUUUUUUUUUUUUUUACCUUUUUCGUCUCUCAUCCAAUCCGCUCUCUUCAUUAUCUCGAUUCUUUUUCUCACUUAUCUUCCUCUAUAUCUCCUCCGAUCCUCUCUUCUUUCUCUUUCCUUCAAUCAUAUCUUACUUUCUUUCCUCCUCUUUCCUCUUUCUCCCUCGACCCCCUCUUUUUGGAUCUCUUUGUCCAGUUUAAGUUGUAAGAUUUAAAAAUUUUAAAUUACAUACCAAACAAGUUUUUUAGUCUUAAAUAAAAUUAUUUUUCAAGAAAAAUUCUUAAAAAAUGUUUUGAGAAAUGAUAAAAAAUUUCAAAUAGGAUACCAAACAAGCAUUAAAAUUGCUAAUGUAUUUAGUGAUUAUACAGAGCAACUUAACUAUAGAAACGCUCCUCAAAUCACUCUAUACGUUUCCAUUUUGCUUUUCAAAUUAGCAUGUUUAUAUAUUGACAUUAGAGAAAACGAGAAUGCUGAUGAAAAUUGGAUUAUUAGAGGUUAAACGGCAGCGACCCCCCCCCCCUCCCCCCCCCAAAUCCAUUUUUGUUGGUUGACAUUCUGAAUAUUGACGGUUUACCUUGUCCUCCUUAAUUUCCUAUAAUCGGUAGUAUAGGGGCGACAUCUUGGCAUUUGUUGCAGUGUCGUAUCCAUCUGUACCCCCCUCCACUACCUUGCUUGUCUCCUUUAGUUUAUCUGUUGCUUGCCUCCCUUAACGAGCAGAAACCAAACAAGAACACCCAAUUUUGACACGUGUACAACACACUCAAACAUCAUCAGCGUCCAAGAAGGCUAGGCGCCAUAUCACAGAGAUCCAUCUUGGCCUAGGUCCCUCUCUAGUUUCUUGCUAAUCAAAAUUCAAACCCAAUUUUUUAUUCGGAAAUAAAUUUCAAAAUUUAGGAAAUUUUAUUAUCUGAAAAAGAAAUAAUUUUCAAGGGUUACACUGUGACUGUGCUGAUAAACACAUGGAUACCAAGCUCUGUUGUGAUUGCUUCCCUUUACGUUUUUUCGCCAAUCUUUGUGCACCAUUUAGACAUUGAUAGUGAUGCCAGUUUUAGCUGUAUCCUCACAUAAAAAUUGCCAAAUAUACACAGAUGUCAAAGAUCUUGAAGUUUGGUUCACAUGCUUUGUCAGGGAAGAUCAAUGUAUGCGAUUGGGUCGUCUGGAAUUAGCAGUGUAAAAGGUGUUGGUAUACGGUCCAGCCCAUGAUCAAUGUUCUAGAUUAUUCUAGUAAGCAAGAGAUGAGGCUGGAGCUUGCUAGACAAUUCUAGCAUGUUAUUAAGUUGAUGGAAGAAGCUAGAGAGUACUAGCUUCCUUGGUUGCAAAUGGAAAGAUCUAGAAGCUACAAGUAUGUGGCUAGUCUAGAUUUUUCUAUACUAGAGGUUUGAAGAAGGAACUAGAAACUAGUAGAAUGCCAAGCCCUCACCUAUAAAUAUGGGUGUGAUGUAACCAAUUGAAAAUCAAGAAAGAGUGAGUAGCAAAGGAUCAAGUCCAAAGCUAGAGUUCCACUCCAAGAGUGAGAGUGAGAGUGUUCCACUACACAUUGUGUGAGUGAAGUUUAGAGUGAUAGAAAGUGUGUGUUAUACUUUCUUGUAUCCAUCAAGCCUUGUCUUUGGCUUGGUAAGACUACUCUUGUUGUAUUCAUUUUUUUCAUAUAGUGAAGAUUGAUCCUUGUUUGGUGGACGUAGGCAUAAAUUGCCGAACCACAUAAAUUCUUGGUGUCCAUUUUCUACUUUACCUUGUGCAUUCUCUAUCUUGUAGUACUGACAUUCCUAACAAGUGGUAUCAGAGCCCGGUUGGCUCGUACUACGAGAUGGAAGGAAGUGGCACUAUGAUCAAACUCACCAACUCCAAUUGGGUAACAUGGAAGCCAAGGAUGGAGGACAUUCUCUAUUGCAAGGAUUUGCAUGAGCCAAUUGAAGGAGAUGCCGCUAAGCCCGAGAGCAUGUCCGAUGCCGAGUGGAAGAAGAUGAAUCGCAAGGCUAUUGGCACAAUUAGACAAUGGGUGGAUGAUAGUGUUUUUCACCAUGUGUCUAAUGAAACCAAUGCUCGCGAGUUUUGGACGAAGCUUGAGUCCUUGUUCGAGAAGAAGACCCCAGCCAAGAAAGCCUUCUUGAUCAAAGAGCUCAUCAAUGUGAAGUACAAGGAUGGUUUAAGUGUAGCAGAACACUUGAACAAUUUCCAGAAUAUCAUCAACCAGUUGGCUACUAUGAAAAUGACGAUCGAGGACGAGCUACAAGCGCUCUUGUUACUUGGAUCCUUGCCAGACAGUUGGGAGACCUUUGUGGUGAGUAUAAGUAACUCUGCUUCUAAUGGUGUUCUUACUCUUGAUAAUGUUAAAAAUAGCAUGCUCAAUGAAGAAACAAGGAGAAAGACUUCUGGCACAGAUAGCAGCCAAGUAUUUGUCACAGAGAACCGCGGAAGAAGCAAGAGUAGAGGGCCUAGAGGUCAUGGCAGGAGUCCUAGCCGAUCCAAGUCAAGGUUCAGGGGUGCAUGCCACCAUUGUGGCAAAGAAGGCCAUAUGAAGAAAAAUUGUCGAGUUUGGAAGAGAGAGCAAAAGGAAGGAAACAAUCAGAAGAAAGAUGAUACUGGCAAUACCACUGCUGUCAUAUGUGGUGAUGUACCAGAAAUAUUGUCUGUUGGUGAAUGUCUGCAUAUGGGCAACUCUGACAGAGACAUUGAAUGGAUCUUUGAUAAUGGAGCUUUCUUCCAUGCUACGUCCAAACGGGAGUUCUUCAGUACAUACAAAGAAGGUGACUUUGGCAUAGUGAAGAUGGGGAAUGAAAGCUAUUCCAAAAUUCUUGGAAUUUGGUGAUAUCUGCUUAAGAACUAAUCUCGGCUGCCAAUUGAUGUUGAAAAGAUGUGAGACAUAUUCCUGAUAUACGUCUCAAUCUGAUAUCCAUCGGUACCCUUGAUCGACAAGGAUAUUAUCACCAUAUUGGCGAAGGAAAAUUGAAGCUUACUAAAGGCUUAAUGGUGGUAGCAAGAGCACGACUUUGUUGUACGUUGUACCGGUCAAAUGCCAAGGUUUUGAAAGGUGAGUUGAAUGCUGUGGAAGACUCAUCUCUAGACUUGUGGCAUAAGAGGCUAGGCCACAUGAGCGAGAAAGGCCUACAAGUUUUGGCAAAGAAGUCUCAUAUUCCCUUUGCCAAAGGUACGUCGUUAAACUCUUGUGAGCAUUGUUUAUUCGGAAAACAAAGAAGAGUUAGUUUUUCUGUUCCAUCUACAAAGAAAGGAAACUUGUUAGAUCUUGUUUAUUCAGAUGUGUGUGGUCCCAUGGAAGUCGAGUCACUUGGAAGAAAUAAAAUAUUUUGUUACUUAUAUUGAUGAUGCUUCACGAAGGGUGUGGGUGUAUUUGUUGAAAUCCAAAGACCAGGUGUUUCAGACAUUCCAGGAGUUCCAUGCCAUGGUGGAGAGGGAAACUGGGAAACCUCUCAAGUGCCUUCGUAGCGACAACGGCGGCGAAUACACAUCUCACCAGUUUAGAGAGUAUUGUGUAAAACAUGGCAUACGUCAUGAGAAGACAGUUCCUGGAACUCCACAACAUAACGGUGUUGCUGAAAGAAUGAACCGAACCAUCAUGGAGAAAGUCAGGUGUAUGUUGAGGACUGCAAAGUUAUCUAAGCAGUUCUGGGGUGAAGCUGUAAGGACAGCCUGCUAUUUGAUCAACCGAUCUCCAUCAGUACCAUUAGGUCUUGAUGUUCCAGAGAGAGUAUGGACUGGUAAUGAUGUGUCUUACUCUCAUCUGAAGGUGUUUGGUUGCAAAGCUUUUGUGCAUGUGCCCAAAGAGCAGAGAUCGAAGUUAGACUACAAAGCUACACCGUGCAUCUUUCUUGGUUAUGGCGGUGAAGAUUUUGGUUACAGAUUAUGGGACCCAUACCAGAAGAAGUUUAUCCGAAGUAGAGACGUGGUCUUUUAUGAAGAUCAAACAAUUGGGGAUUCGGAUAAAGAGGCACAACCAGAUGGCGCAGUCAGAGGAGUUGAUCCAUUAGUUUCAGAUGAAGAAAGUCACGAUGACAUCCCUGAAGCAACUGCCAAUGAAGUGCCUGCAGAAUCAGAUAAUGCUGAUCAAGAGGAGCCUGAUCAAGAUGUGCCAGACCAUGAGAUUGCUGAUCAGGGGGAGCCUAGUCAAGAAGAGCAGAUUCAAGGAGAAUCCAAUCAGGGGGAGCCUCUAGCCCCGCAAGAGAAUGAAGAUCAGGUCAGAAGAUCCAGCAGAAGUCGAAGACCGUCUACCAAGUAUUCUUCAUCAGAGUAUAUCAUGUUGACUAAUUAUGGAGAGCCCGAAACUUAUGAGGAGGCCAGAGCUCAUAACGACAGUGAUAAAUGGAUGAAGGUAACUUGGAGUCAUGAUCGGAAUUCCUCCCUCAUGGACUGGAGGGGGAGAUUGUUGGUAUACGGUCCAGCCCAUGAUCAAUGUUCUAGAUUAUUCUAGUAAGCAAGAGAUGAGGCUGGAGCUUGCUAGACAAUUCUAGCAUGUUAUUAAGUUGAUGGAAGAAGCUAGAGAGUACUAGCUUCCUUGGUUGCAAAUGGAAAGAUCUAGAAGCUACAAGUAUGUGGCUAGUCUAGAUUUUUCUAUACUAGAGGUUUGAAGAAGGAACUAGAAACUAGUAGAAUGCCAAGCCCUCACCUAUAAAUAUGGGUGUGAUGUAACCAAUUGAAAAUCAAGAAAGAGUGAGUAGCAAAGGAUCAAGUCCAAAGCUAGAGUUCCACUCCAAGAGUGAGAGUGAGAGUGUUCCACUACACAUUGUGUGAGUGAAGUUUAGAGUGAUAGAAAGUGUGUGUAUACUUUCUUGUAUCCAUCAAGCCUUGUCUUUGGCUUGGUAAGACUACUCUUGUUGUAUUCAUUUUUUUCAUAUAGUGAAGAUUGAUCCUUGUUUGGUGGACGUAGGCAUAAAUUGCCGAACCACAUAAAUUCUUGGUGUCCAUUUUCUACUUUACCUUGUGCAUUCUCUAUCUUGUAGUACUGACAUUCCUAACAAAAGGAGGAUUGAUGAAUCUGAGAAAGAGGAUUGAAAGCAAAAGAGAUGAGAAGCUGAAUGGAAAACGUCGCUCCAGCUUCCUCUUUGAUUCAAUCUCGCCCACUGAAUAAAAAUGAGAGAGACAACGCAAGAAGGAACCGUUACAAACUUCACAUGCAUUACACACCUCUCAUACUCGCAAACCUCUAUCCAGUCUAGUAAGGGCUUUGAAGCAGCUUCUAAAACGGACUAAGGGCUCGUUUAAGCAUAAUAAAAAAUUGGGUUUACACCCCCCUUGUGUACCUGGUAAGCCCCUCUUCACAUUGGAUCUAAGCAUAUAUUCUUAGCUUUUGAAGCAUCCGACAAAUAAGGAGGAUAGGUUUUUUUAGAAGUUUCUGACUCUUCUUCAAAUAAAUCCAUUUUAUCGGGAUUAAAAAUAGGAAUUGGUAAAAAUCUCAAAGACAACACAAGAAGGAACUGUUGCAAACUUCACAUGCAUCACACACCUCUCAUACUCACAUGUCUUGCAUGUGUAUAUCUAAGACAAAGUCCGCUACUAUGACAGCUGGCACAAUCCGAACCUAUGAGCUAGUCUAAUCUCAACCAUUUAAUUUCAAUUCAAACAAAUAAGGACAAGACUAUGGAACUUGAAUUCUAAGAAAUCAGCUUCAAGGCUUAAUCACUAACAAUACAUACCUGAUCAAAAAAGAAAGAAAAAACACAACUUUACAAUACAUACGGAUAAGUAAAUACUGUCCACGUACUAACCGCAGGUGAAGAAAGAAAUACGCGAAAAAGCAAAAAACUAAAUAGAAGAGCUCUCAGAAUAAAGAAACCAACUCAAAACACAAAAGAGUGAUAAACUCUACCACACAAAAUCACCAUUUAUUCCACCUCCCAUGUCCCCAGUCUUACUACAUAUCAGUGAUGAUGCGCCAAAUACCUCAAUCCCCAUUACCCCGUGACCCACAGAUACAACCCCAUAUUCUCCCACCUCUCCUUGAUGCUGCCACCGCCUUCUCCUUCUCUUCCUCAUGGCUCGACUGCUUGAGAUAACUCAAAAUUGCCUCAACAGCCACCGCCUCCUUUUCCUCGCAGCUUGAGUCCACCGUCACAGUCAACGGUGCGGUGCUCUGAUUCUGAUCCAAAUUCCCAGAAGUGCUGAAACUUUGUCGUUUUGGGUGGGAACCCUUUGAUCCAUGAUUGCUGUCCUGAUGUAUACUAGUUCCCUCUAGUGUACUCUCUGCCUCAAGGAACUCCAAAUCUCGCAGCCUCAUCUCUUCCCCAUAACUUGACUCCUCAUGAUCUGUCAAAAUUUCUGAACCAUCGCUCCAGGGGAGGAGGGAUUCCCCAUCAGCCACCGCUUCAUUUUGCUCAUUGUUUGGGACCAUGGCAAUGAUGGCAUUAAUCAUAGGUGCAGUGCUUCGAAACUGAGCCAAAUCCGCCAAAGUGAUGAAUUGUUGUUUAGGGCGGUAACCACGUAUACCAGUUCCCCCUAUGUGAAGGUUCUUCAAAUACCGUAAGUCUUCAGGCAACUUCGAAAGUUCUGAGCACCCAUGGAGAUUGAGCCAUUCGAGACUCAACAAAUUGCAGAUACUGUCCGGAAUAUAGACCAGGCUUUUGCACUUUUUCAGAUUUAACGACACUAGCCCCUGAAGCCGUUCAAUUGAUGCAGGAAGCUCUCUGAUAGAUGUUCGAUCCAAAUCAAGGCUGGCUAACCUUUCCAUAUUUUCUAAUAUGUCUGGAAACACCUCAAACUUUGUACAACCAGAAAGAGAGAGAUAAUUUAGGGACUUGAGUUGACAAAUGUUGCUUGUAAGACUCUUAAAGUCUUUGCUAUACCGUAGCGUCAAAGUAGCAAGUCCCGUAAGACUAUAAAUUAUGGAUGGCAAUUCUUCAAUUGCAAUCCCUGAAAACUCAACAAUUUUUCGGCGGCGAGAGGCUUGCUCACGUUCAAGCUCUGUAAGAUUUUUGAAUGUUGAUGAAUCUUCUGUAAAUAUAGUCCAAUCGAAAUUAAGCUCUGUUAGGUUCUCCAUACCUUCUAGAAACUCUGGAAAAUUCUUCAGAUUUGAGCAGCCAGAAACAUUCAGGACUUGAAGAGAUCUCAUAUGAAUGCUGCCUGGAAAAAUCUUUAAUCUUCUGCAAUCCUUCAGGCUCAGGGUAACGAGUCCUGUAAAAUUUUUUAUGGACGAGGGCAGUUCUGAAAUUGCAGUCUCAUCUAAAUUAAGCUCUAAUAGGUUCAUAACUUCAGGAAUUUCUGAAAAAUUAUCCAGAUUUGAGCAGCCGGAAAGAUUAAGGGUUUGAAGAGAUCUCAUGUGAAUGCUGCUUGGAAGGCUAUGAAGUUUCUUGCACUGCUUUAGACUCAAACUCUCAAGGUUUUCAAGAGAAUAAAUUGAUGGGCAAAGGUCUUCAACAGAUGUCUCAUCCAAGCGAAGCUCUCUUAAUCCUUCCAUAUUUCCGCCAUUUUCUGGAAAGGCUUUGAGCUUUGAACAACCAGAAAGAUUAAGAAAUUGCAGGGACUUGAGUUGAACAAUGCUGUUUGGAAGAAUCUCAAGUUCUCUGCAAUAUUCAAGAUUCAAAGUAACAAGCCCCGUAAGAUUGUUAAUUGAUCGAGGCAGUUCUUUUAUUGCAGUCCCUUGCAAAUAAAGCUUUGAAAGCUUCUCCAUAAUUUCUGAAAUCUCUGGAAACUUCUCAAGUAUUGAGCAAAAAGAGAGAUCAAGGGUUUCAAGAGAUUUCAUACAAAUGGUGCUUGAAAAGGUCUUGAGUUUGCCGCACCAACUUAGAUCCAAGAGGACAAGUUUUUCAAGGGCAGAAAUGGAUGGGUGAACCUCAUAUAAACUUUGUGCAUCCACCAAGAAUUAGGUUCUCAAGAUUCUUUGCCUCAGUGAAGUCAGGUGUUUCCUUAAGACGAUAAGAGCCUUUUAAGUUGAUAAUUUUCAACUUUUCCAGAGGCUGUCAAUAUACAACAAGGAAAAUAUGUGUUACCUACAUAAUAAGGCAUUUAAAAACUAAACAAUUUAAAAGCAGUAUAUAGGCAAAUGAUGAACGUACCUGAGUUCCUUUCCAGAGGUGUUCAACCCAACUAUAUUGCAUGUCAAUGUCAACAAGAUUCUCUGGGUUAAAAUUGGACGAUAAAGACUUUAGAGGACAUUUGUGCCAGAACAAAUAACUUAAUUUUUCAGAGAGAAACUUUAGAUCCUUGUAUUUCCAUUCAUCAUCGGAUUCCCUGCCCGGUGGUUGUAAAUAGUGGGUAUGGACUCUGAGUAGUCUUAGUUUUAUCAUUUUAAAAAAAGCGGUGUCUAAUUCCACCACAUUGUUUGAGUAUGGCCAACGCACAAUUAUGCUUUCAACUGCUUCUGUAGCCUGGAUAACCAAAAUUGCAAAUUGAAUGAGUACAAAACUUAAGAUUAUAACUUCUAAAUGCACAUGUUUCUCAUUAAUUGGAUUUUGGUCAAAGUUGAAGCUUUAUACUUUUUAUUAAUAUUAAUAAUAAUAAUAUUAUUAUUAACAUUAUUAUUAUUAUUAUUAUUAUUAUUAUAAUUAUUACUAUUAUUAAAUUUACUAAUAUUAAUGUGAGAGAGAAGAUUCAAAGCAAUUACAUUAAUGGAAGGGAGGGAGUGCGUUUCUCACCGUUUCUCGACUUAACACAUGAUGAACAUCUUCAUAGCUCCACAACCUACUGCGCCUCCCAGGCUCUUUUAUAGAUUCCUGGCGUACGAUUUCGCGACCCAUUUCCUCUAGUAAAUCAUGCAUCUCGAGUACACCAUCAGAUGAGACAGUGACAAGAGCUCUACCAACUAGAACGUCUAAUCCGGUAUGGGGAUGGAAGUCACAACCCUCCAUAAUCCUUGUUGCAAAGUCUUUCUUCAUUUGUUUAAAGAAACAUGCAAUAUCAAGAAAUAUUUCCUUCUGCAAACCAUCUAGUCCAUCAAAGCUUGUUCUAAGGACUGUCUGGAUUCCCAGGUGCGGAUUUCUCGCUAUUUUCUUUAACUCAUCUUUCCACACAAGUACACUUUUGUUAUCGAGGAAUGCUCCCAAGACUUUGAGUGCUAAAGGCAAACCUUGAGCAUAUUUUAUGAAAUGGCCUGACAAAUCAACGUAUUCUUCUGUGGGUUGCUUUGUACUGAAAGCAUACUGCAUAAACAGCUCGAGAGCAUCAUCGUCAUUUAACAACUCGGGCUCAUAUAUCUGAUCACCAAGUCUACUUAGUGACUGUUUCUCUCUAGUUGUUAUAAUGAUUCGACUUCCGCCACCAAAUGAAGGUUGCUUUCCAAUUAAGGCUUCAAUUUGGGAUGAACUCUCCACAUUAUCAAGAACAAGUAAAACCUUUUUCCUACCAACUCUUUCCAUCAUCUUCUGAAAACCAUUUCUCAAAAUCUCUGAACUCCCCACCUUCAUAUUUGUGAUACUAGAUAGAAUUUCUGCCUGCAUAUCUAGUGGUGCUUCACCUGCAUCAGUUGACGGAAAACGUCCCUUGACAUUUUCAAGAAAGCAACGACCUUCGAAGUGAUGAUUGAUUUUGUCAUACAUAGCUCUAGCGAUGGUGGUUUUGCCUAUACCGCCCAUACCCCAUAUUCCAACAAAGCGAACGUUAUCGACCUCGGGACAUAAUAGUGAAUCCAUUUUCUGUAAGCGGGAAUCCAUUCCAACCAAGCCAUUCUUUUCACUUGAUAAGAUGUUGAUAAGUUUUUUAAAAAUAUCAUCGACAAUCAACUCAAUAAGCUUGGCAUCAUCCCUGCCAAAUUUGAAAAACAGUACUGUGAAGUCCUGCGAUUGCUUGUCAUAUAACACUCAUCACACUGUCAUUGAAAUUGAAAACACAAAGUAACGGCCCAACAAUUCUCAAUUUAUUCUUCUUUCAUUUACUCAAUGCACUUUUCUAAGUUCAAUCAACAUAUAAGAGAACUAGUCAUCUAUAUCCUCUCAAGAUGUUUUAUAGACCUUUUAGUCGUGCCCCUUUAUAUUGAUCUUGCGGUGAAGAAUUAAUUUAACUUGUUCUUUUUUUACUUAUUCAUGUUGGACGACGUCUUUUCUACAUUAUUUCUCUUUUUUAUACUAAUUUCCUCUUCCCUUCUAAUGGCAAAGAUCUAGGUGUGGCAGUGGAAAGUUUUGCACAGAGUUGGUGAGUAUUCAAUUUUGUAGAGGGUUGGGAAGGAAGUCUUGGUUCUAGUUGUAUUAACAUCAAUUAUAAACUAAAAAGAUCAAAACAAGAAAUUAGCUAAACUUGUAAACUAGUAAGUUAAUAAGAUUAUGAAGGAAUGAGUUACUGGUAAUUUUGUGAAUCCCAGCCACAUAAAUUGGGGGCUCUUUGUAGAGCAGACCUCCACCGCUCCACUUCUUCCAUGUCCGCGUUAGGAUCAUGUUCAUGUUUAGAAAAAGCUUUCUCAAAACUUCCCUCGAUUUUACGAACAUGAGAUGGGUCUACUUGGUAGAAAAUGGGAAUCACAAUCUGCUUCUGAUGAUCCAUGCAUUGCAGGAUUUGGACGAGUUCUUUCAAGCACCAUGUGGAAGAAGCGUAGUUUUGAGAAAAAACUACAACUGAAAGCCUCGAGUCGCUUAUAGCUGUCAGCAGCUGCGAAAGGUCUUUGCCUUUUCUGAGCUUUUCAGCGUCAAUGAAGGUGUUGAUUGAGUUCUGAACUAGAGCUUUGUAGAGAUGGCCGAUGAAGGUCUUGCGAGUGUCUUCGCCUCGAAAAUUCAAGAAGACAUCAUAUUUCCAAUCGGGAACGGAUGAAGAAGAAGAAGCCAUGAACAAGCACAAGAUCGACAGCCUAAUGUGAGUCUCGUGUAGCCCCUUAACAAAC